RNAcentral lists this long non-coding RNA (93771 nucleotides) under Brassica napus (rape). RNAcentral describes it as "long non-coding RNA (BNAP_LNC001131)". The record is from RNAcentral. Lineage: Eukaryota; Viridiplantae; Streptophyta; Magnoliopsida; Brassicales; Brassicaceae.
UUUUCUGGAUCUCCACCCUUGUCGGGAUGGUUUUUGAUGGCGGCUUUCUUGUAAGCCUUUUUGAGAUCUUCAGGUGAGGCGGUCUUGGGGACGCCGAGGAUCUCGUAGAACUUGGUGUUGUCGCUCUUGCUCGAAGGUCCUCUUCUGAACAUCUUUUCUCCGUUUUUAAGAAAACCCUAAAAACAAAAGAGGAGAGAUGCGAGAGAGAGAGAGAGAGAGAGAGGAGAUGGAGUUUGUUGUUGUGGCUGCUCUUCGAAGACUUUGCUUAAAGGUCUUGUGGAGCGGAACACUCUAGAUCUUUUUAUAUCCUUUUCUUUUUAUUUCUUUUUAUUAUUUGUUUUUUUAUUCAUUUCUUCUCCUAUGGGAAAAGGAAAUUUAACAAAACUAGUCAAAGAAUAUAAUUUUGAGAAUUACACUCAACAAGAAGUUCAUGUUCUCCUCUAUUAAUAAAUGCGAUGGAAAAAAAAUAUAAAGGUCUUUAUAUAAUUUAUAAUUAUUAAGAUUUUUUUUUGUAAUCAGCCCAGGUAUAAUUAACAUAUUACUGAAUUUUUAUAUAUUUUUAAAAUAUAAACUGAAAAUUUUAUCUCCAGAACAGUAUACAAAUUUUGUAGGUGUUUAAAGUAUAUAAAUUUGGAUAAAUUAUGAAUCUUGCGUGCUAUUAGUUUGAUAUCAACAUGAUUUGAUUAAACCAAAUUGUCGUUUAAUGAUAGAUUGAUAUUUAUAUCAGAUGACUUAUUGAUUGCGAUUUACCACGUUUGGCUAUAAAUUUUAGAAAUGAUUUACAAACACACACAAAGAAGCUCUAGUAUAAGUGGUAAAGGUUAUAAUUUAUAAACCAAAUUAUGUCAACGAACUUCAAAUUGUCUCUCAUUACAAUUAUGCAGACAUGAUCAUCAGCUACGAAGAAUGUUUGAUGAUAAUUCACAAAGUUUUUUUUCGAAAAAAAAGUCUGCUUCUGCAUUUUUCUUCUCAGGGACACAAAUACAAGCGGUUGAGUUGUUGUAGUGACAUAUGCAUAUCACACGAAACAAAGAUUUAAUAAGACACUCGAGAUAUCAAAAUUGCAAUUUUCUUCUUUUUGGCUCUUCUGGAGCUUGUUGCUUGUGCUGUACAUAGCAGUGAUGGUCUGUACGUACCAUUACGGUUGCGUGAAGGAAAUCUAUGAAGAGAACAUGCUUUUUUCUUGGUCUCUUGUCGUGAACAUCUUAAUAGUUCGUCAACACGAAGUAACACAAUGAUGAUAUAAACUUAUAAAGAGAUCUACAGUCAAACAUAUCUACAGUUCUAAAGACAUUACUGAGGCAAUAAUACGUUGUCAAAGGUCUUUACGCGUUUGAGAAGUGAGAUAAAUUAGAAAGACAAUGAGUUGGUGAUGGACAAAGAGAUACACAGACACAAGCAGUAGAACGAGUCAAAGGCCAAUCUAUCAAUGGCAACAACAUUAAAAAAAAAAAAAAANNNNNNNNNNNNNNNNNNNNNNNNNNNNNNNNNNNNNNNNNNNNNNNNNNNNNNNNNNNNNNNNNNNNNNNNNNNNNNNNNNNNNNNNNNNNNNNNNNNNNNNNNNNNNNNNNNNNNNNNNNNNNNNNNNNNNNNNNNNNNNNNNNNNNNNNNNNNNNNNNNNNNNNNNNNNNNNNNNNNNNNNNNNNNNNNNNNNNNNNNNNNNNNNNNNNNNNNNNNNNNNNNNNNNNNNNNNNNNNNNNNNNNNNNNNNNNNNNNNNNNNNNNNNNNNNNNNNNNNNNNNNNNNNNNNNNNNNNNNNNNNNNNNNNNNNNNNNNNNNNNNNNNNNNNNNNNNNNNNNNNNNNNNNNNNNNNNNNNNNNNNNNNNNNNNNNNNNNNNNNNNNNNNNNNNNNNNNNNNNNNNNNNNNNNNNNNNNNNNNNNNNNNNNNNNNNNNNNNNNNNNNNNNNNNNNNNNNNNNNNNNNNNNNNNNNNNNNNNNNNNNNNNNNNNNNNNNNNNNNNNNNNNNNNNNNNNNNNNNNNNNNNNNNNNNNNNNNNNNNNNNNNNNNNNNNNNNNNNNNNNNNNNNNNNNNNNNNNNNNNNNNNNNNNNNNNNNNNNNNNNNNNNNNNNNNNNNNNNNNNNNNNNNNNNNNNNNNNNNNNNNNNNNNNNNNNNNNNNNNNNNNNNNNNNNNNNNNNNNNNNNNNNNNNNNNNNNNNNNNNNNNNNNNNNNNNNNNNNNNNNNNNNNNNNNNNNNNNNNNNNNNNNNNNNNNNNNNNNNNNNNNNNNNNNNNNNNNNNNNNNNNNNNNNNNNNNNNNNNNNNNNNNNNNNNNNNNNNNNNNNNNNNNNNNNNNNNNNNNNNNNNNNNNNNNNNNNNNNNNNNNNNNNNNNNNNNNNNNNNNNNNNNNNNNNNNNNNNNNNNNNNNNNNNNNNNNNNNNNNNNCUGUUCUUUCUUUAUUAUGACUAGUGGUAUUCCGGCGCUACGCGCCGGGUUCGUAUAUUUUUUUUCUUAAAUAAAUUUACAAUUAGAAUCUUAAUAGUAAACAAAAUAUGUCAGAUGUCAGGGAAGUUCCACAAACAUGUAAAUAAGAUUUCGAUAGAGAACACUACCCCCACCAAAAAACUACAAAGCUCGCAUUAACAACCAAAUGAAAACAAAAAAAAAGGAGAAAAAAACAAAUCGAUCUUACAAAAAAAAAUGUAAAUUGUAUCACAAAAUUAAAUGAUACAAACUUCUAUCAUUUAUUUUUAAAUGAUACAAAAGAUAGAUCCACCAAGAUCGUACUUAGUCUGCCAAAUAUAACUUAAUAGAUGGUCUCUCUAGGAUAACAAAAAAAAAAGUUAAUUACGAUAUGGUAAGGUUAAUACUGGAGUCUAAAGCCAUGAACCUGCUGCUGUUUUUAAAAUGUGUGGGAUUGGUAGUGUUUCGGUUAGAAGUAUUGGGUUAAGUUCGGGUAUUGAUCGGCUGUAUUUCAUAGUCCCGUUAACAGUGUUGUGUUUUAAGUUUUUUAAAGUGUCAUUCACUUGGCUUUGCCAAUUGUGGGUGACCCUUUUUGUAGUGGAAAACUAUGUUGUUAGUUUUUUGGUCUCUUAUGCUCUAGUGGUUUGAUAAAUAACUUGUCUGUCAAGCAAUAUGUGAACCUUUAACUUAUUUUGUUUCAGCGAAUUGAUGUAUAAUAUCAUAUUUCUUUGACUGUUUUGAAGCAUUUUACAGUGGAUGUGCAAGAUCACGUCAUCCCAUCUGCUAAGCUGAUUGUAAACCGGACUGCUUCUGAAGACUAUAAGGAAGCUCAUGGGAUACACCAGUGGCGGAGAGACGACCAAGAGUUGGUUUCCAACAUUUAUUUGUUCAAAUAGCUCACAAAGGUUGAUUUGUUUUCUUUCUUUUCUCAAUUACAAUGCCCUUUAUUUUCUGAUUGAAAUUUUGUGAAUGAAGUUACAAAAACAUACAGAAAAUAUAUUUUUGCAUUGAACUUUUAAGAAAAAGAAAUAUAUAUAUAGCCUUCGAAAUCAUUUUUACUCAUAUAUCUUCUACAACUUCAAAAACCAACUACCAAAAGAAAACCAAACUCCUAAGAAAAGAGUGAGCAAAUUUGGUGGAGAAAACGGACAAAAAAACCCAUCCAAAGUAAAGUAAGCAGCUUGCUGCUGCACUCAGCAUGCGAUUCAGCAUGUGCUCGCAACUUCUGCAACACUGUUUUGUGAUAUCUCUUCAGCCACUUCUGCUAUCACACUGGUUUCCUUAGAUUUGUCUUUUGGUGUUGCCUUUUUGUCACUGGCAGUAAAAGAUUGCUGAAAGAUAAACAAUCUCCAUCAGAUAUUUAUCUAGAUAAGAGCACCACACUAUGAGUUUUGUUGUUUUUACCUGUCUUUUAUACAGUUGGUGUUUCUUUUUCCCAGUCUUUGAUUAUAUUUUCACAAUUCUCAUAGAAGACAAAAUCAUUGAGUAUGCAUGUCUUGCUCACAUGUUCCUUAAAAAAAAUGAUUACUUUGACUCCUUGCUCUAUCUUUACCUGCCCAUUUCAAAAUCCACAGAAACUAAAAUUUAAUUUUUUUUCACAUGACAGAGGGAGAAACUAAGAAAGGAAACCAGAAGACUCUCUAACCUCCUGUGUAUCAUGGCUAUUAGUAACAGGCUUGUUCUCAUCAUUCUCAAGCGUAAUAUGCCUCAAGGAACUAUUCAGGAUAUCUUUAACGAUGUGACACUUAACAGGGAAGCAACCAACCCACUUGUCCUGCUGCCAGCACUCCGCCAUCUGGUUCUAAUCAACUGGUCAUACCAUCUCCGCUAAACCAACAAACUGCCCACUUGUGUUUACCUGUUACAAAAAAAAUCAUUUCAUUUAUAUCCAAAUCGGAACCAAAUCAAAACAACCAAACUUUUGCCAUAUUUCACUUACAGAGAAGAUGAGAAAAACAGGACAGGAGGACUUGUCUCCAGCUGCUUCGUUAUACGCAGCGUUAAGCUUCUUGUUGCCAUUAGAGGUACUGGACCACACAUUAUAUUUGAUGCUUUUGUGAAUAUCAUCUUCGCUAUACGAUUUGAUCACAAAGAGCUUUGCGUUGGUGUAGGUAUUAGAGAAAAAAUCUUUCUUGUUGUAUUCCUUUAAAAAAGUACUCACCCGUUACACUUUAAGCACAAAGCCUUCCUAGAAAGCGAGAGCUUCUUCGUUGUCUCGAGAUAAAGAUCCUCAAGGGAAACCUUCAGAGGGUGAACAACAUCUUCACCACGCCUCUGCCUCCUUCCACGGCUGCUGCCACCUAAUCAAAACCAAAAAAUCAAACCUUUAUCAUCUAUUCAAAAGUCAAAAACUCAAAAUCGAUUGUGAGAUGAGAGACAAACCUCCGAAAGGGUGUCCACCACCACCACCAAAGAAGGAGGAGAAGAUGUCAAAGGGGUCAUGACCACCGCCUCCACCACCCAUUCCUUCCUUGAGCGCAUCCUCACCGUACUGAUCAUAGAUCUCACGCUUCUCCGGAUCGCUGAGAACCUCAUAAGCCUGAGCUAGCUCCUUGAACUGCACAGAGACAUGAACCAGUUAACCUAAAGCUAUCGAAUUUCAGAUCUAAUUACGAAGAUCUAAUCGAUCGGACAAUCCAAUUCAAAUUAUUAACAAAAAAAAAAAACUUAGAUUUUCCCAGACCGACACGAACUGAAUUUUUCAGACAAUCUGUGUAAUAAAUUGGGGAUCGAAGGAAUCAGACCUUUUCUGGAUCUCCACCCUUGUCGGGAUGGUUUUUGAUGGCGGCUUUCUUGUAAGCCUUUUUGAGAUCUUCAGGUGAGGCGGUCUUGGGGACGCCGAGGAUCUCGUAGAACUUGGUGUUGUCGCUCUUGCUCGAAGGUCCUCUUCUGAACAUCUUUUCUCCGUUUUUAAGAAAACCCUAAAAACAAAAGAGGAGAGAUGCGAGAGAGAGAGAGAGAGAGAGAGGAGAUGGAGUUUGUUGUUGUGGCUGCUCUUCGAAGACUUUGCUUAAAGGUCUUGUGGAGCGGAACACUCUAGAUCUUUUUAUAUCCUUUUCUUUUUAUUUCUUUUUAUUAUUUGUUUUUUUAUUCAUUUCUUCUCCUAUGGGAAAAGGAAAUUUAACAAAACUAGUCAAAGAAUAUAAUUUUGAGAAUUACACUCAACAAGAAGUUCAUGUUCUCCUCUAUUAAUAAAUGCGAUGGAAAAAAAAUAUAAAGGUCUUUAUAUAAUUUAUAAUUAUUAAGAUUUUUUUUUGUAAUCAGCCCAGGUAUAAUUAACAUAUUACUGAAUUUUUAUAUAUUUUUAAAAUAUAAACUGAAAAUUUUAUCUCCAGAACAGUAUACAAAUUUUGUAGGUGUUUAAAGUAUAUAAAUUUGGAUAAAUUAUGAAUCUUGCGUGCUAUUAGUUUGAUAUCAACAUGAUUUGAUUAAACCAAAUUGUCGUUUAAUGAUAGAUUGAUAUUUAUAUCAGAUGACUUAUUGAUUGCGAUUUACCACGUUUGGCUAUAAAUUUUAGAAAUGAUUUACAAACACACACAAAGAAGCUCUAGUAUAAGUGGUAAAGGUUAUAAUUUAUAAACCAAAUUAUGUCAACGAACUUCAAAUUGUCUCUCAUUACAAUUAUGCAGACAUGAUCAUCAGCUACGAAGAAUGUUUGAUGAUAAUUCACAAAGUUUUUUUUCGAAAAAAAAGUCUGCUUCUGCAUUUUUCUUCUCAGGGACACAAAUACAAGCGGUUGAGUUGUUGUAGUGACAUAUGCAUAUCACACGAAACAAAGAUUUAAUAAGACACUCGAGAUAUCAAAAUUGCAAUUUUCUUCUUUUUGGCUCUUCUGGAGCUUGUUGCUUGUGCUGUACAUAGCAGUGAUGGUCUGUACGUACCAUUACGGUUGCGUGAAGGAAAUCUAUGAAGAGAACAUGCUUUUUUCUUGGUCUCUUGUCGUGAACAUCUUAAUAGUUCGUCAACACGAAGUAACACAAUGAUGAUAUAAACUUAUAAAGAGAUCUACAGUCAAACAUAUCUACAGUUCUAAAGACAUUACUGAGGCAAUAAUACGUUGUCAAAGGUCUUUACGCGUUUGAGAAGUGAGAUAAAUUAGAAAGACAAUGAGUUGGUGAUGGACAAAGAGAUACACAGACACAAGCAGUAGAACGAGUCAAAGGCCAAUCUAUCAAUGGCAACAACAUUAAAAAAAAAAAAAAAGAGUCGAGAGACUCAGCCUUUCUUGACCGGCCUUUGGACGUAUGAUUUGUUUGGAUCCUCUGUCUUCAAUUUUGGAGGACGCGUCUCUCCCUUCUUGGCCUAAAGGAUGAAGAUAACAGAGGUUUAGAUUGCGAUCUCACCAAAAGAAAAAGACAAUAACUCAAUAAUUCAAUUUGGGACGUGUCACUCUUACCUUCUUUCCUGCUUUCAUGAAGUCUCUCCAGCUUGAUACCUGCACAUGGAAACCCAAACGUUAAUAAAAAAACACUUACAUCAAGGACAAAAAGCAAUUGCGUCAAACCUGACUAUAUCCUGCUAUAACUAUUCCAUGGUGAAGUAGAGAACAUGAGAAAUUGCAUAUAUCAUCUUUGUACUAAAUCAGAAAGUUCUCUUCAUAAGAACUAUCACCAGAUGAGUUCUCUUCUAUACGGCCAUUUCUAACCGUACUUAAGUGCCAAAAAGUGAGCUAAACUGGUUCUGAACUAGUGUGUAUUCAUAGGGAAGUUAGGAAUAUAAAGAUAAUGGAUUAAAAAAAGGUACAAACCCUGUUUUCUCUAGUUCCUUCCCACUGUUCUUCAUGCUCACGUUUUUUCUUCCGUAUCUCCUUUUGUUCUUCUUCAUCUUUCUUCAGUCUUCCCUCUUCUUCUGAUAUCUAAAUGCCAAGAAGCAGUAACACAAAAGAUGAAUGAACGAAUGAUCGUGUGACUUCUCACGGAGAAAUUAUAACGCAACGCAAACGAGAAACGCUAUAUACCCUCAUGGCCAUUUUUCUCCUACGCCACUCCUGGUCUGUUAAUAUCUCUCGGACCUUUAACUUCAGCUCCUUUUGAAACUCUUCAGAUUGCUCAUAUAUCUGCUCAUGCUUUCCCUGAGAGUAUCAAAAAUGUUUAUCACUAUAAGAUCAGAGGAAUCUGAACUGGAGAAGAAGACAAAUAGGAUUGACAAAAAAAACCCCAAAAACACAAUGUGAAACUGAAAAAAAAACUAGGACUUAUAAACAACGAGUUUUACUAUAUAGCGAUCAGACGAAACAAAUCCAUUGAUAUACCCUUUCAUCUAACACAUACAUUAACAUGAGCUACAUAUUCAUUAUUAUAAUUUUUAUUUCAUGCGCAAAUAACAAGCACAAGGGAAAUGUAUCAAGGGGGUUUACGUUAUAACAAUGUACAGCACGACAUUUUCAAAAUGUACUACUAUGCUCAACAUGCAUCUAGACAAAAAUUCUUUAAAAUUGGCAACUAGUCAGUAAAACACAGAUAUAUUAUACUCGCUGAACAAGCAAAAGCUAUUGGUUCAUUCCAGAAGAAGCCCAAUUUUGACAAAAGCUAAGGUCCUAAAAGAAAAUCUACAGUUUCAAAAUCGAUACUUUGAUAUUGAUGGCUAAAAUAAGCCUCCCAGCUUAUAUGAUAUCUAGAUCCUCACAUUGGAAAAAUAGAAAGGUAAAAAGAUUCAAGCUAAGUACGUUAAAUGUAAAACCAAAAUAAAACGGUUUCGUUACCUCAUCAACCAAGGACUUUAUUUUAGAGGCGGUAUUUUUCUUCAACUGUUUUUUUCUCUUCAUCUUAAGCUCUUCUGCAUUUCACAGUUGGAGAAAAGAAGGUUGUCACGAAGAGAACGAAUCCUACUAUAUAAAAGGGACUAAAUUCAAGGCUUUUGAGACUAUCCACCUCAGCCAAAAUAUUCUCAUCUAAAAAGAAUUAAAAAUAAAUAUCAUUUAGAAAAUAAUUAACUAACAUACAACUUUUGAUAUUUCUAGAAAUUUCAAAUUUGUAACUGCUAAUUUAUUAAUAGAAUCAUAUAUCUAUAUUGAAUUAUGUUAUAUUUUAAUAGUUAGACUUUAAGGGUAAAUAAAUUAUUAAUUUAUAAUAUAUAUAAUUUAUAACAUUAUAUUGUAGUUAUAAAUAAAGAGAAAAUAACCGGGAAGGAUGAAGAAGCUCAUGUAAAAUUAUGUAAUUAAAAUGGUAAAAUGGUGAGUAUGAUGAGGUGAAUCUAAGAAAAUUUGUUGUACAAAUUAUGGUGUUUUAUUCGUCCACUAUAAUGAUUUAAAAUAAAAUAUAUAUUCACAUAAAUAAGUCAAUAUUUGUUGUUUUUUUUUUGGUAAGAUGUUAAGAUUAUCAUUUUCUAAAAGGUUACACUAUUUUUUAGUAAACUGAUCCAAAGAGAUUAGUUUGUGGAGCUAACCAAACGAGGAUUAUAGUGUUUACUUUGGAAAAAGUAAUAGGUUGAAUGAUAGAUGGCGUGCGUGCCUUUUCACAUGGAAAUCUGCACAUAUAUUAAAAUUAUAAGUUUUGAAUCAUAGAGAAAAUAUAGUGUAUAUGACUGAAGUUGGUACAUUCCGAAACUAAAGAUGGCUGAAAUUCUUCUUUGUCAAAAUGCAUAGAUGUGAAUCUUAUAUGAAUAGAGUUCUCCAUUGCUUAUAGCAGUGUAAUAAACUCUGUGUGUAAAGGAGAAAAAAUGUUAUAUAAGUGAAAACAAAAAUUAUGAUUUUUUUCUUGUGCCUAUAGGCUCUUCGCAAUUUGAAGAAGAAAGAACAUAUUGUGUGAAAAUCUUUGGCUCGGUCAAAUUUUAUCCAGUUGUUUACAAAACUGUUGUUAUCUGAUUCAUGUAAUUUUUCAGUGUUGAUUUAAAAGCCCAAAAAACCUAUCUAUACUGACUUUUUUAUAUUUUUUCUGUGAUUUGAAUUUAAAAAGAGAUAAAACUUUCGAUAAGUUAUGUAAACUCAGAACAAGUAUUUAGCUUUAGAAAGCAUUUACAUGUUUCAAACUUAUAAUAUAUACAUAUAUAAUGUUUAAAAUUAUGCAUAUAAAACCUGUGUAAAAUGUGUCUGAAUAUGUUUCUCUUCUUUAAUGUGUUAAUCGUACUAUAUAUAAUAUUAUUUUAAAAUUUCAAAAAGUUUAUGUCACUAUCACAUACAAAAAACCAUCAAUAAAAAAUAUAAUUCUCCAUCUACAACAAAAAAAUGAAAAAUUAUUAACAUAUAAAUUUAAAUUAAGAAAAACUAACAUUGGAAAAACAAGAAGUUAAUAUAAAAGAAAAAAAUUAACAAAUAAUAUUAUAAAUAAAAUAAAUUUAUAAGACAUAAUCCGCGCGAAGCGCGGAAAAAAUCUCUAGUAAAAAAAGAAAAAAUGGUAAACUAAAAAUGAUCUAGCAUAAUGUGUAGUUGUGUGCACAUGGUAUGUAUCUCCAGAAGUGAGGGUGCUAGUACCUUUGGCAGCGUGGACUUGGGUGAGAAUAUAAUCUCUUUCUUGGUCGUUGAGCAGUAGCUGUUGCGCUUUUGCCAACGCUGUUCAAUAAAUCAAAAUCCAUAUAAACAUGACAAGUUCAUCCAACCAAACCAAUACUUUUAAGACUACUAACCUCCAAAAGCAUCCUGUGCUUGCGGAUGCUUGCAUUUGUCAGGGUGAACCAUCAAAGAUAUCUGUUAAAAUAUACAAAUUAGUCACAAAGUUUCAAGUGAACUCUCAAUUAGUUUCGUAAAAUUAAAAUGUCUUCGAGUGACAUAACUCAAAAAAUAAUACCUUUCUGUACUGCCUUUUAACAUCAUCCGUGGAAGAGUCGAAAGAUAAGUUAAGGUGCUCAAACGGGUUCAGCUUGAAGCAUGAGAGAAUCCUACAAAUUUUCAAUUUUUUUUAUAAGACAUGGCUACAACACAUCGACCAUACCAGUAACAGUUAUAACAGUACAAGAUAAGUAAUUUACUACUAAAAGAUAUGUGCAAAUUAUCCACACCCAUUCAAGAAACAGAGCAUAUUUGAUUAAAAAAAAUGAUAAGACCCAUAUUGAAAAUCAAGUGUAUAGUGAAGAAAACUAUAGAAACUCAGACUCAGCCUAACGCAAUAUGAAUUGCAUAAUAACGAUUAUACGUUGGGUCAGAUCAGAGUUAGAAAAACUAGGCUAAAGAAAAUGUUUUUGGGAAGGAAACCUGACGACUUCGUUGUCCCUCUCAACCUCGCCGACCUCCGCGAGGAAGGAUUUUAGAAUCGCAUCGUCGUCUACUUUAACAUCUCCCAUGACUUUCGGCUUUUUUAUUAUUAUCCCUCCCUUCCCCUUCUCGACCGAAUAGAGAAGACAGAGGAAGAAACCAAACGGUGACGUGUUCUGUGUUCCCAGGCGGGUCUUCAUUUGGGAUAUAUCGGGUCGAGUCUUUCGGGGCGAACAUGUAAUUUCGGGUUUUUUUAUUUAACAACCAAAAUUUAUUUAUUACUUAGAUUGUAACCAAAUUACAUAAAUACAUAUACAACAGAGAAAAAAUAAAUAACUAAAAUGAUGAGAGAGAUUCCUGCGAACUCAAAAUCUUUGUCGCACUUUAGAUAAAUUCAAGUUCUCAUGAGUGGAUAUUGGACAAUCGCUUAUUUAAUUCUCCAUCUAGCUUUGUGCAGAAUUGUUUUCUAAACAUGCAGUUAAUUUUUGUAAAAUUGAAAUACUCAACUCAAGUAUUUCAAUUUUACAAAAUUUAUAAUCAAUGGUUGAGUAACUCAAUUGUUGAUUAUAAAUUUUUAUUCCCUUCUAUAAAUUUCAAAUAUAUUAAUGUUCUUUUUUUUGGUCAAAAUAUUAUUGUUCUUUUCUAAUUUAUAUAUCUUUCUUUUUAACUUUUAAAAUCUCAAACAAAUGAUAUUUUUAACGUGUCAUACUCUGUUUUUUUAAAGGGUUUUAGUUCAAAAUUUAGGUUAAUGCCCUUGUGUAACUGUUACAUGGAGUAGUAGUUAUCACAUUAUGUGCUUCAUGUUAUUUCAUUAUAAUAAAUCUUCUUUUCAUUAUGUGUGCCCCAUGCUUUAUAAUUUGUUGGGUCCGUCGGUGAUGUUUAUUUAAACGAAUAAAACGAGUUUUCAUCUUAUUUGCUAGCAAUAUGGAACAACAAAAGUUUUUUCUUUUUUCUGACGAAAAACAAAAGUUUUGUACAAAACAUAACACUCUUCAUAAAUAUUUCUUUCUCCAACGAGGUCAUUAACCUCAUUUAGAAACAAUAAAUUUACUUUCUAAUAAUCUUCACUCUCUCACUUUCUUUAGAAAAACCAACAGCAACAACGACAAUUAUUUGGGUUAAUAUGCAUAUAUAUUCGAGUGUACAUACUCGCAUAUAUAUACACAAUAGAUAGGUAUAUCAUAAUGCUUAUGCUUCUUAUAAAUUACUCUUUGGGUAGCGUCUUAAAUUUAUGAAGUGGCAAUGCAGAAAGGCUCGACGGACAAGAGAGACCUCCUACGUUCCUUGCAACCAUUUACCCAACCGUCAUUUCCUACACCGAUUGAUUUGUUGAUAUAGUUUUGGGUUUUUGUGUUGCGGCCCAAAGUUUCAGUGUUAUUGAGCUUCCAAGAGUAGUCACACGUGUUGAAGCAAGCUGCUCCUACGGUGUCGUCCACCGUAGACGGUGGCUUCAUUGACCGAGCGAGCUGAGCCACCCUUGGUCUUGGUGGCAGAGAGUGGACUACCGGCGUCGACAGAUCCGUUUUGGUUUCUAACUCAUCCCAUCUCGAGUUUGUUUUCGGUACACCAAUCGGCUUAUGGGCCAGCCUAUGAACAGUUAUAGGCCCAAUGGGCUUUGGUGCCAGCUUAUACAUAAGCUCACUGGGCUUGUACGCAAACUCGUCUUCUACCUCCUCCUCCUCCUCCUCGACUUCUUCUUCUUCGUCGGACCACUGAAGCUCAUCGGUUUCGUCUUCUUCGUCGCUAACGAUGUCAAUUUCGCAAUCGGGUUCGUCGCUGAUUUCCGCAAAAGUUAGGAGGAGCCGUCCGUCUUGCCGCUUGGCGGAGAAGUUGUUGUGCGACGGCAUCGAGACAGCCUCCAGAACCAAUCGGCCAUUGUCGCGGCGAGUUUUCAUGUGCAGAGCCGAACCAGAUUGGCUCGAGAGAGAACGAAUCGGAGGAGGAAACGAUCCUCGUGGCAGCUCCAUGCAUGGUGAGUGAUUUGGAACCGUGAUUGCUUCUUCUUCAGCCUCAGCCUCUGUUUCUUCUUCCUCCUUAGUCACUGUAACGUUAAGAACGAGAUCCGCCUCCUCUUUUUCGAUCUCAGCAUCUGCAUACGAAGCGAAUCCUUCGCAACCCGUCUCGGAUCCGAGACUCUCAGUGCAAAUCUCGAGGCUUUUCUCGCUCAAGGAGCUGGCGCGUUUCACCAGAGGAUGAACGUACGGCGGAGGAACCGCGUCGUUACUCGACUCCGCCUUCUUCUUGUCGGAUAAGAUCGAGCUCCAUACAUCGGUUUGGUCCGGCUCGAUCUCCUCCUUGGUCUGAUUCUUGACUUCUUGAACCUGAGCCCAAAUGUCGAACCCAGAUCUUGAUCCUUCCUCUUCGUCAGCGACGGAGGAGGCAUGGAGCUUCUUCAUAGGAGAAGACUCGUUGCGAGAGAGCCAGUUCUUGGAGGACAAGUCGGCGGAGAAAGUCCGCCUGAGCGAAGGUGCAGAUGAAGUGUUCGACGAAAUGCCACCAAGGAUGGUCACUAUGCCUUCUUGCUGCUUCUUCAACGAGGAAGAGAAGCCAAGGCUCUUGCUUAAGCCACAAGCCAUCGUCUCAAAUAGGAUCAGAACCUCUUUCUCAAUACUAUUCCCUGGCUUUCCUGCACAAUUAACAAUAAUGAUAGUAAUGUUAAUAACCACUAAUUACGAUAAACAACUCAACAGACGAAGCUAACUAUUUCUCUAUAAAUAGCAAAUGAUGAUUCAGUUAUGGAGAUUAGCAUACCUGAUGAUUUGAGAAAUUAAUCUCUGAAUGGAAAUUCAAAUGUGUGUUAGGUAGUGUUGUAUUAAAGAGAGGAAGAUGAUGGUGGUGAUGUUUUGUGGUUAGAUGGAUGAGUGAGUCAUGAAGAGAGCAGAGUGAAGAGGCGCUUUAUAUAUAGAUGUUCUUCCAUUAAUGGAACCAUGUACUGUGGGGUCCUCCAAUGAGAUGAUCUUCACUGUUUUUAUAUAUUUUGUUUAUUUGGUUUUGAACAAAAUAAAUCUUUUUAUACUUGUAGGUUAAAUAUGUUUUCGGAACUAAAUAAAAUGCCUUCUUAUGUGUUCUUUAAAAAAAAAUCUUAAGCUUUAGAGUUUGUAUAGUAUUAGUGUAUAAUGGUUUUAACUACCAAUAUUCUGUUUGGUUAGUGUGUCAGUUAUCUUCUUUUUUUGGAACAAAUUGUGUCAGUUAUCAUUUUCUUCUUUUUGCAUUGUUACACAACUACAUCAAAAAAAUUGUUUGACCAAAAUACUUAUAUUUUUUUAAGUUUUUAAGUCCAUAACUAAAUUUUGACCCGCACUUUGAAAGCGCGAGUUUUUCUUUGGAUUAUAUACAAAAUUUAUGAAUUAAUAUUUUGAAAAUGUUGUAAAUUAUUAUGUUACAAAAUCAUAUGAUAUCAAAAAAGAUAAUUUAUUUAAACUAUAUAAUUCAUGAAUUAGUUUAUUUAAGAUUUUGUAUGUAUUCUUUUUUUGUUCAAAUAUAUGUACACUCUUAUAUAACUCUCUCUUAGAUAUGAAUAUUUUGUCAAACCUGUAAGUUGUUAAAAUGCUUUGAUGAAAACACUAAUUUGUUCUAUUUUUGUGAUAAAAACACUGAUUCAUUUAAAUAAUAGAUAUCUAAUAUAUGGUUCAUUAAAGUCUUGUUAUAUGAGGUAUAAUGUUGGUUUAUAAUAAUUUCAUACCAACAUUCGAUACAAACAUAUUAUAUAAACAUUAUUAAUAGAACAAUGGUUCAUACAAAACAUACGUACAUAUUUAAAAGGCUAUAGGUCGGCAGUUUAGAUUAUAAUAUUUAAAGUCAAUAAACAGUAAUAUGUUUUAUUUAAAUGUAGGAUAUUUUUAUUUGGUUGCUAUAAAAUAAGUUGGUUAUAAAAUUUAGUUAUAUAAUAGGUUGGACUAAAAAAUGAAAGAGUCAAACGACAUUUUAUAAGUAGAUUUCUCAAGACUGCUUCCCUUUUAAUAGAAUAGAUCUUUCUUAUACCCCAAAAUUAGAUAUUAUGAUUAAAAUAAAUAAAUUUCCGUGAUAAAAAUGGUUUGAAUCCAAACACACAAAAAACCAACUCUUUAACCAGUGUUACUACAACGUCACCAACACCUUGAUAAAAAUAUUUAUAUUAACCAUAGAAAAAACAUAAUUCAGAGUUAUAUAGCCGAUUAAACUGGAAACGGAGUCCAAACAAAUUAGUUAAUGUAAAAUUUAAAGUUUAGUAAUUUUUGUAAAGAAUUUUAUUAUUAAUUGCCCACAUGCGUAGAGCCUAUAAUUUGCAUAUAUGAUAAUGUGACAAACAAAGAUGAGAAGCACUAAAAAUGUGAUAUGUAUUCGGCUGUGUAAGAUACUAAGAUGCAUAACGCGUGUGUCGCGGAAAAAAUAGUAACCGAUAUGAAACUAAACGAGUAUAAAAGCUGUGUCUUUUAUCUAAAAAAGAAGAAAGAUGUUGACGUAUGGCAUCGAUACUCUGUUGAACCAAUAACGUGGCACAUUGUGGAAGUCACAAUUUUCAUCUUCCUUUUAGAGUUAAAACGAUGAGAAUGUUCCAAAAAUAUGCAAAAAAAGCUGGAUCCCAUUAUAGAAGAAGUUACCUUUCUACCACUUGGGUUUAUUUUAUUUUGAGCAAAACAAUGCCGUUUAAACCAAACUAAACCAACUUAAAUUACAUGUACAAUUGGACCAUCCUAAACCGGUUAACAAUCCCUCUGCUAUUCACAGCCUCUCUUUCUUAUUUUCAGCAAAAGAACAGAAGUUGGUGAGUAGAGUAGGAUACGGUCCGAGAAACAUAGAUGUGCGCAUGGGGACACGAAGACUGAAUAAUUUUGUUCUUAAGUGUACGUGGUUGCAUGUCUACGUGCGUAUAUAUAUAUCAUAUAUGUAUAUAUCGGUAUAUUUUGAUGUUGAUGGUAAUGAAGAUGAUGGUAUAUCAUUAUGGUCCUGUCCACAAAACGAUAUAAAAUGUUCUAAAAGUUUCAAAAAGACAUCAAAUGCCCUAAGUACAUACAUGUUAUAUUGUUCUAUUUAAAUCGAUUAGAGUAUGUGCAAGAGUUUUCUUAAUGGUGUGUGAUCGCAUCAUAUCUCCAGAAUAUUGGCCCGCAACGUCUAAUAACAUGAUUAAUCAGAUAAUUACUCACACUGAUACUAUUUUUUCUUCAUUAAGUGUAUCCAAUUAAUAUCUAAACUAUUCAGAUAUUUUAACCUGCCAUUGGGAUUGAUCCAUAUUAUCUGCCCAGUGUAUACAAGUAUACAAUGUUUCAUCGGCUAAACUUCCACAUUCUCUAUUCUCUUGCUUAAUUAAACUGAUCGGCUAAACUUCCACAUUCUCCAUAUUUUUUGUCCGGUGUAUAUACAAUGUUUCAUCGGCUAAACUUCCACAUUCUCUAUUUUCUUCCACAUUCUUUACAGUCACUAGCUAAUUCGCGUGAAUUACUCGGAUAUCAAGUGCAUUUUAUGAAUGAUUUCGUUUAUGUAGAUUUUUGUUCUAAUAUUUUUUUUUGCGUUGCAAAAGAAGCCGUUUUAAACGCCUAUAUCGUAACAUAAUUUUUAAAAUGAAUAUAGUUGAUUGGUUCAAUUACUUUACACUGUAAAUAUUUGUCUGCAACGAUAUUAUUUGUAAAUGGAAACUUCCCCCAAAAAUCACUAACAAAUACAACAACAAUAUAACAUGUGAAGUUUGAUUUUCAAUAGAAUUAUAUCUAUUACGUACUUUGAGUAGUUAAGAAGACAAAUGUAAGAAACACAUUAUUAUUUUGAUCAAAAUUAUUUUGGUUAAGUACCAAGAAGAAGAGAAUUUAAAAAUUUAAGAAGUCUUUCUAUAACCUUUUUAGUUAUGUAUCAAGAAGAAGAUAAUAUAAAUCAACAUUUUUUUUAACAAAGUAAGAAUCAGAAAAAUAUAGUUCCAAGAAGUCUUUCUAUAACCUUCCUAAAUCUAUAUAUACAACUUUUCAAAAUGUUUCUCAAACGACUUGGGGUAUUUUUGAAAAAAAAAACAUUUCGUAAUUCUGGAAACAAAUCAUCAAAAUUAAUCUUUUAAACAAUUGCCAAAAAAAGAAGGCACAAAGGCAAAGACAUUCAAAAAGAACAAACAUUUCCAAUUAGGCUAAAGGACGAUAGCGAGAGACACUCAUUGUGGGCAAAACAUCGCUUAAGGUGGAAGCAAAGGAAUCGCCUUUCUUCAUCUUUAAAGGACCAAAUUUAAUUGGAUGGACCAAUUAAUUUACCAUAAAGUUUAUCAUUAUAUAACUGAUCAUGAGAACAUCGGUUAGUUUUUUCUUCAUCUUCAGAUCGGUUAUUAAUUGAUUCAGUCUGUGUAUAUUUCAUGGUUUCUUCACCACCUAGGAAAUGUACGACCUACGUAAGAAUUAAGAGCUGAUAGUUCCGUUAAUUUUCAAACCUAUUUUGUUCCGUAAUUAUUUGCUUACGUACUUUUAAAAUAUCUCUAAUGUAAAACUUUUUUUUUAAAUACAGUAAUUUUAUAAUAGAGUUUUGUUUAUUCUAACGUCAUUUUAUUUUGGAAUACAAAAUGAAAUAAUGAACAAAAAAAUUACUCCAUUUAUAAAAUAAAUCUAUAUUUAUUCCAUUGUGAAAUAAAAAGUUAAAUUGGAGUUGAAACAUUUCUUAUUUCGAAAUUUUUUUAAAAUAAAUUAUGGAGUAAAGUUAGAAAUGUUCUUUUACAUGAGUCUGUGAAUUUUUUUGCUGUAAAAAAAAAGAGAUGUUCUUAUAAGUAUAUACUUAAUUUAAGCUCUGGUUACGGCCACAUAUCAGUGCAAGUGUGUGUUACACCUCAUGCAUGAAAUCAGUUAGAAGAACAAGAAACAUCUAGGAGAUACGAUGACAUAAAUGAAAAGACCUAAAACGUUAGAUAUAAUAGCACAAGAGGUUUAUUUGAUAUAUUUGGAUUCCUGUUUAUCUAUUUGUAUUGUUUUAUUUUGUUAUAUAUACGUGGAAUAUACACUCCGUAUACAUACUAUUAAGUCCCCUUCAUGUAGAUAUACGUAGCAUCAUGAUGGAACAGCCACACUUGGUUCUGAACCGAUAUAGUUCAAUGUUUAUGGAAUUUAUUCUCAAACAAUCUAACACAACAAUUACCAAAAUGCUGUUAGAUACAAUUUAAGAUGAUUUAUUCGUUUUACAUUAUUUAUUUGUUUGUUUGCAAAAGAACUUUCAUGUUGUACACGAAUUUUGCUAAAUAUAUUAUAAACCGUUAAAAUAUUAUAAAUUAUAAGCCCUUUUUCAAAAAAGAAAUAUUCUAAAUUAUAUUAUAUAUAUAUAUAUAUCGGACGAGCUUAUAUAAAUACAUAAUUCAUAUCUUCAUUCGCAGUAAAACAAUUAUUAGCAAAAAUACAAACUUUUUUUACUAAAAAUAUUUGAAAACUUCGAACACAGUUUUUAGGCAAAAUAUUUGAAACAUACAAUCGAAAUACAUUUGAAUUGAAAGCAAAACACAAACAAUAUGAUAAAUUUUGAGUUUCUAUGUAAUCAAUAAUAAAAGAAAAACUUUUCAAAAAAUAAAAUAAAAGAAAAAACAGUAAAAACAAGAGCUUACCCAACAGAAGAAUCACGAAAGUGGAAAGCAACCGAAAGCUCGUAUCUUGUUGUGUGCAUGUUGGGUCCUUUUGUCUCUCUUUUUCUCUGUCUACGAAUGUGCAGAAGAUGCUUCAUAUACGUAGCGUCGUUCAUCAGAAUAAAAACAAUUAACAUUAAUUAAACAAAAGGCCUCGAUGUUGAUCCCUUUCUGAGGAUUUUAUAAUAUUAGCGUGGUAACCAAAAACAAAUUAUAGAAUAUAUAAGUAAUAUAGAAAGUUGCAUGAUCAAGAGAGCUUUUAGGGCGUAGAAGAGAUAAAGAGCGCGUCGCCACACAUGAAGAGAAGGGAAAGGCGUAAGGCGAGACAUGGAUGCGUUUUAAUUUGUCUCUCUACCUAUAAACCAAAGCAAUACAACUCAAUAUCAAUUCUAUUACAAAUUAUUCAACAUCAACAACAUCUUAAUUUCCACGAUAUAUUUAUCAACUAAUUGACGCAUAGGCACAUAACUAAUUUUAUAUACAUUUUUUAAUGGUAGGUGAGAAAAUGGGAAUUGACGCAUAGGCACACUUUUCUCGUUUUGCAUGGCUGGAUAUAUAAAUUAUUCAAAAAGAAUCAAACAUAAAUAAUUUAAAACUAUACAUAUUAUUUUAGUACCGCUCAAUCAUUUUAAAACGCCAUUUCUGUACUGUUUAUAAUGCGUUUUACUUGUUUCCAGCCAUAUGGAUCGAUACCUAGCUAGCUAGUUGACUCUUGUUUUAGGACAUUUAAAAUGAAAAUACUUUAGGAUUGUAAUUAUUUAAAAAUAUAACAUUAGCUUAUCUAUUAGUGAUAUGUUAAUCUAUCAAUUCUCUUUAUUCUAGUCAACAGUAUUCUUGAAAAUAUUUAGUACUUGGGAUUCUCUUGUCCUAUAAACUCCAAUAGAUAUGAGACUAGUUCAAACAAUGGAUUUGUUGACAGUAUUUAAUUAGGGGGUUUUAUGCGUUUCUAAUUUUAUUUUCAACAAUGGGUCGUGAAUCUAUGAGUGUGGCCUAUAAAACUAUAAACAAACAGAGAGACUAGCCAUAGGCUAGGAUAAAAUUCCAGAACAAGUGGAAGCCAAUGAAACCUGAAGUACCAACUUUUCGUUAAUUUUAAAAUGUUUUACAAUGAGGGAAUAUAUACACCUUAAUAUUCGGACGGCCGCGGGUAUUAUUUUUAAUUAUAACAAAUAUCCAAUGAUUAUAAAAAUAUCUGAUAUAAGAAGAAUAUAUAUAUAGUUCAUUUUUAUCGUGAUUUAAUAUAACCAUGUUAUUUACUUUAAUUAUUUGUCAACUUACAAUUUUAUAGAUAUUACUAUUGGGCGUUUUCUAAAGAAACACUGUUCUUCAUGAAUGAUGACUUUUACUUUGAGUAUUAGGUUCCUUUUAAUUUUAUUUUAAUUAUAAAACAAAAAUUCUGAUAUAGGUACAUUCUGACCCCAAAAAAAUAAAGAUACAUUAUUGUUUUAAUUAUAGUUUACCCUAUAUUUCCAUUAAACUCAUGAGUACGAUGGUCAACGGUGGUCUACGACCCCUUUCCGAACAAAGCUACGUAGUCCCUCACUAACAAGGGCUUGAUUGAUAAGAGCAUCAGCAGUGGUAGUCUCUGACCAACUAAAAAGUAAAAACAAAAAAAAACAAAAAAUGAAAGAGAGAGGAAAUAUGAAAGAAAGAAGUGAGCGACGUCCCUUGGCCCAGAUAUCCAAAUGCCAUUUGUCUUGUCUUGUCUCUAUUAGCUAUGUAAAUUAAAAAUUAAAAUUAAUAAUUAUCAGAAUUAAACAAUAAUAUAAUUAUUUUUUGAGAGACUUAUGUGGUUUCUUUACAUCGCUGAUGCUCUAAGAUUUUUAAAAAGUAGUAUGUUUUUGCUAACUUUUUAUAAAGUAUUUAGGAAAGUAUUUGAAAACUACAAAUAUUUUUUCCCUUUGUGUCAUUUAUUUUGUUUUGGCACAAAAUGACUUGCCAAAUAUUUAAAUAUUCUUAGCGUUCAAAAAAUAUAUUUAAAUAUUUUAAAAUAGUUUCAUAUGAAUUUAUUGUGUUACAUAGCAUGAAAUCAUUAUGUUUAUAUAUAAUUUCAAUUUUAUAUUCUUAGAAGUACUUACAUUAGUUGAUUUUUAUUAAUUCUGUAAAAUAAAAUAAAAAACAUAAUUAAAUUACAAAAUAAUUGUUAUGAUAAAUAUAAUGUGCAUGAAGAAUCAUAUAAUAUUUCUUAUAAGUUUAUAUAUAAUAUUUUUAACCUUGUUAAUCACUUAAAAUGUAUAUCUUAAUCAUUAUAUAUAUAUAUAUAUAUAUAACUCAAUAACAUACUGCACCAUACUGUUUAUACUGAUUUGUACUGUUGUUCUAUCAUCAAGAGUACCAAUCAUGCCCUUAAAUAAUUUACACAAAUUUUAAAAUAUUUUUAGUCUUCCUCUUUUUGAAAAAUAUAAUUUAUUAGUUUAUAUAUAGAGUACUAUUCUCUUCUCUUCUUUUUUCUUAACCGUAAAUUGUAAGAUGUAUUCAUUAAUCAAUCUCAUAUACCCUGUACUUUAUUUUGUAGGAAAAUUACAUAUAUAUCAAACUCUGGUUCUGGUAUAUGUAUUUCGUAUUAGCUUCUUAAAUAACUUUAAGAUACCAAAGAAUAUGUUUCCCUAAAUAAAUACGCUAACCUUAGUCUGAAUCUCAACAUUAAACCAUGUAAUCAUAACAUUAUUUAUUUUUAUUUUUUUUCCUAAAAAAAAAGUUAAACCUGAAUCUAUUAAAGACAUAGACUAACUUCCGGGUGGGAGGUGCAUCCUACGGAUAGACCUUGUCUCAGAUAUUCAAAUGAACUGAAAAACAGUAGUCCAUAUCCGUGUAAAAUAACUAGGAAAAUAACUUAGUUUCGUAUGGUAAAUGGAUCAAACCUGAAAUGUGGUGACAUCCCAAAUCAUUCUCCUUACCACAAACUUCCGGUCUAUUUGUUCGCUCUUCCUUCAAUUGUUUAUAUAUGAAUAAAAUGAUUGUUGAAAACCUUCUUUUGAGAAGCAUCCUUAGAAAUGUAGAUGUUAAGUAAUUUCCAUAAGUCAUUGGACAGAGUAAUUACCUGCAUUUUAUAAUAUGAAUGAUGUAAUAUCGUUAUUUCAUAUCUUUAUAACCGAGAGGGAGAUUUUCUUUCAUUAUAAGUGGAGUGGAUGCUAUAUUGGUGGCAGAGGAACAAAUAGAUAGAUCGAUGAAGCCAAAUUUAACAUUCAAGAAUGCAUUUCGUGUUGUCAAUUAAAAAGUGAUAAAGAUUUGGGCGAAUUUUUCUUCUUUUGGAUGGAAUUUUUCCAUUUCGUGUUGUCUAUUUCAACGUAGCAAAUCUAACAAAUCAGAGGAUGCCACGUAUGGCAACUGAAAUGAUUUAAAAGCAAAAAAAUAAAAAGGAAGGAAAGAGAACAAUAAGUAGUAGGUGACGAUCAUUUCUGCAGGUGCUCCAAACGCAACAGUGAAAUACAUUUCUAAAUGUGUAAAUUAUUUACUGGUUAAGUUGUUAAAAAGUAAUUAAAUAUAAUUAUAAAAAUAAACAUCUUUAUUUUACUAUUGUUAAAAAACAUGCACCAUCUUUCCUUACUGUUGACACGUCUUAGUGUAGAGCAAAAAAAUUGAUUCAUUAGACGAUUUUCAUCCAAACUGAAAAACACUAUUUUAAUAUAAUUUUUACAUUAAAACCUUUCUAACCUAACUGAAAUAUCACAUUAUUUUAGCAUCACACUAUAAUUUCAUACCAAAUUUGGUGUGAUACUAUCCACUACACUAAAAUACCAUUCACUCCAAAAACACUAUUCAUUUAUUUAUUAAUAAAAUGUACAAUUAAAUAAAUGAAAAAUAAAAAAUUAAAUACAUAUAAUAUUAUAAAAUAAUUUUUGAUGUGAAAUUUAGUAUUGUGGUUAGAGAAUAAUAUUUUUUUAGUGCUGAAACUAUACUAAAAUAGUAUGGUUUUCACACUAGAAUAGUGUUAUGGAUUAGGGAUGCUCUUAAUACUUCUUUGUAAAUUUGUAAGACAUGGGUGUUGUAAACAUAUAAAAACAUAUCAUAUACUUUAUUAGCAAACGAUAAUGCAUUUUUUUAACCAAAAGUACCUACAUAUAAUGAAUUUUAGUAUAAGGAAAAAAGUAACCUAACGUCCAGGAACAAUGGUCUAGUAAGAAGACUUUUGAGCCACCGUUCCAAUGGCGGUAAGAUCAACGGCUCAUAUUGGUUUCGAUUAACUGGAGGAAUCAAUGGAAGUGAAGUGAAAUGAGUAAGGACCGAACGCAACGUACGUGCCACUAAGAUAUAUGCUAAACGGCGUAGGAAUUUCAUAUUUUCAUAAUAUUCUUUGCUAUCUCUUCGAGAUGAACUAAAAUUAAAGAGAUGAUAUUAUCACUUUACUACUACGUACUCUCGACCAUCCAAUUAAAACAAGGAUAUGAUGUCAUGCAAAUUCGUACGGUAACGUUUACGAUAUAUUAUAUUCCCAUGAGUCUUGUGGAUCCCUAGUCAUUUGCCAUUUUUGUAUGUCACCUUAUGAGUUAUGGAUUGGAUUGGAUUAAUGUAUACAAUUUAUUUAAUAUAUUCUUCACUCUCUUGCACGAUUUAGCUCAAGAGCUGUACAAGUUGUAAUUUGCUACCCUUUUCGUUGCAUAUUAUUAUUAUUUAUACGCGAAUAGCAUUUCAUGUAAGAGUGUGUGUGGUAGCAUAGUGGUUUCACCACUAAAAAAAAAAAUAGAAAUUAGUUCCAGCUACAGAAUUGAUCAGUUGUAUAAGAAUAUCGAGUUACGUUAUUUAAGAUGUUGCAUAGUGAAACCAAUAGGAAAAGAAGUAUAAAGGUGGCCGACAACAAAUAAGGAUUCAGAAGGCACCGAUUCAUGAGACUAGGCAUACAACAAAACACUACAAAGCAGUUUCAUAUUGUUAUAAAAUAUAUUUUAUAUGUGGUAACAGCUUAUUUCUAAUUCAAAAUCUUCAAUUUUGAGAAUAAAGAAGCAAGGAUCAAAUAACACCUUACCUCACGCAACGCAAGUAGCAACAAGCAAGUAGUUCAUCAUCAGCUUUUUGAGAAUGUUAUUCAGAAAUAAAAUUUAACAAUACCAUUCAAUUUGAUGCUUACAGUUUAAUUUUAUAAUAAAGAUGCUUAUAGUUUUCGGAUACCCAAUUUUCAUUGAAUUGGUUCUCGUUACUUACCAGGAUUAAUUAGUUACAUUUCAGUUGUUAGGUGAUUGAAAGAGUUUUACUAUUUUCUUUAAAACUAAGAAGAAAGACCGAAGAAUGAGGAGUGAGUCGAGUGACGCGAGUUAAGAGUACGGACAAAACGUUGCGUUAGAUCUGAUUGUCCGUACAAUUUAUUGAGGGUUUGAUUGUAAUUAAGGAAAAGUUGUAACUUCUUUUGUUGAUCUUUUGUCGACGUGACAUCGAUUUUAUUGGUUUAUGUUUUUUGGGGACAAAAACUAUAAUAGAAAUAGAAAUAUAUCACUGUUUGGUAUAUUUGGUGUUUGGUGAUCGGUCACACCGAUGUUUUCUUGUUUUCUUUCCCCCUAACCAAUUGUAUCUUCGUAAGAACUUUUACAAUGGUAUAAGCCAACUUUGAUUCCAUUCAAAUCAUAAAUAUUUCGCCACUCGAGCCAUUGAAGAUUUUUCACCAUUACUUUCGAAAUAAGGAAUUGAUUUUUUUUUUUAAGUUUUCAAGGCUUCCUCCACCUACACAAAAUAAUAAAAAAAUAUAUCAAUUUGUGGAAGCACAUCACAAUAUGCCACACCAGAUUAUCAGAUCUUCCACCAUAAAACACCAUUCAUUUAACCAUCUUCUUUGAUUAGCUCACAAAAUUCUUGAUAUUAUUAAUAAGACUAUAUAUCAACUUAUUUUAUCUACGUCUUCUCAAUCAUCAGCGAUACAACUUGCAACAAAUCUUCCUGGGAGGUCAGAUAAAUGGUUUCAUCUUAUGGUGCAUCUGAAGUAGAAAGUCAUCUUCAACGUUAGACAGUGUUAUCAAGAAAAAAUUAAAACUUUAGUUUCAACCAUAUGUACAAUUAAGCAAGCAGUGGUAAGCUGAUAAUAAAAAGAGAAUUUGGAGUAAAGCACAAAUCCGUCAAUGUUGGAUUCGAAUUGUGCAAGGAACAAAAUUGCCAUUUGUUUGGCCAUGCGAAAUGAGAUUUGCUUACACCUCAUUUAGAGAAACCGAGGUUUAGGUUUUUUCCGUACUCCAACGCAGCGUUUGGCCAUGCGAAAUGAGAUUUGCUUACACCCACAAUUUUAAAGAGUUAAAAGCCAUAUGCAUAAUUUUAGAAGAUAUUGAGAUAUUGGUUAUGUAUAGUAACGGGAAAUGGUUAAUUUUGUUUGUUGUCAAAGCAAACAACCAAUAAAAAAGAGAGCAGUUAGUGGUAAUUUUUAUUCACUGUCCUAUAUUGGUUUUUGCAAAUGUGACUCUCAUAAGCUCAGUCUUUAUUCGUGUGUGCUCUGAUCGCAACAAAAGUAAUAAAUAAGGGAAAUUCAGGAAUUUUGGUUUUAAUUUGGGAAAGGUUAUUUUUUAGUUCAAUUUGUCUCGGUUUAAUCGGUUGUCAUCAGUCAUCACCAUUUUUGAAAAUUUGUAUUUCUUGUUGCUUUUUCCUUAAUAAAAUAAAUAACAACCACUUAAGAUAGACAAUUUUGUGAAGAUAAAGUUAUGCACUUAUACAUAAAUGUUUCAUUUCUCAACAGUUGGAUUUUGUUUCUCCUGAAGAUCUUGAUUAUGUAUUAUGCCACACUCUUUCCAUUUCACAAAGAUCCAUGUUUCAGAAAAAAAAUAUUUACACUUUAACGUAUUUUUAUUAGAUACUAAGGGUAAAUUAUAAACUUCCAUAAAUAAUCAAGUUUGUUUUUAAAAAAUAAAUCAAGAAAGGUCCUCCACUUAUGAUUACUUCUCUAACCUUUCAUUUUUGUUAUUUAUUUAUAACCAUCUUAUCGAUAGUCCAAGAUGGAUCGAGCAGUGAUUUUUAACAAAGUAUGAAUGAAAAUCAAUUUCAUCAAAAAGAAAAUAAAACUCACGCAGUACUGAUUACAUUAUUCCUUGAAACAACCAAAAGAAAGAAAAAAAACUUAAACAAGAUGCACACGCAACAUCUUUAUUUUAUUUUAACCAUACAUAGAAACUACCAUAAGAUGAAAUUGAAUAUCCAAUACCUUUAGAGCUGCAAAUAAAAAAUACAAACGGCAAAAGAAAUUAGCACUUUUUGUCAUCACUGUUACACAGAUAGAUAUGAGGUUUCGUUACAUAAAUUAGUGACAUGUCAUUUACAAAGUCUCAGUCACAAUGUCACACCUACUAUUGAUUAUUAACACCGUCCACAUCAUCAUCACAAAAAAAAACAUUCAUUUCAUCCUCUCAUUCGAUUCACGCUGAUAACUCACUAUGUUAUUGAUAUCGUUACCGGUGUCACUAGCUUAUAAAAUAAACCACCAUUACUAUUAAUAUGACUAAAUUUUGACUCAUCUUAUAGAGGGACACUACAAGAAAACACAAGUUUUACGAAGGCAGUUUUCCUCGCUAAUUCGUCGUAAAAGCAGUGUUACGACGAAUUAGCGAGGAAACCCGUUUCGUCGUUAUAUGUUUGUCGUAACGCAUAUAUCCUCGUCAAUUCGUCGUAAGUUAGCGAGGAAAUAAUUUCGUCGUAAAAGCGAAGGAGGAUAUUUCGUCGUAAAGACCCCGUAAAGAUUCCUCGUAAGGACGUCGCUAAUUUUCCUCGUAAAGACCACGUAAAGAUUCCUCGUAAGGACGUCGCUAACAUUCCUCGUAAUUACCACGAAAAUCAUUCCUCGUAAGACACACGUAAAUAAAUACUCGUAAAAUUGACGUAAAUACCUUGAAAGCUUUCCACGUAAAGAAAACGUAAAAACCUUGAUAGAUUUCCAAACGUUUCCUCGUAAAAACCACGUUAAGCUUCCACGUAAAGAAGCCGCAAAAUUAGCUACGAAUUUACUUCGUUUCAUUAUUUUAUAGAAAUAUAAAAAAUUAUAAUUAUAAAUAUAAUUUAAAUUAUUUAAAUUAUUAAUGAAAUUAAAAUUCUAAAAAAAUCAAAACCAAAAUAUUUUAUAUAUAAAUAAGUUUUGAAUUCAUAAUACAAGAACCGAAAUUAAAAAGAACUUGGGUGGUCGUUAAUUAAUCGCCUCGUAGAAUUCAUCACUCCUCGCCUGAACAUCCGCCUCGGCAUGUGAGUCGUCGGUCGGUGACUGGCCUGGGAUAGGAUUUUCUUGUCGCAUGGUCCUCAACAAAGUCGCCCAUUCCGGAUUUGUGGCCGCUACAACGUCCAAGAAGCCCUCGAGUCCACCCAUACGAGAUCGGAGCUGAGUAGACUCUAUACGCAGCUGAGUAGACUCUCUACGCAGCUCUUCGGACUCCCUACGCAGCUGAGAGACUUCAUCAUCCCGUCGCUGAACAUAAGACGAUGUCGCUCUCGGAACAUCGUUGACGGAACCAAUCCCCAACGUCCGUCCCUUUUUUUUAGGGACAACCUUAAAAACAAAAAAUAAAUUUUGUUAGUAAAAAUUUAAAGUUAAAUUAAAUGAAUAUUUAAAAAAAUUAAAAUUUUAGAAAAUUUACCUCCUCGUAAAGCUUAUCCACUUCAGGUGUGGAUAAGGUGACGGGUAAUCCAUCGGUGGACUGUUGGGUCAGCUGGGUCUGGCGUUCUUCAACCCGAGCAGCCAAAUCGUUGUAGAUUUGUUCGGACUUGCCAUCUAUAAAUCGGCCCGCCUUGUUCUUGUGGGUCCUCUCGUAAAGUUGCAUAAGAGACGGGAAUUCUCCCGUCUCUUUGGCCUAAAAAAACAUUUAAGAAAGUUGUUAAUUAGAAUAUAUAUAAAAAUAUACUAAAAAUUUAAUAUAAUUAAAUUUUUAAUUACCAUUUCCAAACGGACACCGGCGUGGGGUUUUUGGCCCGUAGUGUGAAGCAUCGGCCCGUUCCCGUGCUCAUCGACUGUGUUACGGGAGUUAGAGCAAGACUGGGCGAUUCUAAUGGAAUCAGGAAGACGCCAAUAUCGGAUGAGGCCAUCCCAGACAUCCGUGGUGAGCUCAGCGGGUUUGCCACGCUCAUACCCCUUCACGAUCCAGUCACCCUUCCAGUUGGAGACCGUGUCCAACAAGCGAACUUUCGCCUUCGCUUCAAACUUCUUCCUCACCCUCUCAGUGAUCCCCAAGGCCCAAUUAUAUUUUUGCUGUUGGAAAAAAUAAUUUAUAAUUAGUUUUUCAGAAAAAAAUAUAUAUAUAAAUAAUAAAAAAAUUUAAAGAUAUAUAUUUAAUUAAUAGAACUUACAGCGUAAAUUUUGAACCACGUCUUUCUGACGUAGUGGGGCGUCAUUUUCCAGUUCGGAUGUGCCAUGGAGAAGUAACCUUUUAUCGUAUCGGUUACGUCCGAUGCAAGACAUCCGUCAAUCCCCCACCUGAAAAAUACAAAUUUAAAAUAUAAAUUAUUUUUUAAAGUUAUAAAAGAAUUUAAAAAGAAUAAAAAAAUAAUGAAACAUACCAUAAAGUUCCGUCCGGUCGGUCGGGGUCGAUGACUGGUAAACCUUCUCUGCCUGGCAGACGGAGAAUGUCCUCUACGGUGUACUGCGAGUAAGGAGCACUCGGAGGCACCAUCAAAUCGGGAUGAAUCUCGGCCGCGGGCAUCGGAGGUGCCGGCAUCGUAGGAGGCACAGGAGGAGGAGGCAUCUGGGGAGGCACGUGAAGAACCGAUGGUGCACUAGAAGAAGGAGAUCCAAUGACUCUCUGAGUGUACUGAGUCUCGGGGACAGUCUCCUGACCCGAAGAACCGGGAGCUGAAGAAGACGACGGGUCUAAACGACUACCCGGCUCACCGAACAUCUCUCUGUAAUGGGCAGUAAGUCUACCUUUUCGAACCUGAGAAAAAAAUUUAAUUUUUUAAAUUUUCGUGAACAUAUACUUCCCAACAUUAUCCACCUAAUCAACACUAAAUAACAUAAGAUCCGUAAACCUAUCUAAAUUCCCUAUACUAACCACCUAAUCUAUCCUAAACUAAUCAAACUAGAGAGGAAUUAGAGAGACUUACCAUUGCUACGAAUUAGGGAGGAAGUGGAGAGGAAGUAGAGAGGAAAGACGGAGCGAGCUCGCUCGGGAUAUAUAUAAGAUUACUUGUCCUCGUAAAUUCCUCGUAAACUUACGAGGAAUUACAGAGGCCCGCGUUUUCAGUUACGACGAAAUAGCGACGAAAUACAAAGGCCCGCGUUUUCGUUAACGACGUUUUUACGACGAAAAGGGUUACGUGGAAUUAACGAGUUAACCAGUUACGAGGAAUUAGCGAGCCUUUAUUUUCUAUAAAUACCCACAACUUUCCUUCUCAAACCACACACACAAACUCACAAAACACACCCUAUCUCAAAUCACACUCCUCACCAAAAUACUUUUCAAAUUAGAAAUAUUUGAAAAAAAAAAGAAGAAAAGAAGAUAUUAGAAUUUAUGUGGGUGAGACUUAAGUCUCGCCACAUAUAAUUCCAGUAUCUUUCUUUUUUUCUUUUUUUCUAGUUUUUAUACUAUGAGGAAGUAGCAAGUCCCGCUUUUCACCAAUUUAGAAAAUUUGGAAAAAAAAAGAAGAGAAGAAGAUAUUUGGAACUCAUGUGGUCGAGACUUACGUAAGUCUCGCCAAAUGUGAUUCAAGCAUCUUUCUUCUCUUCUUUUUUUUAGUAUUUUUAAUAUUUUCGUCGUAAUAUCGUCGUUAGUUUACGACUCUUUUACGACGAUUCUUGCUUACGUGGAAUUAGCGUGCCCCGCUUUUUUAAUUUCGUCGUAAAAUCCUCGUGCCCUUACGAGGUGUUUACGACGAAAUCAUCCUACGUGGAAUUAAAGAGUGCCUCCUUCGUCAUUUACUUUACGUGGUAUUUACGUCAAUUUACCUUACGAGGUCUUUACGACGAUUCUGUCCUACGUGGAAUAAACGACGAUUUCGUCGUACAUUCGACGUUAAAUUACGAGGAAUUAACGAGCAGUACGUUUAAAUCCCUAAAAUCCGAAACCCCAAACCCCAAACCCCCAUAUUCCUUAUCUUCUACUUCAUAUAUUUCAAACCCCAUGUUUAUUUCCAUUCCAAACCACAAUUCCCACAUUUACUUAUUUAUAAAACAAACUCCCACAAUUUCUUAUUCAUAAAACAAACUCCCACAUUACCUUAUUCAUAAAACAAACUCUCACAUUACCUUAUUCAUAAAACAAACUACACAAAAUCAAAUACAUCAAUCGGAUACAUCGACAUUCUCGUCAUCACUAGAAAUAUCAUCAUUUUCAUUAAACUCGUCUUCUACAGCUUCGUCUGUGGCAUCAUCGGUAAGAUCUUCGUAUUCGUGAUUAUGCGGAUCAAUGAGAAGGAUGUCAUCAACUUCUUGUUCAGGUUCCUCGACUUCAUUUAUCUGUUCUUCUUGCAAUGGUGGUUCUUCUCCACUGAUGAUUCGUCCUCGAGGUGUAACUUUGAUCACUGCUAACCAAUUUAUACCCGAAUCUCUCAUCCGAGGGUAUGGAAGGAAGCUAACUUGGUCUGCUUGUGAAGCUAAGAUGAAAGGCUCGAAUUUGUUGUACCGACGUCCACCGUUGACAUCAACUACACCAAAUUUGUUAGACCGAACACCUCUGUUGACGACGGGGUCGAACCAUUCACAUUUGAAGAUGACGCAUUUCAGCUUCAGUAUCCCUGGAAAUUCGACUUCAAUAAUCUCCGUCAAGAUCCCGUAGAAAUCUGUUUCCCCUUUCACACAUAUUCCAUAGUUACUGGUCGCCCGCUGUCUACCAUACUCAUAUGUGUGAAAAGUGUAGCCUCGUGUGAAAUACAUCUGUGAUGUGGUGACCUUUACAAGUGGAGAUUGAAUUACUUCGUGUAACCACUUAGGAUAAUCUGCAUCGUCGUCAUAAUCAACCUGCAAAAAUAAAGAGAACAUUAAAAUACAAAUCAUGUAUGAAAAAAUAGUUUGAGUUAUAAUACCUGAUUCCGCAACCACUUAAUGAAGUGCUGAUCUUUCCUUUUGUCUACGUCACUUGUGGAUAUACCAGGAAAUGUUUCUUCGACUUGAGAAACAAAUAGGCUGUAAAAUUAAUCACAUUUCAUAGGAAUGAAUCUCUUGCAAUUAUAUAAUUAAUUAUAUGUGUUUUGAAGUGUCCAUAUAUGUUACCUUUCAAAAUAACGCAUCAAUGGAUCCUCGCAAUUGAGUAGAAUAUAGGUGUGUGCACUAUGAGCGUCUUGUUCACUCGACCACCAAACCUCUUUAGACUUCCCACCGAGUCGUCCAAUCUGGCUAAAGAUGUCUGGAACACCAGCAACUGCAUAUGUUGGCGCAACUCCACCAUCAUCAUAUCUUCUUGGAGCUCUUCUACGGGUACGUACUUUUGACGCAAAGUAGUACGAUGUGAAGUGAGAAACUUCUUCCGUCAAACUUCCAGCAAUUAUAGAACCUUCAACUUUGGCGAGGUUCUUUGCUUUUCCCUUCAAAUAUUUCAUGGCUCGCUCAUACUGAUACAUCCAUCCGUAAUGUACAGGUCCACGAAGCAAUGCUUCAUAUGGGAGGUGGACAGCUAGAUGCUCCAUGACGUCAAAAAAUCCAGGAGGAAAUAUCUUCUCCAAGUUGCACAAUAAGAUGGGAAUGUUCUCCUGAAGCUGUUCUACAACUUCUUCUUUAAGAGUGCGUGUGCUCAGAUCCCUGAAAAAUGCUCCAAUGCCUUUUAUAUUCCAAAAACAAUUAAACACAUUGUUAGUCGUAUAUUAUUUUGCAAACUAGACCGUUAUAAAAUUAUUGUGAUAUAAAACACUACGAACCUGCAAGUGCUUCAUGUACGUUUGUUGGAAGUAGCUCCGCAAAUGCAAAGGGCAGUAGUCGUUGCAUAAAGACAUGACAAUCAUGACUCUUCAUCCCAGAGAACUUUUGACCCUUUUCAACACAUCUAGAGAGAUUUGAAACAUACCCAUCGGGGAACUUCACUUCUGAUGCCACCCAGUUGAACAACACCGACUUUUUUUCUGAAGACAGUCUGAAUAUCGGAACGGGAACUUGUCCAUUGCUUUUAAUAUGUAACUCGCUUCUUGAGCAAAUAUCCGGCAAGUCCAACCUCGAUUUUAUGUUGUCUUUUGUCUUCCCUGGGACAUUCAAUAUUGUAUUCAUGAUGUUCUCAAAGAAAUUCUUCUCUAUAUGCAUCACAUCGAGGUUGUGGCGCAGAAGAAGAUCCUUCCAAUAUGGCAACUCCCAAAAUAUACUCUUCUUGUGCCAGUUGUGAUGAACACCGUAAGAAUCAGGCAUAUUACGAGGGACAUGCCAAUUACCACCCCAACGAACUGUUUCGUUAGCUCCGUAGUAGUCGAUUUGUGCUUCAAUUUGUUCUCCAGUUAGAUAUGGUGGAGGAGUGUCUCUCACAACCCUUUUGUGCCUAAACAAAUUCUUGUUUCUUCGGUAAGGAUGGCCAAUGGGAAGAAAUCGACGAUGACAAUCAAACCAACUUGUCUUCCUACCAUUCUUCAGUUGAAACGCAUCUGUCGUUCCAUUACAAUAUGGACAAGCUAAUCUCCCAUGUGUAGUCCAUCCAGACAACAUCCCAUAUGCAGGAAAGUCACUUAUGGUCCACAAAAGCAUAGCUCGCAUCGUAAAAUUCGUCUUCGUUGAACAGUCAUACGUCCUCACCCCUGUUGACCACAAAUCCUUCAACUCUUUUAUCAGUGGUUGUAGGAAAACAUCCAGGGACCUUUUUGGAUGGUUCGGACCAGGUAUCAAUAUCGUCAAGAAUAGCAACUCCCGUUGCAUGCACAUCUCCGGUGGCAGGUUGUAUGGCGUAAGAAAGACUGGCCACAAUGAAUAUUGUCUCCCUGACAUUCCGAACGGACUAAAUCCAUCUGUGCAUAAUCCGAGAUACACAUUCCGGCUAUUGCUAGCAAAAUCCGGAUGUACUUUGUUGAAAUGUUUCCAGGCUCUUGCAUCUGAUGGAUGAGUCAUCUCACCAUCCGUCUGAGUAUGCUCGGCAUGCCAUCUCAUCUUUGCAGCAGUCUGCUCUGAUUGAUACAAUCUUUUCAAUCUGUCUGUAAUUGGUAGGUACCACAUCCUUUGGUACGGUACCCUAUUACGUCCCCGUCCUUGCGGUUUGAAUCGUGGCUUCUUGCAGAAUCGACAUACUUCUAGCUUCUCAUCAUCUCCCCAAUAGAUCAUGCAGUUGUCGAUGCAGACAUCUAUCAUCUCCGAAGGCAACCCAAGACUAUAAACUAAUUUCUGAAUCUCAUAAUAAGAAUCAGCAGACACAUUGUCUUCCGGCAAAUACUCUUUAAACAAGUCCGCCCAUUCGUUCAUGCAACUUUCAGGUAGAUUGUGAUCAGUUUUAAUAUUCAUCAUUCUAGCAGCCAACGACAAUUUAGAGAGACCUUCUCUACAACCACUGUAAAGUGGUUGAUUCGCCGCGUUUAACAUUCCGUAAAACUUUUUUGCAUCUAUAUUAGGUUCUUCAUCUUCAUCAUGAGCUACGAAUGCAUCAGCUACCAUAUCAUGAACCCUAUCAUAAUCUACCAUCUCCUCCUGAUGGUAACUAUGUUCAUUAUGCAAAUGAUGAUUAACCGGUUCUUCCUGAAAAUUGCUAUUACUACUACUAGCUUCAUUCUGAUCAUAAUUAUAACCUUCCCCAUGUUGAAACCAGAUAUAGUAAUUUGGCGUGAAACCUCUAUUUAUUAAAUGCUUCCAAACAUUUUCACGGUUUGCCAAUUUCGAAUUGUUGCAUUUCCGACAAGGACAGAACAUCUUACCACUUUCUUGGGCGAGCGGUGUUGAAUCUGCUUGGUGCAUAAAUGUCUCCAGCCCCGCAAGGUAUUCUUUCGUCACUCUCCCGUUAGCAUCUCUAUGCAUAUACAUCCAAUUCCGCAACUCGUAAAUAGUCCCAGAGCCAGCCAUUUUUUUUUCUUUCACGUUUUUUGUUGUUGGUGUGUUUAAAAUGAUGUUCCAACAUCCAUAUUUAUAGAAAAUUUCGAAUCUGGUAGUUGUAAUUUUACUAUGAAAUUACGACGAAAAUUAAUUGUAUGGCCAAAAAAAAAACGUGAGCCACCUACCAAGUUGGUGGAUUCAAAAUUUCCUCGUUAAGUACACGUAAAAUAUUUCGUCGUAAAGCACUCGCGAAAUUUACGUGGCUUUUACGAGGAAAAACUAUUUCCUCGUAAAAGCCACGUCAAUUUACAUCGUCUUUACGACGAAUUUUUUUUGUCGUUACCUUACGACGAAAUAACGAUGCUUUUCUUUCUCAACGUAAUUUCCUCGCAAAAUCAACAUUUUUUUACGAGGAUUAUUUUUCCUCGUUAAACUUCCUCGGUAAAGAUACGUUUUCUUGUAGUGGGAUGUUUCAUGUAGUGAAGCCUUUUAACAAAAAAAAGGGAUGUUUCAUGUAGUGGUGCUUCUGAAGUAGAAGCAGUCAUCUUCAACUUUGGACAAUGUCAUAAAGAUUAUUAAAACGUUAAAUCCAACCAUACGCAUAUUUAAAAAGUUGUAAAGGAAAAAAAAUACAAUUUCAAAAUAAAAAGCCUCAUAGAACAACUAUGUAUCUAAGGCCUAAAGCUCAUAUGAGCAUAUGAGGCUUGGCUGGUUGGCAUAAAUCCUUACUCCAACUUAUGUACAGCAGUAACUUGAAAAACACAAUGACACUUCUUUAAAAGCAUGUAUUGUGAUCAAAGCCCGUGGAGUAGCUCCAAAUGGAGGUGGAGAAGUUCUCUUUACAAGUUCCAAAUGUGCAGUUUCUCACUGUAUUUACUUCUUCGUUUGGCUUUAGACCUGACACAGUGUCAGGAACUGUCAAUAAUCACUUGCGUUGGAAUUUGGAAGUGGUUUUAUUAAUUUCUCUAGGAAGCUGUGUUAAUUCUUCACAAUCAGCUUCACAGUUUGUCUUUAUAAAAAAAACGCUUUUCUAUAGUUGAAAACUUGCAAAUAGAUGUGUAUUCUUUGUUUUAUUCAAGUCUGUUAAAGAUGUAUUCUCACAUUUGGUAUAAUUGUAGAGAGUAACAAAAUUUAUGAAAUGAUCCACAAAAACAAAGAAAGCAAACAACAUUUAAUUAGUAUCACUCAGAGAUCUCGCAAAAGAAGAGCAGAGGAGGUUUCAUACCAUCUAAAGAGAGGAGAGAAUCGAUGGCGUAUAUGAUUUUGACGAAAACAAAGGGUGUUUGCAGCCAGACACAGCAAACACUACCCGUCCAUUGCUGCCUUGAACUAGACCAUGUAUCUGAGCUCCACUCCACAGGAUGAUGCAUAACAAGCCUUCCUUUUUUUGGCUUCAUAUGGAGAAGUUUUGCAUUGGAUCCGCCUGAGUGAGAUGCUACAAGAGAGCCUCCUACAAGCACCCGUGUCCAUAAAAAUACACAAGGAAACAGCAUUGCAGACACUAGUUCCUGCAGAUCCAAGGCACCAAAACCAAGUUCAAUACUGAGUGGAACCGGUUAAUCACCAGUAAUCACCACAAGAGCAGACUCCAUCUUUAAAAUGAUGAAACCGGUUUGAAUCUCUCACAACGAUCUCUCUCUCAGUGAUCCUCGACAUGAACUUAGUAACGCUAUGACAAUCGCUACACACCCUCAGAUUCUUAAAAAUCUGAAUCCUCGUCUUCGGAGGAGUGGUAACAAGCGCAAAGGCAAUAGCCAACCUUUCGCUAUGACUCAUCAGUAUAUGCUCUUUCUCAUCGUCCUCAACAUCCUGCAGCACGAACCUAUGGUCCGGCACAUACCCAAUCAUCUUCAUCUUCUCGUGCAACAACCUCAACUCCUUGUAGAUCUCCUCGUACAUGGGAUGCGUCUGGUUUCCCGUGUAAAAGACUUCGACCUUGUUAUUUACUUCCAUUGAGCUCCAGCCUGGUGUCUUCCUUAAACCUUUGCCACGUAUCUCAUCAACCCCCUCCCAUUUUCCAGCGCUAGCGUACAUGUUCGAGAGCAAAACGUGAUAACCAACAUGCUCAGGCUCAACCUCGAACAGAUGCUCAGACGCAACCUUCCCCAAGUCCACGUGUCCGUGUACUCUACAAGCGCCGAGGAGAGCUCCCCAGAUGGAUGCAUCAGGCCGAACCGGCAUGGCUUUGAUGAAGCUAAACGCGGUUUCUAACUGACCCGCUCGGCCAAACAAAUCCACCAUACAACCGUAAUGUUUCAAGCUCGGCGCUAUGUUAUAAUCUCUUUGCAUCGUCUCAAACAACCAUCGACCCUCGGUUACUAAUCCAGAAUGGCUACAAGCUGACAACAGAGUCACGAAUGUUAUAUGAUCAGGCUUCACUCCUUCGUCAAGCAUCUCUCUAAACAGCUUCAUCGCCUUCUCCCCAUGCCCGUGAAGCCCGUGGCACGCUAUCAACGUGUUCCAUGGCACCGAGCUGACUCUUGGGAUUUGAUAGAACAACGAGAGUGCAUCCUCUAGCCGUCCACAUUUUCCAUACAUGUCAGCAAGGCUUGUUCCAAUGAAAACAUCCGAACAAAGACCGUUCUUCAAGAGCCGGCCGUGGAUCUUCACGCCUUGGCGCAAGGCUCCGGACUGAGAACAAGCGGGCAGAACGCUCACCCAUGUCCCUUGGUUAGGUGUCAUCUCUCCUCCUUCCUCCAUUUCGUUAUACAUCUCAAUGGCUUCAGCAGCAAAACCGUUUUGCGCAUAACCAGAUAUUAUUGUAUUCCAUGAAAUCACAUCUUUGUUUGGGAGAUAAUCAAACACCGCUCUCGCUGAAUCAACAAGGCCUAGCUUUGCAUACAUGUCAACGACCGUGUUUCCAACGGUCACAUCUUCCAAAAGCCACCCCUUCCGCAACACGAAGCCUUGGACUGAUCUACCACCUCGAACAUCACCUAACUGCGCGAGCGUAGAAGCCAAACUAAUCAAAGUGAGGCAAUCUGGUUGGAUUCUGUUAAACCGCAUCUCCUCAAACAGCCUAAGCGCUCUAAGCGGCUGCUCAUUCACCUCAUAGGCCUUGAUCAUAGAGUUCCACGUAAUCAAAUCCCUCACAACCAUCUCAUCAAACACCUUCUGGCAACCCUUGAGGUUGCCAGACUCGGCGUACAUAUCAAUAAGCUUGUUGGAAACAAACAGCUCAGAGUCAAGCCCGUGUUUAAUCGAGUACAAAUGAAUCAAAACUCCUCUAACGAAGUCUCCAGCCUCCGUGCAAGCGGCGAGGAGGCUCACGAUAGUAACAGCAUCCAUGCCCUUCAGCUCUUUAGAGAGAGCUAACGCCUCCUCGGCGUUCCCGCUUUGACAGUACCCUGAGAUCAUAGCGUUCCAAGAGCCCAUGUCUCGCACAGGCAUCUCAUCGAAGAGUCUCCGCGCGUUCGCCACCGGUCCGUACCUGCAGUACAGAUGAACCAACGACGCGGCGACGAAGACGUCCCACACAAACCCAUACUUCAAGGCCGAGCAGUGAAUCUUCAUCCCAUCAAGGAGACUUCUACAAGCUUUCAAGACCGAAGGAAAAGUGCGGUAAUCAGGCUGUAGUCCUGAAGUCAUCAUGAAGAGACUAAAACACUUAAUAGCUUCCGAAGAGCUUCCCGAACGGACGUAGCCAGAGAUCAUCGCGUUCCAGGCGUAAACGUCUUUGUUCUGGAUGUUGUCAAAGGCGUGACGAGCCAAGGCGAGGCUCCCGAGGUAACAGUAGAGGUUGACAAGCUUAGCUGAGACGCAGACGUUUUGGAUGGCUUGGGAGACAAUGAGACGCGCGUGAAGGCACUUGGCUGAGUGGAGUUUAGUGCAGUGUCUGAAAAGCAUGUGAACGUCAUCAAUCCUUUUACCGAACUGAGUUUCAAUUCCAUGAUCUUUCGUAUAGUCUUGCAAAGCAUUUGCAGGUGCUGAGAAUUCUCUGAGAACUAAUGCGAAAACUCCGGUAAAGCGCCCACCUUUGCAGGUCUGAAAUAGUCUGAACAGAAGAGAAAACAUCAAGACAUAAAUCAAGAAGAUAAUAUCUAGAAAUAUUUUCUAAGUUGUAUCCAUUGGUACCUCAACAUACAUGCAAUUAGAGUCUUGCAAACUUGGGAGGAUUCACACCAAAAGGCUUCAGUGAAAGUCGCAUAAGAAAGAUUUCAGAGUGAUAUCAGCCAUGUGCCAUUUGCUGAGUCAUAUAACAUUAAGCUCUUGAUCAUUUUCGAUUCUCCAUCAUCUCAGAGAUCUCUCCAAACAAUCCCAAGAAGACGAGAACCUAAGUUGGCCUGCAACUAACACAUUAAGAAAAGAAAAAAGAUAAAGCUCAAAGCAUGAAACUUUGUGCUCAUAAUAAGCUGAAAGCAUGAAACUUUGUACUCAGUAACAGUUUUUUUUUUAAUUCUAAGGGAAUAUGAUAAUCUAUAAGACUCCUACUGGAUUCAGUCGACGCAAUGAUUCUUUUAACCAAAUCCGAGUACGCGGCCGCUAAUGCGUUGAUCGGAGACUUACCGUGGCGAGGAGGGGACAAUCGGAAUUGGAAAAGAUCGUCGAGGAAUAGCUCGAAAUCGAGUUGCUAAAUCUCACGAAACUAGCUUAAUAGGUUCGACCACCGGAUUACGUCGAGCAGUGUAAAAAGAGGCUGAGGGUUACACACCUUCAUGAAAUCUGAAGGUGGAUUUGUUUAAACCCUAAAAAAAAAAAAAAUUAUUUGAGGAAGACGAAGGCAUAUUUACAAUUUUGCCCACUCAUUAGUUAAAAAAUAAGGAAAUUAGGGGUCAUGUCCAUAACAUAUCAAAAAUUAAGAAUAUACACAUAACAACGUUUAGGCUACGAUAUAAUACAUAUUAUUAUGAAAUUGGAUAAUAAUGGCCUUAACUGCACGUGAAAAAAAAAGUAUCUUUGUGUUUUGCUUCAUGAAACUAAUAGAAAAAAGAAUUUGAGUAGCAGCUGGAGAACAUAAAAGAGGUACAUCAGAAAGCGACAAUUACAGAGUGUUCGUAGAAAUAAGAGAAUCACUUAACGGCACGACUACCGAGGAACCAGCUGAAUCUCAGUAAAUUUGUUAUGAUUGAAUAGAAUCAGGGGAUCAAGCAACAAUCUCGGUUACCGUGAGACAAAUAUGUGAAUCAAUAUCUUUAAAAAUAUGAAGAACAAUGCGAUGGAUUGAAUUGGGGAAGAAGAACAGUAUCUUAUGUCAUGGAUUCCCUUUCCCACCUCCCCUCUCUUCCCCGGUCUCUCUCUCUCCAUUCCUCCUUCAUUUCCUCCAUACUUUUAUCUUUCCUCCUUCUUCCUCCUCCCUUCCUGUUUGGGUUUGGUUUUACAAUUUGGGUUUAGGGUUUGGGUUAAGGGUUUACGAUUUGGGUUUAGGGUUUAGAGUUUGGGUUUAGGGGGUUUAGGGUUUUGGGUUUAGAGUUUAGACCUUCAAGGUUAAGGUUUAGGUAGCUCCGUUAUAGGCGAUGGUUUGGUUUUACAAUUUGGGUUUAAAGUUUGGGUUAAGGGUUUACGGUUUGGGUUUAGGGUUUAGGGGGGUUAGGGUUUAGGUAGCUCCGUUUGGGUCUAUGGUUUGGGUUAAGAAUUUGUGUUUAGGGUUUGGGUUUAUGGUUUAGAGUUUUGGUUUAGGGUUUAGGUAGCUAUGCUAUGGUUUACGGUUUGGGUUAAGAUUUUGGAUUUAGAGUUUGGGUUUAGGGUAUACGGUUUGGGUUUAAGAGUCUACCGUUUGGGUUUAGAGUUUAGAGUUUGGGUUUAGGGUUUAGUGUUUAGAGUUAUGGUUUAGAUAGCAGGUUUAGGGUUUAUUUGGUUGUGUUUCAUUAUGUUAACUAACAUCAAUUGCCAUGCUAUUCUAAAUGAAAUAUAUUAUACUUAGAGUGAAAUUAUUCGUGUGACUAUACUAAAUAGUGUGUAGUAUAGUAUGAUAAUUUUAUCUUCUGCAUUUCAACAUCAAGCGCACGCGCUUGGAAGGAGAUUUUAGUCAUGUUUUGCGCAAAUUGUCCCAUCCAUCUUGAGUUACUGUAUAAUGGCUAUAUUCUUCAUUCUUUUACCUCUUAUGAAUAUUCAGCAAAUUCUCCUUAAAAAAUAAGCAAAACAAAAACGGCGACAAUGAGAGUCCGUCUCUUCGAACCUAAGAAAUCUGAAAAAAUGCACAACUAGAACUACUGGACCACACUCAUUUAAUUUGUCUAGAUUUUUAUACUAAUUAAACAAUAAACAAAUAUCCGAAACUUAAGAAAAAUAUAUAAACUUAGGUGAUGAAUAUCUGUGGUUUUUGUUUUUCUAAAAACUAAAAUUUAGGGAAACUAGAUUUUUUUUUUAACCGAUCUGUGAAGAAAAACCAAAACUAAAUUUUGUGGGUUUUUAAUAAAAACAAACGAAAUUUGUUUCUCUUUGUAGAAAGAACUAAAUUUUAAUUAAUUAAUAAUUAAAUAAAUAAUAUUUUCAUAAAUAUAAAAUUCCCAUACAAGUUUUUGUUGAUAAAAUGUCAUUUAAACAAUAAUGUAAAAUAAUUUAUUUCAUUUCAUAUCUGUAAAUAAUACUUAAAAUAAAAUAAUUUAAAAAUGUUAAUGUAUUUUUUAACUUUAAAUAACAAUCAUUAUAUUUUGAUUAGUUUUAAUGGUAACUUCUAAAUAUGUUAUUGCUAUUUUGUUAUUAUUUUAAAAUAAUGUAUUGAUUAUCUUUUGAAAAACUAAAAAAAAAUUUAAAACUAAAAACUAAAAGUUAAAAAUCAAAAUAAAAUCUGAAAAUUAAAAAUCAAAAUCUAAAAUCUAAAACCAAAAUCAACUAGCUAGACCUACACCUGUUGCUCGACUCAAGCCUAUAUAUAUCAUAAGUUAUAUGAACAUCCUUCCUUUAUUAUACAGCUUGUUAUUAUAACUUUUAUGAAUAUAGUUUUUGCCGAAAAAUUAUAUUUUCAAAGAGAAUUUAUUUUGGUAGAUAAUAAUAAAUAAUAUAUAGGUAUGCAUUAGGUACAUAAUUGUCAAACCUUUUUAACUAAGUAACUAACAAAUGUUUUGAUUAACAACACAAAUUUUUGUCUUCGGACUCAUCAUUCAACAAAAGUGAUUAACCAAUCUUGUUUAAAAUAAAACCUUCCUUCUUCUUUUUUAUGUCAACGUAUUAUCAAAAUAAUUUGUAAAACAAAUCCAAAAUCAAAAACCACACGAUGUUCUACAUUCAUCUCUUUCUUCUCGUCCACCAGUUACUUAAUCCAGACUCCCCGGUACAUAUGUCACAUCUCACUUAACCAUAAGCUACCUUUUACUUUUCAGACCUUAUUAAUAACCUUUUAUAGAAGACAUACAUUAUUCCCAUGCCUUGCAUAUCAUUUAAGCAUACAGAAUAUACAGUUUCACUAAAGCCAUCAUCAUUCAUCAAAAUGAAGAUUCACUUGGUUAUCCUCCUUGUCCUAUCCAUCUAUGCCACACCAACACUUGCCAAACCCGCUCGACCAUUUAUCUUAAAACUUGUUCGGCACAAAGCCGAGAAGAAUUCAAAGUUAUACAUAACUAAAGAGAGCGAUGCAACAAUCUCCCACCUCACUCCUAACCGUGAACCACCGGUUUUUCUAGCAAAGUUAUCAAUUGGUGAGCCACCAGUUCCACAACUGCUGCAUGUGGACACUGGUAGUAGUUUCACAUGGGUCAAAUGUGGGGGAUGCAUCACAUGUCAAACUCAAUUUCCGGGGUAUAAUCCAACGGCAUCAUCAACAUACAGUAGCGUGAGUUGUGACGACUCUUCUUAUGAGUCAUCUCCAGCGUUGUCCCCCGUCAAAAGAACCGGAGAAUGUCAUUACCGACAGAUGUACUUUGACGGCUCAGAAAGUAGGGGUACGUUAGCCAAAGAGACUAUACUGUUUGACACGGAGGACGACGGGAUUGAAUCUGUGUCAAAUGUUGAAUUUGGAUGUGCGCAUGAAAUCAUUGUUGGGUUUAAUGUUGGAACUGGUCUACUCGGGCUAGCAUAUGGAAAGUUCUCGAUUUUAAAACAAUUUAGCAACAAAUUUUCUCUAUGUUUUGAGACAUUUAGUGACGACCCGAGUUCCGGUCACAGCUUUCUAGCAUUAGGAGAUGGAGCAAGGACCACAGGACAAUCAACGUCAUUAUUUAUGAGGUAUGGUCAUUACCAUGUGGACAUAGAGAGAAUCAGUAUCGAUGGAAGAACUAUAAAUAUUCCAAACCAGUUGACACCGAUAGGAAACACAAUCAUCGACACUGGGACUAGUAUGCUAAAUUUGGCUGAAGAAUCGUACAGUGAGUUUAAGACUCAUAUAGACAGCCUUCUUGACGGACACCUAAACAGCUUUAUGGAUGGUCAUUUGGUAUGUUACAAUGGGACCAUUCAACAUGAGCUGCCUCAAUUGCCUACCGUUACAUUGACCUUCUACAAGGGGGCCUCUUUAGAGUUAGACCCAACCAGUCUAUUUCACCAACUUGAGGAUGAAUAUUUCUGCUUAUCUGUGAUGAUGAGCCCUAAAAUUGAUCUCAGCAUUAUUGGGACAAAUGCGCUUCAGAGUUAUAACAUCGGGUUUGAUCUUGACAAUGAAACCAUUUACUUUGACAAAAUCUCGUGCGAUUACCUUGACUAGAUUGAUAUAAUUCCAAUGCUUUUUUUUAUAAAAUUGAGUUCCGUUGUUCCACACCGUGUUUGAUAAUUAAUAAGAGACGAAUUUUCUUAAAUUGCGAAUAUUUCAAUCUUUUAAAACUUGUUGACAAAUAUUUUUAUUAAAAAGAAAACAUAGACACAUAAUAGAAGAACUGUUUUACUAAAAUUAAAAUGCUGUAAAAUUAUUCUAAAAUUAUAGUCUGAUGUUGUAGCAUGGAGAUAAUUUCCGAAUUAAUUCAAGUAUAUAUGUAACAGAAUGGAAUGAUAAAUAUAAGAUGGAAUAGAGUUGAUGAUGAUAUUGUUAAAAAAAAUCUCAUUUUCAAUUAUUUUAGAUACAAUAUUGUAAAACGCGGUAGGUGCUAGGCAAUAGUACCAAACUGUUGCAAAGGCCGUGUGCUUCGUGGUUUAAUAAAAUGAAGUAUGUUUGGGUAUGAACCAAUGAUAAGAUUGAAAUUUAAGACAUAAUAAGCUGGAGUAUUUUCACCAAAAGAAAUGCAAAAAAGAAAGAAAAUGAUAAAAAUGAAAAAUGCAUUUCAAAGAAGAAAUUAUUAGAAACUAGAGAAGUUCUAAUAACAUGUGUCACUACGUAAAUAGUUUACUUUUUUCUGCAUUUAAGUUUUAAAUAUAUUAUCAAAUAGUAAUAUAUAAUAUAAUAUAGAUGAAAUAUCAUAUUUUUCCAAUGGAAUGUUCAUAGGAGUACCAAGUAUUACAUUAGCGACUUGAUGUGUUUCGUUACACGGUAGCGUGAUAUUUAACGACUUAAGUGCUUUGUUGUCUAGCUUUGUCUUUACCUUUCCGACUGAACAUACUUUCUCUGGACUGAGAUAUUGUUUAAAAAACAAUAUUUUUUGCUUAAAGUGCAUGUGCACAUUGUUGCCCAGCCCUUAUUUCUCAGGACUUUGUUUUAAACAAUUACAUGUUUUUUGAAAAAGGAAACAAUUACAUGUUGUUUGGUUGAACAUCCCAAAAGGAUCAUAAGUGCAGGCAUUAUAGUUUAUAUGUAUGUAGACUUUUCUAACGAUGUAUUAUUAUUUAGGUGCUUGCGAUUUAGCAUGGUUCAAACGAUUUAUCACCAAAACCUUACUGAGCUCUUUUUGAAAGGCAUAUAUCGUGAACUUUUAAAAUAUGAACUUGUAUCAUUUAAACAAAUAUGAUCUACUGAAAGCUAGUAAAUAUCACAUUUUCAACAAGUUUUGUCUGACAACAAUUCUUGUUCAACAACCAUUUAAGAACUGUUAUUACUAAACCAGUAUAUAACAUAACUACAUAACUCUUCCAAUCAUAUCUUCUUACAUCACAUUUCCCUCGAAUGAUGAAUUUCAACAAAAUAUACUUUUUCUUGUUCUUUUUCCUUUGCACCUACCAUUGGUGCAUUAUGUCUAGUAGGCCCACUCCAAGACAAGCGUUAAGCUUAGGAGGACAUAACAGGAAGAUAAUACACGUAUUUCUUAAAAAGUUUCCACCAGCAAUUUUUGCUCGUGUUAAUAUCGGAGACCCACCGGUCGAAGUUUGGCUCCAUAUAGACACAGGCAGCGACUUGACUUGGGUAACUGACGAUUCCCGUGUCGGUUACGAUCCACUAGAUUCUUCAACCUUCAGCUAUAGAAGCUGUGAUGGACUAUCCAAAUCCCCUUCUGUGACUCCAAGUAGAAUAAGGGGACAAUGCGAUUACGUCCAACGACUUGCGGACGAUGCAGUAUAUGCAGGUACUCUUGGAAACGAAACAUUUACUUUUGAGACGGGAGAUGGGGGAAUAGGCAUGUUAAAAAAUGUCUUGUUUGGAGUUGGAAAAACAGUCGCGGGGAUGGCAACUGGAAUGGGCACCUUAGGGUUAAGUUUGGGAGAGCUAUCCAUAAUCAAAUCAAUUGGUACAAAAUUCUCAAUAUGUGUAGGAAACUUUAAUUAUAUUAGUCAAGGGAAACAUUUUCUCGCUUUAGGAGACGAUGCGCUGCUUGUUGGGAGGAAGAUAUUGUUAGAUACAAAAGGUAACACAUAUAGAAUCAAACUGAGUUCAAUAACCAUAGAAGGACAAAGUCUGGGUAUAGAAAACGUUUUGUCUAAAACCAAGUCAAUAUUGGACACCGGGACUUCUACCAUUAGUUUGGUACAAGAAGUAUAUCCUGCUGUUGCCGAAAAAAUCAAGAAAAUAAUGAGCGAUGCGGGGUAUGAAGAGUCAGACAUAUAUAAGGAGCACAAGUUCAUAUGUUACAAAGGAGUGAUACCAGAACAAAAGAAACUACAAGUUAGCCUGAAAUUUGGGAAGGUAUCAUUGGAUAUGGAUUCAACCACUCUGUUCAUCCAACUCAAAUCCAUAGCUGAAGAAGUCUUUUGCCUAUCUGUGAAUGAGUCACCUAUAGAAGAAAAUCUAAUCGGGAUACCGAUAUUCCAAAAUCACAACAUAGGUUUUGAUACUGUAAACAACAAGCUUUACAUCAAACCAGGUGAAUGUAGAAAAUUGUAUGAUAGCUUUAAAGAUGAGUUGGGUCAUCCUGAUCCAUGAUUACAAAUUUACAAUGUAUGAAUAUGGUAAUAUUGACAUAUAUAAAUUUUAUUUAAUAACGUCUUUUGGUGUUUGUGAAUCGACAAAAAGAAGAAAAAUAUUUUAUUAUCCCGAAUAUUUUUCACUUAGAAGUAAAUCAAAUAUCAAUAAAUUAAGAAGAAAAUAUUUUAUUAUCCUGAAUAUUUUGCCCUAUCUUAUUAGGAAAAGGUUAUCAAAACCUAAUGCAAAACUUAUACGAGAAAGGUGAAAACUUAUUCUAUUUAUAAAACUAAAACUCCAAAGAGAAUUCCCUAAAGAUUUUUGUUUUGCUAUCUAGGGAUUAACAAUGUGGUGUGCAUACUCAAUAGCAAAACUGCUCUUUCUGACUAUCUUGCUUUUGGUGGAGGCUUCAUUGGGUCGAUAUAUUCCAUGUAUGGAUGAUAAUUGUAAUUGUGAUUCUUCAUUGCAUGGUUUCAGUUUCAUGAAUUUACAUGUUUUUCUUAUCUCGUGUAUAUAGUUAAAUUUCCAGGAGGGUAUGUGACGAUAUGGUGGGACAUCAUGAAUGAAACUCGUGGUAGCUACUCAGCUAAUGUCACAAUCAUCGACUACUUGAAGAAUCACGACAUUGACGGGCCAUGGGCACUAAGCUGGGAAUGGGCCGAAGACGAAAUUCUAUUGAACACUGUGGGUGCUACUGGUACACAACUUGGGAAUGACUCAUCAGUAGGUGACAAUAAGUGGCCUUUGAAUAGUAAUUUGCCACCACGCGGGGAGAAAGUAUCAAAAUAUUGCAAGGGCGGUGUGAUUCCCUCGUGGUGUACUAUAGAAGCCGACCUUCCGAAAAGCUCUUCUUCGUUCCAAAUUACUGUUGGCCGAGUUGGUAUUGAAUAUUAUCCGCCAGCAUAUGUCGACUUUACUACACCAAGAUCAAAUUUCAUGUGUUUUUCAAUGAUGCCAUUUACUAAGAGACGGGGUUACUUGAGUAAGUUAAUUGAUUUUAUUGGCAUAUCCUAUGUAUAACCUUUACUUUUAUAAUCAAUUCAUGUUCCUUUUGUUUUGUAGAAACGUGGAGGGCGGAGUGCGGUCUCUUAGAGUUCCGCAAGAUUGAUAACAAAGAAGAUCUAUGAAGUUGUGGUGGCUGUUUGCAUUUUUGUAAUGUUUUCGUGCUUUAAUACUAUUUUUUGUGUUCAUGUGAUGCGACUAUGAUAAUAAUUUGAUAUCAUACAAGAGUGCCCAAAUGACAUAAAUAUAUAGUCAACCAGGCCAAAUAAUUUAUUAAUACCAAUUGGAUUAACGGUUAGUCCAUAAAAUAUUUUAUUCUUUAAUAAAGGAAGCAUGUAUGGGCAUGGAACCUAUGAUAAAAUAAAAAAGUGAAACUUAUGACCAAGAAUUAUGAUUAGAUGAAUUGAUGUGUUUACAUUACAUGGUAGUGUGAUAUUUUAAGACUUAAGUGCAUGGCAUUGGCACAUUGUUGUCUAGCUUUGUUUUUUCCUCUCUAUCUGAACACUCUUUCUCUGGGUUGAGACAUUGUUUACAACAACAAUUGUUGUUUAAAGUGCAUGUCCACAUUGUUGCACAGCUCUUAUUUCUCCUGACUUUGUUGCAAAGUAGAAGUUGUUUGGUUGAACGUCCCAAAACCAAAAGGAUCAUAAGUGCAUGUCAUUAUAGUUUAUAUGUAUAUAUUUUUUUCUAACGAAAGUAUGAUUAUUUGUAUGGUGGUACACGAUAACAGCAUGGUUAGAUCAGAAACAAACGAUUUAUCACGAAAACCUUACUGAGUUCUUUCUGAAAGGCAUAUAUCGUAAACACUUGAAAUUCUAACAUAUCAUUUAACAAAUAUACCAACGCUGAGUUGGCCUAGUAGUAAAAGCCCGAAGUUAGAAAAAUCCGAAAAUGUAGGAACGCUCGUGGCCAUCUGGGUUCAAUCCAGGUUGGGAGGAAACCAUAUAACAUGGGCUGGUCUCCCCCGAAGAGGCGACUUUUGUCACCUUUUCAUGACAGCGUCUUUGCUCGCUUCAGUCUCUAGUCUGGACCACUACAGUGGGGCCAAGACACUCGGUUAUCAAAAAAAAAAAAAAAAAUCAUUUAACAAAUAUGAUAUAUUUGUAAAUUAUUAGUGAGGUCACAUUUUCAACAACUGUUGUUCAACAACCUCUAGUGGGGAUAGCAACUGGAACGGGCACCUUAGGAUUAAGUUUGGGUCCACGCCUUGGAAGACAUAUCAAACAAAAAGAUACACCAACAAAACUUGCAGAUCAAGAAUCAUAUACAAAAACCAUAGUUCCAAGGUCCUCAAUAUAUGAAACGACCCAACAAACAAAGAAGCAAACAGCUUUGGAACAGUAUCAGUCAAGUUUCUUAACAUUCUUUCUAUCAGAGGACACAUACUGUCUGAAGAGAGGAGAGAAUCUAUGUCGCUGUAUGAUCUUGACAAGGACAAAUGUGUUUGCAGCCAGAAACACCAAACUCGCCAUCCACAGCUGUAGAAAGACGUUAACCCCCUUGAACUCAAGCAUGUAUCCCCACAACAGCCAAUGCGUCUGAGCUCCAAUCCACAGAAUAAUGCAUAACAAGCCUUCCCAUUUCAGCUUCAUACGGCUCCAUGGUAGAAUCAGAGGUAGCAGGCAAUAGAACCACACAAAGUACUGCGCAGUUAUCACCUAGAGCCAAAUUUAAACCACUACAUCAAAACCAGAAGGUUUAAGCAUUAACAUUGACUCUUUAGUGCAUACCUUAUUGAAAGCAACGAAUGCGACGGUUUGAAGAAACAUACAGAACACUAGAUCCUUAGAGAAGCUGAAGACUAAAGCAAGCUGUACCGUGAACUGAGGUAAAAACGAGAUGAGCUUCUCCACAGCUGAAAACUGACGCUCGUAGUGAAGAUAAAUGUGGUAAAAGUAGAUUGAGAAGUUGUGCCUUGGAUCCGUGCGAGUGAGGUGAUACAAGAGAGCCUCGUGGAGGAACUCAUGUCCGUAAAAGUAGAAGGAAACAGCAUUGCAAGCUAGGAAAACUCCUCCGGAUAUCAAACCAAACAUGAUUCUCUCCCUCGAAAACAAACUUUUUAAGCGGAGUGUUUUCUUAUCCGUGCUGCUAGUAUGUGUAUUCCAAUCCUCAAGAGGAGGCUUGUGACCAGAUCUAAAUAACUUGGAAUCGAGGACUAGGAUGAUUGGUAACGCAUAGAUAAUAGGAUACACCCUGAAAUGCACAACAAGGCCGUACCAAAAUGCAGCUUGUGACAAAUUACCUACACAGUAAACACACAUUGUUGCAAUGUCUUGUUAUGAUCUAUUUAGGCUUCGAAUGGUAACACAAGGAACCAAAGAACCGCACCUAUGUAUCUAUAAGACGCCUAGUGAUUUUUAGAACAUUGGUUAAUAGUAACAAAAAUCUCUACAUAUACCUAUGUAUCUAUAUAAGUUUUUGUAACUAUUAGAACCGCGUGGCAGUUGUUCCGAAUGUUACUACUAUUCGGAGCCUUAAUGUGGAACUCUCAGGGGAUAAAAGAGCUGCAAACUUGAUAUAUACAUAUGUGUGUGAAGUAGUACCUUUCAUUAGGGAGAGGAUGAUCCAAAGUAUCAUAGCACAAACUAUAGGUUCACAGUUGCCUCUGGUUCCAAUUGUGAACGUAAACGGAUUAAGAAGCCAAACCAUUACAGAAACAGUACACACCUUCUCAGGCACCUUACGUAGUUUCAGAAUCUCACGGAUAAACAAACCCACCAGCAAAUCUAACGGACAUAAACAGAUUCAGAACGAGACGAAUAAAAGGUUGAAUCUUUAAGGCUUGAGAGAGAGAAGCAUACCAGAAGCAGAGAAAAUAAACUUUCCCCAAGAACGAUGGAAGAUUGAAUUGGGGACGAGAAGGAGCGCGAGGAGAGGUGAGUAACGGUAAGUGGUUCUCUUGUAAGGAGAUUCACCGGAGGCCAUCAAGGAGGCGGCGUCGGAGAAGACGGUGUAGUCGAUGUCUGUGUAGCGGACCUCCAUGUGAGCGUCUUGCCAUUCUCCGUAGAUGAUCAGGAACACGCGGAGGAGCAUGGAGGAUACGAGCAGGGUACGGAAACUCAUCCCUUAGAUGAAAAAAAAGAAUGAAAAUUUCAGUUUCGAUGUGCAAAUCCAAGACAGUGGAGAGACUUACAUUUCGGUGAUUCGUCAGGUUUUUCUGAACCACGGGACAUGUCGUUCGUUACUCACGAACAAGGAAGUGUUCACCUUCUUUCACGCCUCUUAGGUCCUUCUGAUUCAGGUUCUUCAGCAGAAAGGCAGUCGCCGGUGUGUGACUCCGUCGAGAGAUCGGCGAUUCAACCUUUGAAUGGUUCGAUUUCGUUUUUUUUUUUCCAACUUGCUGGUUUUUGUUUGAUUUCCGGUUAGGUUUUGGUUUAAAUCCAAAAUAAACCAAAACUAAAAUAUAAAAUUUUAAUAAAUUAUCCAUAACAAAAAUAAACUAAUAAAUUAAUAUCAAAUCACAUCAAAUAGUUUUGUUAAUAGAUUCAGAUGACUAUAUGAACUUUUUUAUUUUUGAAAGAAGCUGAGAACUUAACUUAUUUAUUAUAAUACAUAAUAUAUUUUAAUAAUAUAACUGAAAUAUUCAAGAAAAUUAAUAAAAAAAUUACGGUAUUGGUUCAACCAGUGAUCAAUUGGCACUGAUCAAUUGUUCGGGUCGUAUUUGGCACGAUUGAAAUAGUUUGGGUCGAAAUUGGCACUUUUCCCCAUCACAUAUUCGAAUGCUUUAUCAUACCCACGGCGCAGUCUCACUCUGGUACUAUUUGAUAUGUCUCAUAACUAGAGGAUACAACAAUUAUAUUGAGAUAGAACAAUGUUCACAAACUGAGAGAUAUUGAGUAUGUCACUUCACAUUAACAUGAAUAAUCCAAUCUCUAGAUAAAGUGUUUCUCUAAUCCUUACACACCUUUUUAUAUUAGUGAUAAUUACGUACUUAAAAGACACAUUAAUCAUGCCCAUCAACCACUGGUGAUGGAUGGGCCUUGGUAGCAGUAUCAGAAUGUUAAACAGAGACAAAAAGAAAACUCAACAAAUAAAUUUGAUUGAAUGAAAGUGAAUUUUCAACUCGAGACAUUGCUUUUUUUCUUUAAAACUCGAGACAUGAUCAAACAGAGAGAAAACACGUUGAUUAACAUAGCCAAUGAGGAAUUUUUAUUAAAUGAUAAGAAUACAAUUUGACAUUAGCGUCUAUCUUUUUAUUUUGAGACUAACCAUCAGAUUAUACAAAACCCUUAAGCGGCAACAGGCUAAUCAAUCUCACCGUCUGGUUGCUGUUCAUCCAGGUCAGCUAUUCCUCUGUCCACAAACACGUUGGUUCUCCACAACACCAUCUUGCUUUCCACUGUCAUGCCUUUGAUUAGGUAGAGUCUCUGAAGCAGAGGCUUAAUCAAUUUGUAUUCGUUCUUACCAAACCAUUCCAUUUGCUUCUUCACGAUGCUUUCCACAUCUCUGAAAGCUCUCCUCACAAACCCAACUUCCAUUUCUCUUUCCACAAGCUCUCUCACUGAAUUUACCAUCUUAUCUUCCAUCUCCAUCACAAGUCCAGCGUAACAUUCCAUCUCUAUCAAAUGAUUGAUGGCACAGAAGGCACCCAAAAACGCCAAGACCCAGCAACUGUUAUCUACCAACACCUCUCUCGGUGGGUUUAGCCUUUUGUCUAUCUCUGGGAGAAGUUGCUCCAGUAUUGGAACCACAAAAUCAUGUUCAAGCCAUAUUGCUAAGCACUGGAAGAUGUAAACCGCUCUCUCAAACUCUGUCUUGCUGUUAGAUGCAAUAUAGUCGCGUAGACCGUUCCAUGUCUCCAAAUGGCAGUUCAUCACCUCGUAUGACACGUGGUAGACAACCUCACCAAGGACUUUGAACAUGCUCUCAGAGACUCCUUCUUUUUCCCAAAGGCAAGAGAUGAGCAAUGGCUGAAGCUCUCUCAACACUGAAAUGCCUGUUGCUUCUUCCCUGGAGAUGUGAUCAGAGAGUAACACGUUGAGCCGUCUGAUUGCCAAUUCUCUGAACCUCUCUUCAACAUUAGUGGACGCAAAGAUUCUUAACAUCUCAAGUGGCGGUAAGCUGUUCAAACGAUCAAACCAUUCACGUUCAGAACAUGCUCCAUGACCUUGUCGUGGUUGUGAUGGGGUAGGCUUAACCAAACGAUGGAUCUUCCCCGUAGCCUCUUUGGUUAAUGUUCCCAAGUCUUUGAUCUUGAACAAGAAAACGGACACAAAAACACAUUGAUCCUUAUUGUAAUUACACAACUUCUUGUCUUGUGACAAGAACAUCUCAAGAUCAGCAAGCCCUCGUACCAGAAACUCUUCCAUACCCUUGUCCACAAGAUCACUCGCUGCCUUGACAAGAAGAGCAAGAAGACCCUUCACCAUAUCCAAUCUCAUCUCAGAAUCCAAGACUUGGAUCCCAAGUUUCACAACAGCUUGCAAACCUAAACUCCAAUCUUCAACUCUGCCUUGUUGAUCACGCAUAAGCAACACCUUCUCUGCUAUCUCCACGAUCGUCCGGAAACAACUGUGGAUGAAUCUUCCGUACACUGGAGGCAAAUCCACGAAGACAUGCAAAGCCUUUAGAGGCUCUUCGGUGCUCGAGAGCUCGACGAUAAAACCGCUGAGCUCGUCCCACCCGCCGUUGUCAAGCAUCAUAACGUCGUGAGCGAUGACAGAGACGAUUCUUCUGAAGAGUUUGGUCUCGGCUUCUUGCGUAAUCCUCAAGCAAGAGAUCACAAGAGGUUUGAUUACGUAAAGAGCGACGAGAGAUAGGUCGAACCUGCGGUACUUAUAAGCGGCUAGGGUUUUUAAAAGGAGAAUGAUCGAUUUGGAUCUGAGGACGCCGUUGGAAGAAGAGGAACGGUACAUCUGUAGAAGCUUUAGGGUUAAGCAGUUAGCGAAGUUAUGAGUGCAGAAGAUGAAGAGAGGAAGCGCCGUUUGAUAUUCGGUGGUUUCUUGACACGUUGAGAGAUGAAUGACAAGACUCUCUAGACGUUCGUGGUUUGGAGUCGCAAGAAGCUCUCUUGCUUGCAGCAUGAGAUUCGGAGGUUCCUCCAUUACACGCCCCAUUGCACCUUUGUGCCGAUUCUCGAGAGCUUUUCUUCGUUCAAGAUGGUGGUGAGAUCAGGUAUAAAUAAGUAAGAUUUUGUUUGUUUAUUGGAUAAUUAUGUACAUGCAUGAAAAAAAAAAAAUUAUGUACAUGCAUGGUACAUACUACCCAGAGUUACUCCCAUUGUAUUCUAAAUUAUUUUAUCAUUAUUUAAAGAGUAAUCAUGACCCGCAAAAAUAUUCUUAACAAAAUUUAAUUUACAAUAUCAAUCGAUUUUAACAUUUUUUGAUGAGUAAUAUUUUAAUUUUUUAUUUUAGUGUAUUUAUGAAAAUACAAACAAAAUAAUCUACUAAUUUAAUUACUUUUUAUGUUAAAUAAUUUUUUUAAGUAUCUAAACCCACAGAAAUAAUUAUAUUUAUUUUCAACUUCUUAUAAAUAUUUAAAAGAAAAUAAAUAAAUAAAAUUAUUGGAAAGGUAUGAUCUAAUGUUUUAUAUUGUUUGAUCGCAAGAUUAAUUAUUGUGUUGUUUGUAAACACAUUUAGUAGUAUAAUGUUAUUUCUCAUAAUUAAAAUAGUGAAUCUAACUAUAUAGUAGAAAGUUGUAUUUAAUUUAAGAAUUAGAAAAAGAAAGGUUGGGUCCAUAAGAAUGAUUAUGUUUUAAUAAUAAAGAUUAGCAGAUUUAUAAUUUUAAGAAAUUAAUGAUUUUUAAAGCUAAUAAAUAAUUUUAAUUAUUAUUUGUAAAUCUAGGUUUUCCUCAAAUUUAUAUUUUAACAUAUGAAUUUUAUCAAUCUAAUAAAACUAUUUUAAAUCAAAUCUAUGAAUAAAUAUAUAUGAGUAAUAAUACCAUAUUUCAACUGAUAUUUAAAAAUCACCAAUUAUAUAACACAGGAUUUUUUUUUUUUUGCAAACAUUUUUCGUUUUAAUUUUUAAAUCCACUAAACCAAUAACCCAAAAUCAAACUACUAUUCUUUUUUUUUUUUUUUUGAAACACAACCAAACUACUAUUCAUUGGUUUGGUAUAUAGUUGUAUCUUACAAUACUAAAAGGGGAAUAUGAAGUCCUCUGAGCUAUGCCACGUCAUUAAAAAUAAUCAACGAAUAAAAAAGCUUUUAGUGGCCACGUCAGAUUAUUGUUUACUCGACACAAACUUUUCACGGGCUAAUUAUGUGGGCUGAUAAUAUUGAGAACUGGUCCAUUUUUAAAAGUGAAACCUAUCUUCUCGCCGGUGACUUACUACCAUCGUCUCAUGGUCUGCCUCCAACUCCUGGCAGUUACUAUCGAUUCUGAUGCCCCUCAAAGAGCCAUAAAGCUUAUCACUUUACUGUAGAAAUCCAAUCGGCCUAAAUUUAUUUCAAUCUCAUCAUCUCCCUCCCAUAAAAUAAAUUGAUGAAUUUGAACACAAAGGCCAAAAUCAUCUAACAAUACUAAAAGCAGGAUAUCAAGUCUUUUUAGCUAUGCCACAUAGGAUCAGAAAAUCAGCCAAUCAUAUCCCCGAGACUGUCCACGUCAGCAGUCGGUGGGAUCCACUUAUUUGAAUUUUUUUCCUACGAUGAUUUUGUGUUACUCGAGCAGCAUCUUAUAUCAAAUGGGCUUGAUAAUAACGAGUUUUGUGAGACGUAAAAUGGGCUUCGUAUCAAAUAGUAAAAGAAUGGCCCAGAUGACUUAUUUGGUUGGUCAACUUUCUCCUCCAUGGAAAUCUAGGGUUUCUAUCACCCGAUUCAGAUUCUUCGAUCUCCGUGACUCUUUGUGUUUCUAUGGAGCAGUCUGGCUUUCCCAAGCGCUACAUCUCCCCCUAUUUACCCUGUUCAUCAUUAAAGUUUCUAAUCGUUACAUCUUCGUUCUUCGUCCCUAUAUAUACUUCAUGUUAAGCGCUUGAACCAUGCAUCUCAAAUACACUCAUCGAUUUAUCUACUCGGCCCAGAUUGUAACAACUACUCGAAAAUUAAACUAGAGAAAGAAGAAGGUGACGGGAGGUGUAGACUCACGGUAUGACCGUAAAGGAUGAAGACGUAGAAUAGUGCCAUAUCGGCGCAUGACACACCGCUGCGGGCAUCGAGAUGUUUUCUCCAUUGCAAUAAACACUGUAUCAGGUUAAGCCAGACAUAAUUCGUAUUUGAAAGUUACUAUUUUUGAAAUUUGAUGUUUUAUUAAACUGUUUCUUAUAUUUCUUCUGUGUAGGCUGAUCCUUAAACAGAAGCUAAUAGACAGAAAGCCAGCUCGACAUGGCACUUUUUCUGUAACCUUCACGUAUGCCAGUUUUAUUUUUUUAACUGAGAAAUUUUGCAUUUUAUUUUUUUCGGCUCAUCGUGAACCAACCUAAUAAGAAGGGAACCAUGGCAAUCAGCAUAAUCCAGAUCAAGUGAGAGCACCAUAAGAUGCCAAAAGGUGUGCGUGGAAAUUGAUUUGUUUUCCCAGUUUGGAACUAAUCUAUUUUUUCUGUGGGAUAGGUUGAUGGGUACGACGACUCUGUUCUGAUGGCUAGAACGAAGUUAUUUGGUUGCUAGCACAAACAGAGGCUGUAAGGCUAUGUACGUCUCAGGCGGAGCUACCAGUACGGUUCUCAAGGAUGGAACGGGAAUGACAAGAGCACCUGUUGUGUCGUGCUAACGUGCUACAGAACUUGAGUCUUCCUUGGAGAAUCCAGAUCACUUUGAAACUUUGGCUGUCGUUUUCAACACGUCUACCAAGAUGUAAACUUUCUUUAUGUUUGUGGAGUGGGUUGAUUCGAGAUCGAAACUUUUGGGAAUAGGCAAAGAAACACGCAUGGAGGUGUUGGGAAUGAAGUCAAGGAGAGUAGCGACAAUAGUGGCAUGAGCAGUUUAGCCUGAGAGAUAUCUCUAAUAUCAGCAAUUGCAGUUGGUCAACUUACAAGCAGUUACAUGAAAUACAAUAGAUAUCUCUGGAGCAACUACAUGGACAGCAAUAACGUUAUCCGAAACUUGAACUUUCAAAAAGAUUGAGCACAAAGAGUUUAAGUUUGUACCUUUUAUCUUUUCAAGAAGUUGGAGGAAGCAAGAGCAUACAUCUAUCGUCUUCCAAAACCAACACAAAAAGCAGCUAAAUUUUGAUUAUGUAUGUUAUUCAUAAUACAUAUUAAAAUCUAAUAAUCCCGGAACAUAUAAUUAUUCUUGGCCUUUUGUGAUUGUGGCACAACCCAAUAUGUGCACAAAAAUAUGUAAAAAGGUUAGUGAUUUAAAUAGAUUAUGGAACAAGUUUAUUGAAAAGUAAACAAAGUCACUAUUUUUAAUGUUUUAUCAAAGCAAGGUCAACCAUAAUGAAAAAACAAGUGAAUCGAAGAGUUUUUCCGUCUCUUUAAUCAUCAAACUGAAGUUAAGGAAAACUAAUAAUAUACUGAGAAAACACAACAUAUAAUUUACUUAUAAUCAAAAUAAAUGGUAAAAAUUAUAACCAAAUAUAACAAAAAAAUAAUAAUAGUAGACAUUAGAAAAUAGGAAAAAUUAGUUUCAUGAUAUAAACAAUAGACUAAGGUAUUUUUCUAAGUAAAUGUAACUUAAAAACAAACCGACAAUGGAAAUAUAAGAAACAUAAAUAAAAGUAAAUGACUGAGAAUUAAACAAAAAUAUCAAAAGAUUUAUUCUAAUAAAAUAAAAUAAAACAUAUCAUCGUUAAAAUCACUCAACAGUAAAUUGUAACAAGAUUAUAAAACUAAUAUUGAAUAUCCUAACAUCAAACAUUUAAAAUCAGAAAGAAUGAUAAAGUAAAAACAAACAAUCAAGAAAAUAAUAAUUCAUAGAUAAUACUGGUUAAAUAGUGUUCAGAAAUAGAUAUGUCAAUUAAGGCUGAAGUCCAUAGUGCGAGUUCGCCUAGCCUUAAAAAUUAUUAGUCUUGAGCUUAACUUUAUAAGUCCAAAAAACUGUACUUUUCGACCCAAACUCAUGUGGACCUGAGUCCGUUUGAGCUAGAACUGACCCGAAUACCCAAAACUUUAAAUUUUAGUUUAAAUAUUAUUAAUUUUGGAAUCAAAACUAUUAUUAGUAUUGACAUAUUAUUUUAAUAUUUUUAAUCCAAACUCUACUAAAACAAAGAUAAAAGUAAUAUUUUGUAACGUCAAAAUAAUAAAUGACUAAAAAUAUAUUAUGUUAAUAAAAUAGAUUUUAGAUUUUAAAGACUUCUAAUUCAUGUAAUAUUACAAAAUUUAAAAAAGAUUUAUUACAAUUAAUAUUUUACCAUUUGAUAUAUUAAAAUAAUAUUAUAGAUCGAUAUUCAAUUGUCAGUUUUCAACUAUUACACUUAAAAAAAUAUUAUUAAGUACGCUUUUUUUUUUAAAAAAGAGGGUUUUAUAUUUUAAAUAGGUUAUUGGAGUAUUUUUUAUUUUUGUGAAUUUAUUUGAGAUGAGAUUCCGAUUUUUAAACUAAGAUAAUUUAUGUUUUAUACAUAAUUAUAUAUUUUUUAAAUAACUCUAAAAUCUCGAACUAGAUUUUUAUAUUUUAUUAGUUAAUUGUGUUACAUAUAAUAGAAAUACUUACUUCAAACUAAAAAUAUAAAAAAAAAUUAAAAUUUUUUAGUUAUAAAUAAUUUAAUAUACAAAAAUUCACAUAUAAAUAAAAAUGAUAUAAUGUAACAAAUUUAAAUAUAUUAUCCGCGCGUAGCGCGGAGAAAGGAUCUAGUUCAUUUAAAACUUGUAUCAGUUUCCAUAUGAAUUUUUCCCGUUUAGUUUUUUUUUUUCUAAAGGAAGAAAAUUUGAAAUCAUAAGUAAAAGAAAAACUAAAACUCAAAAUAAAUCCAUUAUUAUACAUCGAGAAUACACACAAACAACAUAAGCAAACCAACACUCACUCCACACUGAAACCAAUGAGAUCAACACACAAAGAAAACAAACACAACCAUGAUUACAUAUGUGCACAAUAGCCAUCUCUCCCCCAAGAUGAAACCUCUGAGACACACUAGAGAACUCAACCUUGUACAAGUUUAGGACUUAGCCCUCUUGCCUUCCUAGUCUUCCCUACAAAUAAAUCCUUGGACUUGAUCAAACCAGGGAGGCAACCAACCACCGUCACAAACGGAAACUGAGCCACCGAGUCUUUCCUUCCUAAAGACACAAUAGCAAUCUCUGGCCCUGGCUUGUACGUCGACAACCUCUUCCUUUUCCCGCCAGACAUCAUCACUUUAAUGUUCUUCACAGCCACAUUAGCAUGACUCUCCGCUAUAUAUCCUUGCUUCAUCUCCUGUCAUUACAAAAAUCACAAAAAUCAAAACAAGAUACUAACUAUGUCUUCAUGAUACAAUGCACUUACCGGAAUAUUAGUGAUAUCUCCAAUGGCGAAUACAUUCUUUCGAUCCUUAACCCGCAAAUGCUCAUCGACCAUGACCCUUCCUUUACCAUCCAAGCUAUCUUUCAAAACGGUUCCACUCAGCCACUGAGAAGACAGAGGCUUCCCAACACAGAGGAAAUGACAAUCUGCGUGUAUAGUCUCUCCUCCUGAAGUACGGUAUGUUUUGUUUCCCUCUGAAGCUGAACUCAAAUCCACGGACUGGUUCAGUAUCACUUCCACUUUCUUUGAUUCUAACCAGUCAAAUGCUUUGUCAGCAGCCUUUUCUCCGACAAACUCGAGUAGUCUUGGUCCUUUGUGCACCAGCGUGACUUUCUUCUCCGGAAAGUCAACUGCGAUCUCAGCAGCUAGCUCCACACCCGACGGUCCUCCACCGACGAUCAGAACUGAUUGGGAAGAUACGAUCUUCUCAUAUUCUGUAACCAAAAACAAGAUCAGUUGUUGCUAAAGAGUUGCGGGCCCUGAGAUUUUGGAGGCCGUAGGUAAUGUAUUAAAGAAUUUAAUAAAAAAUUUUUUACAAAUUUGAAAAUUUUAUGUCUAUGUAUUUUUUUUCAAAAAAAUUAGAGACCAUAGGCCAAUGUUUCAUUUGGCUUUGACCAAGAUCCGACCUGGACAAAACCUAGCUUGUGUCUUAAGUUUCUGACAAGCAUGAUGAUUCAUGUCUUUACCUGUUUGGUACUGUGAGAGCUUCUCUUGUCUGGUUUUGGGGAGCAAGUCGUUGUGACCCGUAGCGAUCACUAGAUAAUCAUAUCCAAUCACAGCUCCGUCUUUAGUCGUUACAUCAGUCUCCGUGAUGUUGAUCGCCGGAGAAGUAACAACACGGCCUUUCUUGAAGUAGUUCUUGUGGUUGAUAACUGUUCUUUCAGCAAAUGAAGGCUCCACCAUAGAUCUCAAGCUCGCCCAUGUGAUCUCAAAGUACUCCUUCCUGGUUUUUUACAAGAUUUGAGCUCCUGACGAUGAUCUGAGCUUAAGAUACUGAAAGAAAAAAGAACUUACGGGUCUAUGAGGGUGACGUCAGCAUCGUCCUGAAGCAGUUUUGCGGCGAGGGAGCCGGCGACUCCGCCGCCGAUCACCACCACCCUCUUUCCUUGUUUAGACGUAGAUACUAUCCCUGCCAUUUUAGUGAUUUAGGCUCCAAUUAAAAUCGAAACAAUGAAGGUUUUGUAUUUUCGAAUAAUGUUUUCUUUGUUCUUGGAAAUGGAAUCCAAGAUUGAAUAUAUAUAUAUACAAAGAGAGUAGAAAGAUUGUCAGAGAGGAAAAGGGAUUUGUGAUUGACGUGUUUAGUGACUUCAGAUACCUCUGUAGAAUCUCACUUUGGAGCUUCCUUUGUGCUUACAUCAUCGAAUACUUCAGUGGCGGCUGAACAACGUCUUUUCAAUUUUCCUUCCUGAUGGAAACUUCGGCCUUUCAGUUUAGCAUAUUGGGCCGAGAACAUAGCUAUCCAUUCUUAUAUGGGCCGAUAACAAAGCUAAAGGACUUUCAUGUAAUUAUCUGAUGCCCAAUAUCCCCUACUUAAUCAUAGAAAUACAUAUAAUCAUUUGUUGAUAGUGAAUCAAUUAACAUUCACAUUUUACUCCAUCAAUAAGUUAAUAGGCAUCUAAAUCUUCCAUAAGUCGUUCAAAAAUAUUCUACAGAUCGUUGUCAUAUUGAGAUAACAAUUAAGAAAAAGUGUGAUAGUAAAUUUUAUAUCAAAUAAGUAUAAAAAGGUAUUUUAAAUAAAUAUAAAAAUGUAAUAAACCUUAAAAUUAUUGGCUGCAAUUCAGAAGAGGAAUGAUAGAUAUUGUUAUGCGAUCUAUAAUGAAUGUAAAUAGGACAAUUCAAUCAUUUAGCUAUAAAUAUUGCCAACCAGAACAAUUUAAUCAUGUCAAAAACAUAUAUCUCAUAUGGUACAUCAGAUCAUCUGUUUCUUAAUUUGUUGAAAAAAAUUAACUAAUAUUUACAUUAGAACCGAAUUCAAACGAAAACACACAUUGCUCCCAUUUCACAUAAUAAAUAUCCCUCAGAAACUCCACUACAGUUUAGGUUAAUCUCUUCACCCACCAAACAAACAAAUCUUUUUUUAACAAAACACUGAACGCACCCAAACGCUACAAUGGCGGAGAAGGAGAAAAAGUGCGAGAUCGACUACAGCAAAUAUGUGGACGCAGCGACAAAACGCAUAGUAUACGGAUGUAUAGGCCUAGUCGUUACGGUUGCGGUUGUGGUUUUCUUGGUAUGGGCCAUACUACACCCACACAAAAUGGAUUUUGUCCUACAAGACGUUACCAUUUACGAGUUCAACAUCUCACAGCCAAAUCUGCUAACUUCAAAUCUCCAAGUCACACUCUCUUCUCACAACCCAAACGACAAGAUCGGAAUUUUGUACGAACGCCUAGACAUCUAUGCCUCGUACCGCAACCAAGAGGUAUCGUUUUGCGUUUUACUGCAAUUGUUUGUGUGAAAUGUGUUAUCCAUUGACCAGUAAUAUUUUAACGUUUAUACCGCAAAACAUUACACAUCUUAAUGUAUUGUCUAAACAAUAUUUAAGAACCAUUUUCUUAACAAAUGUUUUGAUAAUUUGAUUCACCUUUUACUUGUCCCAUUGAUUAAUUAGGUGACUUUGGCGCAUCUAUUGCCGGAAACGUAUCAAGGACAUCUGGAAGUAACGGUGUGGUCGCCGGUUCUGACUGGAACGGCCGUGUCAGUGGAACCUUACCUGACUCCAGCACUAAACGAAGACAUAAACGCCGGGAUGGUGCUUCUAAACAUCAAGAUCGACGGUUGCGUUAAGUGGAAAGUGGGCACGUGGGUAUCUGAAUGUUAUCGACUCCUUGUCAAUUGUCCGGCGUCCAUUCCAUUCUCCGGUCAGUUAGCAGGUACCGGUCCGGCGAUCAAGGACCAGCUUGCUCAGCAAUGUGCUGUUGACGUAUGAAAAACAAAACUUCAUUGUUUUGAUAAGGGGUUGUUCAUUACAUUUUAAGCUUGAAAUAUUUUUUGUCUUGUAAACUUGAAUGUGGGCUUCCCGGUUAUUAUUUUAAAAGUUGUUUUAUUUUAUUUUUAGCUUUAUAAAUGAUUUAUUUUAAUUUAUAUUUUAAAUUUGCAGAAAUUAUUAGUUUUUUUUAUGAGAUGAGCACACUAUAUCACAUAUUAUAUUAUUACUGUUAGAUUGCAUAUUUUACUGUUUUAUAUAAAAAUUGAUAAAACGAGUUUGUAGAUUUUUUAUAAGUAAACGAGUUUGUAGUUAAUUAUAUACCACAGUCAAAUAUUAUUAUUACUGUUUUAUAACUCAUUAACAGCAAAAACUAUGAUUAUGUUUGAAUUUGUGUAGAGACUUUUGGUAUAAAAAAUAUUAUUACUGUUUGGUCUAGAUAAAAUUUGAUUAAGAUCUACUUUGAAUGAUUUCAUUUUGGUAUGAAUCCUUUUAUAAGAAAGUUAAGGGAAACACCAGAACACAAGAGGGUAGUUAUUAGUUCCAAAUGAUAGCAUGACGUGCACAAUAACUUUAACUUCACCGAAUCAUAUCGAAAUAUUUUUCUUACAGAAAAGAGAAAAAAUCCAUCAAAAUUGUGCAUUUCCCAAGCAAGGAGCAAUGCUGAAUCUUCAAGUUAAGUUUUAAAAAAAAGAAGUUCCUCUUUAAACAAACCUUUUCCACACCAACACCCUCCUCACUCAAUAAUCUCAACUUCUUUUCCCUUCCUCUCUUUUUUUAAAAAAUGCCUUUGAAGAAGAAGAUGAAAUAUACACUCAAAACCAUACUCAAGCCCAUUUUCAUGCCCUGUGGUUGCGGCUCCACCGUCCCGCCUCCAUCUCACAGCCACUACACCCCAGGACUACCGGUUUCUCCCACGGUGUUACGCAGCCCAUGUCCUAAGAUUGAUGAGAGCGUCGCAAUGGCUAAGGAAUCAUCCAAUCCAUUCGAAGAUUACAAGAUGUCUAUGAAUCAGAUGAUCAAGGAGAGAGAUAUUAAAACAGAUGAUGAUCUUAAGGAGCUUCUUAGGUGUUUCCUGGACAUAAACCCUCCUCCUCAACACAAUCUCAUCGUCCGGGCUUUUGUGGACGUCUGUUCAGUUCUUGGGCCACCACACGACCGCCGUGGAAACUCACUUGGCAGAUUGCUUCGUCUUUAUGUUAAUCCUGUUGAUGAUAAUGAUGAUAACUCACACCAAACCUCUUCAUUUAAGAUGAGAAACGGAUCCCCAUGAAUGUGUCAUGUGUGUUACAAUAUUGUGAAUAAUUUGAUUUUAUUUUAGUUCUCUUUACUAUAUACAGUAUGUUUUAUGAUUCCAUCAUGCAAGAUUAUAUGUGAACCAUUUAAGAAAUAUAUAAAAAUCAAAGAUGUGAAUUAUGGUUUCCAGUUUUAGACGAGGAUGAGUAAAUUAUGAUUUACAAUUUUCCUUCUGAUUUCAAAGUUAUACCUUAAAGGAUGUGUUAACAAAUAUUCGGGUUUCAAUACGAUUUUCUUACAUAAUAUAUUUGAACUAACUUAUAGGAUAUCUGUAACUUAAUAAAACAACCUUGAAAGUUUAAUUUGGUUUGGUUAAAACUCAGUUGAUAUAUGAAUAAUUGAAAUAAAACUAUAUAUAUAUAUAUAAUUAUAAAUCCAGUUAUAGAAAUAUUUAAAAAGAAUUAUUAUUUAAAUAUAUGAUCUUCAAUAAAAUACUUUAAAACAAUUCAAAAUUGAUUAUAUCACAUCAUUUUCCAUUGUUUUUUGUUAAACUAUAUUAUCAUAAAUUAUUUUCAUCAUUUAGGUGGGUCCAUAUUUGGUAAAAACUAAAACCAUAGAAACUCGAAUAUCGUAUAUAUUAUGGUUUAAGUUUCUGGUCGGUGUUACAAAAAAAAAGUUUCUGGUCAAUUUAUUUUCUGUUGUGAUGAUUCAUAAUUUCAUAUAUGUUGCUGACUCUGAAGAAACGAGGAUGAAUAAAAAGAAUUUUCAUUUUCUACUGUAUAAUUAAAUCCCCAAGCCGAAUUUUUUUUUCUUUAAAAAACCUCUAAACCGUACAAAACCCCGGCAUGCUUCUCCGGCCCAUCCUUCACAAAAUACAAAUCCCUCAUCCUACGAAACGCCUGCCACGUCAGCAAGCUAUCCGAACCGGCCUGAUGACAUUUCCCAACCUCCCGGUUUACCUCAAGCGAUCUAGCCACCCGGUCCAAACCGCCAAACAACCUCCGCUCGCAGAACCUCAUCAUAUGCUUCACGUCGUACACUCUCUCCCCAAAAAACGCCCUGAGCAGCCGUAGAAACUCCCCCAACGACCCCGGAAGCUCCCGGCGCGUGAGGAUCUUCACGAGGUAACCGAAAUCGUACGCGCUGUGAAACGUCACCCAGCUCACCGACUCGUUGCAGAUCAGCCCCGACGACACCAUCAGCUCCGCGAACCUCUUCGCCUCGACGCCGUCGCUGCGGUUGCGGUCGAAAUCGAUCCCGUGGCGGCGGAGGAGCUCGAUCGAGUCCGGCGCGUGGGGGUCGCGGUCGACGUCGAAGUCGCGGAAGUUGAACUCCCAGAUGAAUCGGCUCCCUCCGCCGCCGCCGCCGAGAUCGGGGAGGUUUCCGUCGGCGUCGGAGAGAGUGAGACCGACCUGGAUGAGGCUGAGAGCGUCGACGUUGGAUUUGAGAAGCUUGUAGAGGUAACCAGGGUUUAGACGGCGGAGAUCCGCCUUGUAAAUCACGCCGGGAAACUCCGUGUCCAUGGAGAUGAACGGAUAGUCUUCGACGAUCCCGCUGAUCAGCUCGAACUCAGAUUCUAGAUUAUCCGCCCAGACCUCACGAACCACCACUGAAGGAGUGAUCAUCGUUAUCGAUUCAAAGUCUCUUCUUCGUCUUUAGAUUUAUUAUUUGUUUCUAAUUUUGACAUGUGCAGAUUUUGAGGUAUAUAUAGGUGUUUUGUGGAAAAGAAAAGUGAAGUGAAGAGUUACGAGGAAAGGAGAGACGUGAAGAGAGGAGGAAGUGGUGGUAGAGUGUGAGAAACGCGUCGUGGAGAUUGCUUUGACUCUCAGGGUUGUUGUUACAAAUGCAACUUCUGUGUUUAGACUCGGUCCAAGCUGGCUGCUUUUGUAUCCCCCAAUCAUUGUAUCUGCACAUCCAAGUCGUUAUUAAUUUAAUGAAUGAAAUACAUCUCAUCUCCAUUAGUUAGUAUAAUACAAGGGAUUAUAUAUGUUAGAUUGUCUGUGCGGUCAAGGUUACAAACAAUGAAUAUCUAACGUAUUUUAAGAUUACAUUUUGAAGAAAAGGUUACGUUUGGUCCAAAAAGCUGGAUAAUUGAUUAGGAAAAGGUAACGUUUGGUCCUAAAAGCUGGAUAAAGUACAAAAUACGAAACUACUCUAUGUACGCUAAGUAUAUUUUAUGAAGUACAAAUACAAAUGUGUAAUACUAAUAUGUUUUGUGAUUAUGGUUUUUCUUUCCAUGAAUAGGGGUUUUGUUGGUAAAUUUACAUAUUAAUAAGUAUAUUUCCUUCUUUGGUAUUUUCCCAAAUAAACACACGUUGAAGUAUACAGUUAUUUUUAAGAAGUAGAUAGAAGUAAGUUUUAUAACAUGAAUGAUUUAAGGCAAAAAAGAGUAGAGGAAUAAGAUGUUGGUCACAACUUUGAAAAAGAAAAAUGCGAGGAACUUCUCAUUGUGUUGAACACCAAGUCACCAACACACCUUGUGUGUUGCCAUACUUCACUUAUAUCACAACACACCAUCCUCUCUCCAUCUUCAAUCCUCUUAUCCUUCUUCUUAUUAUCUUCUUCAUCAUAAUAUUUCAUCACAUAGUGUUCAUAAUCAUUCCCACACUUCCAUCUAACACCAAUCUUUUGUUCCCAUUCAAUGUCAUUUCAUGGACCCUUGUAAUAUUCUCCUUUGACCAUCCACCAUAUGAUAUAUACAUCACGUGAACAUUUGACACAUACAAAGAUAAAUUAAAGAGUGGGAAUUUUUAAUCUUAGUACGUAUACUUGGCCUUUAAACCAGCGCAGAGGCGAUCCCACAACUCCAUGACUUGAUGACCGGUUAAGACGGAACCAGACUCGAUGCCAUUGAUAGAGAGCAAGUGGCCGAAUCCGUUGGAGUGGAAAAAAACAGUGAAGGACGUGGCCUUGAAGCUCCACGAUAUGGGAUACACUUUCCUUUUCGGGAAAGGCGCAGCCGCCGCCUUCGAGUUUUAGAAAGGCGGCCAUUGUUUCCUUUGAGGGGAUCACGAAAUGGUACUUCUUGUUUGCAUUUCAAUUGGUUUCCCCAACCUGUUAGGUUCCAUAAGUGAUAAAUGAAGGCAUAAUUUAUUAUUUUGAUUUAUAUAUAACAUGUAAAAUAUUAGAAAAGCGCUGCUUCUCAAUCUAAAAUUUUCAACCUUUUGACAAACUCAUUGAACAAUAGUCACAUUUGUUGUUAAAAUGUUUUUUGGGAUGCAUAAAUUUGACAUUCUUUUUAAAAAACGUGUACAUGUAUAUUCUAAAUCCAUACCUUCAGCUAAAUUUGGCAUAUGAAAUUAAUUUUAUAAAAACCUUUUAACCGUUUUAGUUUUCAACACUUGGAUCACCAUAUCAUUUUUCUAGCUUGUUAUAUUUGUUCAUCGAUACGGAAAGAAAAAUUUUUACAUGUUGAGCAUCAUCAGUUUUUUAUUGCUAAGUUAUGAUCGGUGAUCAUAUAUUCAUAUCUACGGAUGUAUUAGCAUGCUUAUAUAUAUAUAAUAUGUAUAGAAAUGAAAAAGAUGUAAACUUAUAUAUAUAUAUAUAGUGACAGAAAUGAAGAGAAAAAGAGAGAGGACGUCACCAACAUAUUGGCAAUGGUUGCCACGGAGAUUUCGAUUUCGAUUCACAUGUAAGUAUGCAACAUAGCGUAGCUGCAUACUUCUUCAAACUUUGGGCGAUUUUUAAACUCAUUAGAUUAGGUUUUUACUUUUUACGGAGUGAUGGGGAAGUAUAUGAAUGUAACUUGUGGCGACUAGAAAAUAAAAGAGCCGAUAACCUCUUGGUUCAUGGAAAUCUUUUGUAUUGGGCCUUGUCAUAAUUACUAUUAAACUCACUGAAACUAUGGAUAAAAGAACACAAGAGACUCAAAAGAAGUUGGUGUCUCUAAUCGAUUGGUGACCACACAAAGGAAUAUGGAUAAAGAAAAUACUCAAUGAAAGGAAAUCAUAUAAAGAAAUCACUAAUAUGUUAUUUUGUCUAACUUUUUGAUUGGAAGAAGUAAAAUCUUUGCCAACCAUGUCUUAAAUUUUAUUAAAAAACCAGGAUAAAGUAUAAAGUAAUCGUUGAUACUAUUUUUAUUAAGAUUAGUUAGGUUUGAGCCCACCAUCUCUCUGAUUAACAAAAAAAAUAGUGUUAAAAACUUUAUGAAAAACUCAAAUUUUUGCUAAUUUAUGCGAUUGAAAAAAAAGGGGUAGUAGACUAGUAGAAAAGUAAUACGUGUUGUUUCUUCUGAUAGUUUGGAAAGGAACGAAACACACGUAAUGCUGAACCCGACAUUAAUGUGAAAACCAACAUGCAUUUUUAUAGUAAGUUUAGGUGAAGUUUUUUCACAUUCAUAAUAAGAACAACUCUUCUUCAAGAUUUUUUAGACAUUUAAUAUGUUGGUUCAACAACUUUGGAAACAAGUAAACCAAACCUAUUUAUUAUUUGAUGUAUGAUGUGUGUAUAUAUCUAAAUGACUAUAUCUGCAUAUAGUUAUCUUUUAAAGCUAGAGUUGCUAAGUGCACAUGAAGGAAAAGAGAAAAGUCAUUGUUCCACAUUUUUCAUAUUAAACACGUAGUUAUGUCACGUACAAGUACAUUGAACUUACAACAAGUCAACAACAACUAAUUUUCCUUUUAUAAAAUUAUUAGGGUCCAAAUUAUUGUUCGUUGCAAUUGUCAGGAAAUAUCAAGUACCCAAAAAGGAAUAUUAUCAUUGUUUUGAAGAGUAUAUGCGUCCGUCAUUAAUAUCCAUAAUUUCAUCGCUAAAAACAUUUUUAUUUUGCUAAAAACCGCUAUAAGAAACAAGUUUAUAAUGGUUAUCGACGUAAUCACCUGUUGAAAAGUAAUGAAUAAUACAAUUCUUGGAAAACAAAUGUGUCUAUAUAUAUUUAUGUUUUAUGAACACAUCCUUGCGUCGUAUAAUUUUAACUAUCAAUAUAUGUGGCAACAAAACAAGAAAAGAAAAACAAAGGAAAGAACAUUUUUAAUUGGCUUUUUAUUAAUCACUACUCUUCUUGCUACAGUUUCCUGUGAGAAAAUCAAGCAAAACUUGGCUGUUGCAUCUAGGGCAUCUAGGGUUACUCUCCAAAGACAUGAUGAUGUACAUGAUGCAGUUAGGACAACCAACAACCACAGCGUCUCCUCCUCCACCUCCAGUUUCUUCCGAGCAUAACGAUGAAGAUGGACUCUCUCUGGGCAAAGAUGAAUCCAGUAUAUUUAGUUUCAGAUCAAGUCCAAGUGUACUCGCAGCUUCUUGUUGAUUCAUGUUUCUUGCCUUCCAAGAAUAAUAUAGGAACCUGAAUAAAAACACAAUAAAAUUAAAAUCAAUGCUUGCGUCAGAAAAAAAUUGCGACGGAGGUUGAGAGGGUAUAUAAAACAUGUACAUAUAUAUCAUGAAAACUAAAACACAGUAGAAUUGAUCAAUCGGAUGACUAAUUUGUCUAUCAAUCAAAAAGUGAAGACCAAAAUAACAAUAUUUCAGCAAAAUUACUUGAAUCUAUGUUCAAAGUAAGCUCACCUUGGUGAACCUAUUGUUCUUGUUUUUGUUCUCGAGAGUUAACGAAGAAAGUUUGAGGUCUUCAUGUUAUUGGCUGUUGUUAUAUAUAGGCAGAUAGACACACAAGAUGAGAGAGGGUUUCAUUGAAUGCAUAUUAAUUAGUAAGUAGGAUUAGUUUUAUCUAUCUAUCAAAAUAAAUACUCAUGAGAUUUUUUUUUUCUUUUGUAAAAAUGAGAUGUUUCUAACAAUAAAUGUAUUUGAAAAAUAUUACUAAAGAGAUGGAGUAUAUGACUUGGCCUUUGAAAUUGCAUUUAUUACCAAAUAGUAUUUGGAUAAAUACAAACGAGAUACUUUGUCUUGUUUCAUACUAUUUUUAAUCAUGAAAAUUCAAAUUCAAAUUGAGAGAGGAAAAGACCAUUUAUUUCGAACUUGUAAUUCUCCAAUGUAUUUUGCUAUUUUCACCUCUAAAAUAGAGGAACUCUAUAAUAGAGGUGAGAUAUGCUCCAAUGUAUUUUUCUAUAAUAACAAUUUUCAAUUAUAUAGUAAAAAAUAAAGGAAUGCUAUUUCUUCCUCUAUUUAUAGAGGAAAAUAUAGAGAUCUCUAUUAUAGAGGAAGAAAUAUAGGUGGUUUGGAGCAAUUUCACCUUUAAAUGCUAUUAUAGAGGUGAAAAUAGCAAUGUGUUGGAGAUGCUCUAAGGUAAUAAUGUAGCUAAAUAGGUGUGACAAAACAAAUGCAAGUUAUAUGGGUAGGUGAUAUACUGAUAUGUAAGAUGCUAGUAUAACCUUCUUUUUUUUUUGAUCAAACUAGUAUAACCUUCAAAAUGAUUUGUUUUUCUUACAAAUAAAUAUUCUUAGAUGAUGAUUUUUCAAAGAACAUUUCAAAGUAUCGCAUCAAACAAUUGUUGAAAAUUGAUUAAUAUUGGUGAAUGUGAAUUUGGACCGCUAGACGCACGGCCAACAAUGAUGGAGUGUUGUGGUUGGUGAGAUUUAGGCUCUGACUGAUGGAAUCAUGAAUCAUAAAACAAAAUUUUCAAAUAGAAUGGAAGAAUCAUAUGACAUAAGAUUGUCUUUGUCAUCUUAGACUUUUGUUACCCUGAUUCAAAGUAAAACCUAACAACAAAACCAAACUUUGACUCUACAAAGGCACACAUGUAUAAGAUUAUGUCAAUAGUCAUGUGUGUAUAUGCUUUGCUAAUAAUAGCAUCAAACCAUAUAAAAGGAUUAUUACAAGUACCCUAACCCUCAAAUUUCAUUACACACUCGAAUAUUUCAACCUUAAUUAAGACAAUCCUACUAAUCAAAUCAUCAGCGCAAAAGAAAUAAAAUACAACAGUUGGAGCUUGGAAAUUUUAAGAUUGCUUCCCCACAGCUUUUACGUACCAUUUGGGUCCAAACUAGUCUUCCACAAUGGGUUUCCUCUCGAGCUCAAUAAACUCCUUGUUGAGAUGGGAGGUUUCAGUGGCGUUUUGUGUCUCGUUCUCUCCUCUGCAUCGCAGUAACUGCAUUUGAAGACUUCGUACAAGGUCAUUUAGCCUCUGAAUAUGUCUCUCUUGUGACAAGAUGAUCUGUAUCGAUCAACACAACAAGAAGAAAAACAAAACAACUGUUAGAAUGUAAAAGUCUUUGCAUCUUAGUGAAAAAUAGGACAAGCUGUAAGGUAUAUUCAGGUUCAAAAGUAGGCUCGAAACAUAGACAACUAGAAUCUAUGUUGUUUUUCUCCAAUAAUCUCAUGCAAUCAAAGAAAGCUCAAACCAAUUUUUUAUAAUGCAGUAUAAAGAAUGCUUUAUCAGUCACCAAUGGCCUCAGGACAUAUUCUCAAAAAGAGGAAAAGUAUAAAGAAAUGAGAUUCAAUUCUUUAUAAGAAAAACUAACUGUGCACAAAAUUAUAAGGUAAGAGACUCUAUGCAUGUCUCUUGUUAAAUGUAACACUAGUCUCCAUAAGUUAAGAAUCAAUGAGUACCUUCUCUUUGACAGCUUCUUCCCUCUUUGCAAUUUGCUGGUGUUUCUGAGACAGGCUAGAAGCAGCAUCAAGCUCAAGAAGCGGUUGCCUCCACUCAAACUGAGAGGUGACAAUGAGUAUAACUAGAAGAAAGACGAUCAUGAUCGGCCUCGACAUUUUUCUUUUAUUCUUAAUUUAGCUCCUACAAAACCUGUUCCAAGAUAACUCCAAUUACGCCACACAUCCAAGAACCAUCACACCUAAUCUAAAGGUCAAAACUUGAAGAGAUAAUGUGACUUUAAUUCACCUAUCCAAAAGUAGAAACAAUCUAAUUAAAAAAAAAAAGAUUAAAUCAAUCAAUGAAAUAAAAUCCAAAUAUAUAUGUUCAACAGGGAUCUCCAUAAUCUGCAACUAACUAAUAAUUAUCUACCAAUCAUCAACGAAGAGGUGACGAGACGGUUACGAUUGGCGCAGAACUUACAGAUCGAGAUUGAAGACUGAAACCAAACUUCAUUACCGGAUGACGCAGUGAAGUAGUUUGUUGUUUUGUGUUUCUCCAAAACGGAUUCGAGAGGAAAGAAACGCAAAGCAGAUAUUUUUUAACGGCGGCGGAGACAAAUCUACCGUCUUGAAUAGACGGAUAGAAUAGUACGGAAUUAACACAAAAAGACUAAUUUUACAAAAUUACCCCCACCAUUUUAUCUAUUUGUGUUUGUGAUUUAACACACCUAAUAUUAUUUAAACAUUUUUCGUAAUCAAAAACCAUUAAACAUUUACUACUUUAUUUUCAAAUCUUAUCUCUAUAACCUGACCUGAUCCAACAUUCAGGAUAACUAAUUUAAAGAAUGUUAAUAUUUUGUAGCUAAGAUGACUAAACAAGAGAAUCAAUCAACCUCUUGUGUUACCACUAAGUUACGAACAGUACUAUAGUAAGGAAACUAAACUGAAACAGGUUGUUUUUAAAAGAAAUAUAUUGAAUAAAAAGAAUGAUUUAUUUUGCAAAUUAUUUAUUUUUAAGUUUCAUUCCGAAAAUGAAAUGUUUGGAAUUGAUUUUAACAAGUUUUUAUUUGUAACCGGUAUAAAUUUCUGGGAUUCUAUAGAAUGAUGAAUGAUGCAUUCUGAUUGGUUGCAACAACUCAUCUCUCUGAUUCUCUGUCGGAAUAGUUAUGUGGUUCUUAUUCGUGCUCUGUUUUUUUAAGGUCGUUUACUUAAACUGAGUGUGUUUCUUUGUACGUUGUUUAUUGGUGUCUUCUGCCUUUCCUUUUUGUCUGAACCUCCAGCUCAGUUAAUCAAUAUUAUCAAGUGUGACAAAACCAGAUUUCGAUUUAACAUCAGUUCAAUAAACCGAACCAAAAAGAGACAUAUUUGAAGUUAAAACAUUUAAAUCCAUAAACAUAAACCGCCUACACAAAAAAAAAAAACUUCAGACAGGAUAUAUAUGUUCUUUUCUCAACAUCGAGAACAACACAUGACAUUGGUUCUUACUACAUUCCAUAGCCUUACUCUAGACAAAAGAACAUUACAAUGAGAGCCACUAAACAUAUAAUAACGUCCCAACGUGCCCUGUUUACAGUUUUGAUCGAGUAUAUCCCCACGAAGCAACUUGACAGUUGGUCUGUGCCACUGCUCCCUUUACAUUUCUUCUGCUCUGAUGGUCUUUCCUCUAACAGCGAAGCCAUCUGUUUGUCUAUCAUGCUUGGUAAAGGAAGCACCCUUAUAGCCUUUGAUGCUGAUUCAAGUGUUGGCACUUCGUUCGCUAAGUUCCCCGUGGUGACCGCUUCAUCAACAUUGAUGAUUUCAUCCUUUAGUAUAUCCGCAAAGAAAUCGUCCUCAGUUUGCACCUAAACACACACACACACACAAAACUUAAUCAACAACUACAUUAAUUAAUCAAGAACCAUCCAUCAUGCGCUAUGUGAAAAGUUAGUUGGGUAGAAACAACUAUAUGGCAUAGAAAGUGGAACAUAAGCAAAAAGAAACAGGAGGUUAAUUGUACCGAUCCUGGCAAAGCCUAAUGAAAUAUUCAGUCUUAGCCCCUAAUUUUAAGAGCCAAUCUACAUAGUCCUUACGCCCACAAUUACCUUUUAGCCCCUAAUUUUGAGAGCCAAUCUACAUAGUCUUACGCCCACGAAUUACUUUUUUAAUAAAGAUUUACGCUAAUUGUGGCCCCUAAAUUAGGUCCUGCCUUGAGGAGAGGGGACAAACCUGUAGAUUUUUUGAUGUUUCUGCCAUCUCGUUGAGAAGCUCCUCCCCUGACUCACCGGCAAGGUAAAAAUCAACCAUGCUGUCCCAAUCAGUGAGGCUUCCAGAACUAGCAGCACCACCAUUUUGCAUGACCAUGUGCUUCUCUGUUGGUAAAUCUGGCUCUGGUGCCUUCUGACUUGUAGAAGUAUGAAACUCUUUGUUCCUCCUAAGCCGGCACACAACCAAAGCAUCAUCCUAAAAUUUCGAAAAAUCAAUUAAUUAACUGGAGACAAAGACCAGAACAUCUCAAGUAGCCAAAGUUAACUCUUAAUUAUGUUAAAACAAUGUAUGACAAAGAAAGGAGUCGCAGAAGAGUUUACCAUAGAAACUCCUUUCAUGCAGUACUCGUGCAUAAGCCAUUCGGUUCUUUCGCCUUUUGGUGCACGACCGAUAUGGAAGACAAGCGUCCUCUUUGUCCCAAUGACUUGAGAAGAAGACUUCACAUCACGUUCUUUCCCAGUGGCUUUCCAGUAUCCCAUCUUGGUUGCUCUCCUGUUCUGUGACCCAUGUGGAUACUUUUUGCCUCGGGCACAGAAGAAGAACCAUUCCGUAUCAGAUUUAACUAUCGACUUAUCUGCAAAUUAAUAAUAAAAAAAAGAAUAUUUCAAGAAAACAAGAACUCUCUUAUCCCACUCCACAAGAACAGAAAACGACAAUGCUUAGAGAUUGAAGUGGAAGAUAAUUAAUUAAUUAUGAACAAAUAUAACAAAAGCAUGUCAUAAGCCAAGAUUUGUAACACAAACCGGGCAAAUCCCAAGGCUCGAAGUUGUAAAUAUCAGUUUCCGGUAUAACCUCAACGGACCGCUCCAAACCGUCCAUCUUCCGCUUCAGGUAAUACGAGAUCAGCUCCACGUCCGUCGGCGAGAACUUGAACCCCGGAAACACCGUGGCCGCUUCCACUGACUAUUUGAAGUUAAAACAUUUAAAUCCAUAAACAUAAACCGCCUACACAACAAAAAAAAACUUCAGACAGGAUAUAUAUGUUCUUUUCUCAACAUCGAGAACAACACAUGACAUUGGUUCUUACUACAUUCCAUAGCCUUACUCUAGACAAAAGAACAUUACAAUGAGAGCCACUAAACAUAUAAUAACGUCCCAACGUGCCCUGUUUACAGUUUUGAUCGAGUAUAUCCCCACGAAGCAACUUGACAGUUGGUCUGUGCCACUGCUCCCUUUACAUUUCUUCUGCUCUGAUGGUCUUUCCUCUAACAGCGAAGCCAUCUGUUUGUCUAUCAUGCUUGGUAAAGGAAGCACCCUUAUAGCCUUUGAUGCUGAUUCAAGUGUUGGCACUUCGUUCGCUAAGUUCCCCGUGGUGACCGCUUCAUCAACAUUGAUGAUUUCAUCCUUUAGUAUAUCCGCAAAGAAAUCGUCCUCAGUUUGCACCUAAACACACACACACACACAAAACUUAAUCAACAACUACAUUAAUUAAUCAAGAACCAUCCAUCAUGCGCUAUGUGAAAAGUUAGUUGGGUAGAAACAACUAUAUGGCAUAGAAAGUGGAACAUAAGCAAAAAGAAACAGGAGGUUAAUUGUACCGAUCCUGGCAAAGCCUAAUGAAAUAUUCAGUCUUAGCCCCUAAUUUUAAGAGCCAAUCUACAUAGUCCUUACGCCCACAAUUACCUUUUAGCCCCUAAUUUUGAGAGCCAAUCUACAUAGUCUUACGCCCACGAAUUACUUUUUUAAUAAAGAUUUACGCUAAUUGUGGCCCCUAAAUUAGGUCCUGCCUUGAGGAGAGGGGACAAACCUGUAGAUUUUUUGAUGUUUCUGCCAUCUCGUUGAGAAGCUCCUCCCCUGACUCACCGGCAAGGUAAAAAUCAACCAUGCUGUCCCAAUCAGUGAGGCUUCCAGAACUAGCAGCACCACCAUUUUGCAUGACCAUGUGCUUCUCUGUUGGUAAAUCUGGCUCUGGUGCCUUCUGACUUGUAGAAGUAUGAAACUCUUUGUUCCUCCUAAGCCGGCACACAACCAAAGCAUCAUCCUAAAAUUUCGAAAAAUCAAUUAAUUAACUGGAGACAAAGACCAGAACAUCUCAAGUAGCCAAAGUUAACUCUUAAUUAUGUUAAAACAAUGUAUGACAAAGAAAGGAGUCGCAGAAGAGUUUACCAUAGAAACUCCUUUCAUGCAGUACUCGUGCAUAAGCCAUUCGGUUCUUUCGCCUUUUGGUGCACGACCGAUAUGGAAGACAAGCGUCCUCUUUGUCCCAAUGACUUGAGAAGAAGACUUCACGUCACGUUCUUUCCCAGUGGCUUUCCAGUAUCCCAUCUUGGUUGCUCUCCUGUUCUGUGACCCAUGUGGAUACUUUUUGCCUCGGGCACAGAAGAAGAACCAUUCCGUAUCAGAUUUAACUAUCGACUUAUCUGCAAAUUAAUAAUAAAAAAAAGAAUAUUUCAAGAAAACAAGAACUCUCUUAUCCCACUCCACAAGAACAGAAAACGACAAUGCUUAGAGAUUGAAGUGGAAGAUAAUUAAUUAAUUAUGAACAAAUAUAACAAAAGCAUGUCAUAAGCCAAGAUUUGUAACACAAACCGGGCAAAUCCCAAGGCUCGAAGUUGUAAAUAUCAGUUUCCGGUAUAACCUCAACGGACCGCUCCAAACCGUCCAUCUUCCGCUUCAGGUAAUACGAGAUCAGCUCCACGUCCGUCGGCGAGAACUUGAACCCCGGAAACACCGUGGCCGCUUCCACUGACGCCGCCGUGUCCUUAAAACCUCCCAUCGCCUCCGCCUCCAUGAAGAAGUGUUUUCCGGUCUCUAGAGAGUUCGAAUGUAAAAACGAAUUUCUGAACUUGUCAGUGCUUACUUAACUUUGAGUUCUGAAAAAGACAUAACAUGUGUUUUUGCCUAGGUGUUGCGUAGUUAUUGCAUGAUGCAUGUCUGAUUGCCACGUCACUAGAGCUAGUUAAAAAUAAGACUUUAUUUCAGUUACAUCCUUGGUGUUUUCGCCUAGUUUCAAUUUAAGACUUUUAAUUUAGUUUACAACUACAAAGCCCUUUCUUGGCUAGUGCUCACAUCACAUUGGCAUCAAUGUUUCAUUCUUCUUAACAAAGUAUAUUGAUUAUAAAAACUAUAGAUUAUAAGACCCCAACACAUCACAUACUAUACAUCAUAGUGAGCCAAAAUAGAGAGACUGUAAAUUACUACAAAAGAGAAAAAAAAAUUACAAUGAUAAUUGUUUAUUUUUGUGAAGGUAACAUGAAGCCACAAAGCGGACACUUGUUACCAACUUGAAACCAUUUUUCAAUACAAGAGCUAUGAAAGACAUGAGAGCAGCAAGGCAUAGAGGUUGCUUCUUCCGCAAGAAACAUCUCCUCAGUGCAUAUCACACAAGGCUCAAGCCGAUCCAUGUCUGGUCCAAGCACUUUGAAACGCUUCAACCUGCAAACCGUAGAUCUAUCUGCAGGUACCGUACAUCUAAUCGAUGCAAUCUCAAUCUGAAUCGCCUCCAACAUGGCCUUAUUGGCUCUUCUAGACACAUAAGAGUGGUGCAUAUAACGUGUGAAGCCCAUCUCAGAUAUCACUUCUCUUAUUUGAUCUUCCCAUGAAGACAAAGAAAGCAAGUUCUCGUUCUUCUCCACUCUCUUCUUGAUCAAAAACUCUAUCUCUCUCUCGAUGGACCGUUCCCGAAAAAUCGAGAGCAGUGUCUCGUGAUCAACAUGCGUUAAAUGGUAUUGUAAGAUGAUUUGAAGUUUAAGAGUCAACCACUUAUCGUCACAAGAAAACUUAUCUUUCUGGAUGAGUUUCAACUCCUCCACAAGACUUUCGGUAACGUCAGGCAUGUGUCUAACAUAGCCAAGAGAGGAAGGAGUCUUCUCGUAGAUCUCCCUUCUUAUAACCUCGUACGCUUUCGAAGUUGCUAUAGAAUCUGUAGACUCUAUUUCUGUGUAGAGGUAAGAACAAGGGAAACGAAAUCUACUAAUGGAUGUUGUUGCGGACUCGGUGAUAGUGUUGCAUACAGCGAGCAUCUUAAACUCAACCUCUAUACAGAACUGAGGAUACGUGAGACUCUUCUCGCACUCACCAACAUCAUUAGGUAAUAUCAUCAGAUUAAGUUGGCAAGACGUUUCUACAGAAGAAUGUCUUAGCCAAGGGCCAUAGACAUGAGUUCUUGACGUGGCGUUCAAGGCACGUUCUACAGGGAGCUUAACCUGGACGCAUUUUUCUCUCACGUGGCCUAUCAUUCCACAGUUGUAACAGAAGUCUCCUAGGUUCAAGUACUUGAACCCCACGAACCGGUUUUGGUUUUGGCCUAUGUAGAAUCCUGGUCGGAGUGGCUUCUUGAGGUCAACAUCUACUCGGAGGUAGAUGAACCUGUUGUUAUUAGACAUUCCGUGAAAAACGGCAUUGUUGUCGCCAACUUGUGAUUGAAGCGUGGGGAGAAACUCAUCAGUGCAGAGGUACAGUGGUAAUCCCACGACAGCGACCAAGAAGGAGUCUGAAGUGAAGUCAAUGGUGUCUGAAGAGAUUAGAUCCUUUAUUACAAUGAGGACUCCAUUGACGUUAUAAGGUCGCCUUUUAAGAAUUUUUUCUUUGUCAUUCUUUUGUGUGAACUCGAACAAGAACGUAUGACCGUCGUCUAGCUUUUUGACAGUCAUGUCGCCGGAGAAAACCCAUUGUUUCCGGAGUGUUUGUUCUGUGUCUGCAGCAGACGGUGGAGUUGAGUUCGUGAAGAACUUCCCGACGAGACAGUGUGAAGAAGAGCCGUCGAACAUGUUUUGCUUUCAGAAGAUUUUGAGUUAAUUAGUUUGAACACGCCAUGGUGAUUAUUACUGGAGUUUAUAUAAAAAAACAGCAAAACAAAUAGGGAUUACUUUUUCCUUUUCCUUGUUAGAUCUAGACAAUAUUUAUUUAAUUGAUUCUUAUGUUUUUGACAGAUUCACAAUUAACUUUUUUCUUUACUUUUCCAAUUAUAAAUAGGAAAACAAUAUGAAAACAUGCAUAAGGAAUAGUUUUCCAAUUAUUAUCGUUUAGAUGAGACUAUAAAAUAAAAAUCUAGGACAAAAUUUAAAGUCUCGUAAUUUUUAGAUUCAAAAUUUCAUAAAAUAGUCUUGGACAUAUCACAUUCUACAGAUCAUAUAUUUCUUGUAGAAAUUUUAACCAGCUAAUAAAUGUACCAUCUAAAUUAUUUUUCUUUAUUUUUUUUUAUUUCUGUUAAUACUUAUGUCAACAACGAAAGGUGCAACAUGGAUUAAAAACCUGAUGUGGAAAUGAUGCUGAAAAUAAUUUCACAUUCUAAAUAGCAUAUAUCAAAAUUUGCUUGUAACAACUAAUUUCAAUUCAUACACUUAUUUGUGGUUUAUAUAUACUACCUCCAAUUCCUUGUAUGUUCGAUAGAGCGAAACAUUUCUCCAGCUUUAGGAGAUCGAGAGAGGAUUAAUUUUUUUUUUGGCUGAGGAUGGCCUAUGGUGUGUGUUAUUUGAAGGAAGCACGUUUUUUCGACCGCGGUGCUAUGAUUGCCGGAGCCUCUCCUCGUUCCAAACAGAAUCCCCUUAGUAAGAGACGUUCCUUUCAGUCGGAAGACUAGCGUUUUUCGAGAACAGAAUCAGACAGACUAACUAUCUAUCGAUUGUAAAUGGUAUGCGGGUACAGGUCGAAGAAGAGACUCGGGUGUGAGCUCAGCCCUAUCCCUGCCGGUCUAGCUGGUACCCCCAAACCUUAUCAACUCACCAAAUCUUAUUUAUAAAAAGAUAUAAUUAUAUUCAACUUUUAUAAUUCAGUAAAGCAAUAGAGGCAUACGUAAUACUUAUCUUUAUUGGAAAAGAGGUGACGUUGGAGUGUUCGAACUUCGAAGAUUGAAAGUGGAUAUUACCAGGUGACCUCUCGGGACCCUCCGGAUACCACAUCAGAAAAAUUGACUAGAAUUUUCAACAAAAGUAUCAUCAAAUUAAUAAUUUCCACAGAACCCAACAAAAACCUUUAUCAUGAACCCCGAAAUGUUAAGCAUAAAAAGUAAAUUAGGGCAUUAAUCUAAAUACGUUUAAAGCUAUUAUUAUAUUUCAGUAUGGCCGAAUAAAAAGAGCUACUGAGACAACUAGGAAUAUAUUCUAUCUAAACUGAUACAAUUAUUCAUACCUUGUUAAAAAAUAUUCUGAUUAUGACACGAAAAAGCUACGAAUGAGCAUAUAUUUAUCAUAAGCAGUAGCCAAGUGUAAACAAAAUUUGUAACCAUACAAAUCAAAUAUAAAAUAUUGAGUUGUUACCUUUCUUGUCACGGGAUUUGUUACCUAACCACGAUAACGAUAAACAAGCAUACUUUAAAUUAUUUUUUAAAAAUAUUAAACGAAGAAAUAACUAGUUUUUUUUUUCUGAGAACAUAGGAGUUUCGAUCUAUGUCUCGCAGACAAAAACGAGUUACGGGACCUAGGAUAUUUAAUAAUAAUAUAAUAUGGAUCAUGGAUGCAUAUAACUGGUAGCGAAGUACUUGAAGAUGAUAGCCGCCUUCAUAAAGGAAUCAUUCGCCAACCAUGACAAAGUCAAAAGAAACAUAUACCUCGUAAGGUCAGCGUCAGAGACGUAAGAGAAAAUUUAGAGAGAUUCGUUUUUGUCGACGAAUAAAGAUGACGUCACUUGUAUGAAAAAUUGAAAGAUUUUUAGCUCAAACAGCGUGGAUUUUAGAGUUUUGCUUGAUAUUAGAGUUUAAAAUAUAAAAAGAAAGAAAAAAAAUGUUUUUUAAGUGCAAAUUAAUUCGACUUGGUCAUCAUAAAUCUAUAUGUUUUCGGAUUAAAUAUCAAUGUAUUUUUAGCGAAUUUAUGUAAAUUUACUAACCAUUUUCUCUAAGUUUAUGCAACUUUUUCAAUUUAUAAAUUGUUCAACUUGUUUUUAAAAACAAAAAAUUAACCAUACAAAACAAAUGAAACUAAAGUAAGUAAUAUUAAAAUGGUGAGAUAAACGUUUCGAAUUUAUAAGAGAGAACCACAAUCACCCGUUUCCUUCCUACAACAACUACACAGAGUUUGAUCUCCUUCCUUCCAUGUCCACUCACCAACAAGAUAUGUCUCUCGUCACGUCCACUCCUCCGAUCAACAACGGCAAUCAAAUCUUCCCAGAGAUCGAGAUGUCCGGCGACUCCUCCUCCAUCGUACGAGCAACCGUCGUCCAGGCAUGCACCAUCUUCUACGAUACUCCCGCCACGCUAGGUAGGUUCACCUUCCUCCAUUGUUUUUGUUGGUUGUAUGGUACUCUCUGUGUCUUUUAAUAUUUUUGAUCUUCCCUAUGGUGUUGCAGAUAAGGCGGAGAGGCUACUUGCCGAGGCGGCGGAUAAUGGGUCACAGCUCGUUGUGUUCCCGGAGGCGUUCAUCGGCGGAUAUCCUCGCGGCUCCAGCUUCGAGUUGGCCAUUGGUGCUCGAACGGCUAAAGGAAGAGACGACUUUCGCAAGUAUCUUGCUUCUGCUAUUGAUGUUCCCGGUAAAGCUCAAACCUUAAGUGUUUACGCUACAUUGUAAUUUUUUUUUUUGUAACUUAUAAUUUGUUACAAUAGUUCGAACCCACGACCACUAGGUUAGGAGCCUUGUACUCAACCAACUGAGCUAGACGGUCUUGUUAAGUUUACACUACAUUGUUGAUGAGAUCAAAGAUGUUGUCUUUAGUUACCAGAUGAAUGGGGUUAAGUUUGAGUCUCUAGUUAGUGUAAAGUAUAUUCCUUUUUGUUUUGACUAAUCUUGGUGCUAACUCUUAGGCCCUGAAGUGGAACGUAUGGCGGAGAUGGCUAGGAAGUACAAAGUGUUCUUGGUUAUGGGUGUGAUUGAGAGGGAAGGUUAUACGUUAUACUGCUCUGUCCUUUUCUUUGACUCACAUGGUCAGUUCUUGGGUAAGCACCGGAAACUCAUGCCUACGGCUCUUGAACGUUGCAUUUGGGGGUUCGGAGAUGGAUCAACCAUCCCUGUUUUCGAUACUCCGAUUGGGAAAAUCGGUGCUGCUAUUUGUUGGGAGAAUAGGAUGCCAUCUUUAAGAACCGCUAUGUAUGCCAAAGGUUAGUCUCUCUUUAGAUUCCAUAGAUAGGGACAAGGCCGGUCCUGAGAUUUUGCGAACUAGAGAUAAUUUGGUAAAAGUUUAUAUAAUUUUUUAAAAAUAAAUUUGGUAGCCUAUGUAUAUGUAAUUUAUUUCUAAAAUGUUGAGGGUCGUAGACGAAUGCUUCACUAGCCUAUGCUCAUGACCAAACUCGGAUAUGGAGAAUGUGUAUCUUACAGGCUUGUUAAAAGUAAGUACCAUUGUGUUAUGGUUUAUGCAGGCAUUGAGAUAUAUUGUGCACCUACUGCUGAUGCUAGAGAAACUUGGCUAGCGUCAAUGACUCACAUCGCUCUUGAAGGAGGCUGUUUUGUUUUGUCAGCUAACCAAUUCUGUCGCCGUAAAGACUAUCCUCCACCACCGGAAUACACGUUUUCCGGUUCAGAAGAGAGCCUCACACCGGACUCUGUUGUCUGUGCUGGUGGAAGCUCUAUCAUUUCGCCUUUGGGGAUUGUUCUAGCUGGACCAAACUAUGAAGGAGAGGGUCUUAUCUCAGCUGAUCUAGGUAAUAAUAUUACUAUUAAACACUUGUUUAUCAGUUAAUCUAGCUGGGACCAAUCAUGUUCAUAAAAAUCUUUUGACAGAUCUUGGGGACAUAGCACGAGCUAAGUUUGACUUCGAUGUGGUCGGUCAUUACUCGAGGCCUGAAGUUUUUAGCUUGAACAUAAAGGAGCAUCCGAGGAAAGCGGUUAGCUUCACGUCCAAGGUAACCAAAGAUGAGACCGUCAAAAUGUGAGAGACCAACGCUCAACGUCAUAGACUUAUGGGAGUUCUAUGUAUAUUUUAAUAACCCUCGUCAAGAAUUGUAAUUGAAAUCAUUAUCAGAUCCAAAGUGUUAUAUGCAUUGAAGAAUAUAUAAUAACAAUUUUUCUUUUCAAAAAAGAAAAAGAAGAAUAUAUAACAUGUCUCUGUUUCCGACCGUGCCAGGUUCUUACAAAGACACCCCAAAUUUUUAUAUUGUUCAUAGAUUUGAUCCAGAUAUUAUUGUAGGAAUCAGGGAUACCCUCAUACACAGCACUCCAGUUUCCAGUAAUAUCUCAUGAUAAUAGACUUUACAAGUUGUUUGUUCUUUGAAGAAUUUGUGUAAAAGUCUAUUAUGGAACCAGGAAACUCAACAUGAAGAAGCUCAACUAAUGCAGGUAAUAAUAACCAAGGCUUAAGCUGACAGAACACUGCACAACCAAAGAUGCAUUCCAGUCACCACUUCUGGUCACAGAGAAACCAAUUCUAUCCCAUCCAAGUUUAAAAUUUCUCCAUCUCACAGGCAUUACACAAUAGCUAAAAGAGAAGCAACUAGAGCAAAAAAAUAUGAAAUAUUUUGAUGAAACAUUCGACUAGUGUUGCAUUCGAUUAGGGUUCUCAUGAGAUGUAUUUUUCUUGUUGCUCGUGCAAAAGCUUCGCUGAAGAUUUGGCAUCAAGGUAGAGUGAUGUUACUUCCUCUAUAUCAGCCUGUCAAAAGACAGAAAAAAAACAAGAGAUAAACAGCCAUAACAUUCAUUUAUAGACUGCUCUAUCGUUUGAGAUUUGCAAGGAAGUACCUUGCAGAUACUGUCACGACCAUUCAUUUUCGCCACGAUGCUGGCAGGAGACAAAAGCUGAAACUGAACCGCGUGCCUGUAAGCACAAGAAGGUUUAGAGAGAGAGAAAAAUCUUGCAAAGAAGCAAUGAUGCUGGUUCAGUCUUAAAACCUUAGCGAUGUUCUUUGCCCAAUGUCCCCAAGUAGGACCAAGCAUUCUUCAUCCACCGUUAGCUCUUCUACUUGCGCACGAAUGGCUAUAAUCUGAUCACAUAACAAAUCUAUUAGAAGGCUGUUGAUUAAUUGAAAUAAAAAAAAAACUAAAUGACAACUGAGUAACCUGUAUCAUCUCAGAGGGAUUAUAGAUUUGAGUCCUGAUGAUGACCAACCGAUCCAACAAGUCAAUAGGGACUCCAUGGGGACUCGGCAUAUCAGUCCCUCUGCAAAUAAUGUGAAUCACAACACUAAGUUGAACCCAAAUUCACAAAGAAGAAGCAUAAUGGUUUAUAUAUUUCUCCUCACCUAACGUUGCAGACUCCUCUAUUUGUUGCAAAUAUCACUAUUGGAGACAAGGAGCUCUCCAGAGCACGGUUUAAGUAAGAAAAGCACUCCAUAUCAAGCAUAUGAACCUAAAGAUUUGUGAUUUAAAGAAAGUUAGAUCACUGCUCAUGAGUCCUGAGCAUGGUGGAAUGAGAAAACUUACCUCAUCGAUAAAUAGAACUCCGGGAACAAGCUCUGCAACACCUUCAUCUAUAUAACGGUUCACGACCUGCAAAUAAUCAUACACUAUUAUACUAUUAGUCCUUUUAACAAAAAGUUAAACAAGUAUAGUUUAGGUCUCAGUGAAGAAGAUCAACCUUGUUAAUUUCUUGCCGCAGCUUAUCAGUGAUCUCUGUCUUCCGGGGUUUCAUCAUCUGCCCCAUCAAAGAAAGUAUAUCCUGCCCACCUUGUGGUCUAGCAUUUGCUGCAUCCAGAUCUUGAAGCGUCACAUCCUAACCAAUGUGAACGAAAAGUUUUAGAGGCUAUAUCACACAAGGGAGAGUUCUUGGGAUAAGCAAAGAUCAUAGAAAAGUAAAAAACCUGCACUAUCUCUUUCUUUUUGUGAACCUCUCCCUUGGGGAGUGGAACAUAUUCUUCUGCUUCCAGAUCGAACUCAGUGGCGAAAGCAUCACUUCGACCCACCCGCUUGACAGCUCCACUGUUUGCUUCAAUGUAUAUAACAUCACCCACAGCUACCUGAUAGUCAAACAGUAAACAUAAGACCUUCAGGACACAAUGAUGAUCUAUUUGGACCUGCGAACCAAACAGAUGAAGACAGUACAGGGUGCAAAGAAGUCAAAACAACUAACCUUUUCUUUAAUCAAGGCAUCGUAGAUAGUGGGAUCCAACUUCAACUGUUUGGUUCCUUUGACUGUCUUGAGUCCAACGAUAACAUGACUGAUGCUUUUGCCAUAACCUCCGGUAAGACUUUCAGUUUCUUCUGGUGACAGCUCCGUAACCUAGAACUCAAGGUAAACUCGUUAAGAAUCUGACGGCAAAAGAUAUAUUAUAUACACAACAACAAAAGGAACUGACAAAUUAGCAGCACACAAACCUCUCCUUCGUAGACGUCUUUGGUUUCCUUGAUACGUAGACCAAUGGCACGUCUAAAAUUCUCCAUGAGAACCUCAGUUUUCUUAACCUCCGAUGAGUAAACCUCGGAUCCAACCAUUGGACAGAAGGGAACCUGCAAACAAAAAAAACAAUCCAAAUAACAUAAAGCUAAACAUGAAUUUGAAAAAAAAACAUGUACACCAAAUCUGAUGAAGAUGCCAAUGAGGAUACAUGACAUUCCGUGAUUACCUUACUUCCCAGCUCUUGUGAUAUUCCAAGAGCCAAAGCUGUUUUACCAGUUCCGGGAGGUCCAGCGAGCAAAAGAGCCUUGCCAGCCAUUUUCUUCUGUUUAAUCAUGUCGACUACAAGACCAGCUGCCUCUCUAGCCUCGAGUUGACCGACGAAUCCAGCCGCCAAUGGUAUAGGAAUCCCGGUUGGCUAGAAAAAGGAGAGAGUAAAUUAGCAAUUGGACAUAAUAAUACUCCAAGGAAUAGAAAGAGAUCACACUAAUGCUAGAAAAAAAUAAUCUUAGUCAAAAAGAACCACAACUAGUUAGUAAGAAACACAGUGAAUGACAACACCAAAGAAAGCAUGUCUUAACGGUCUCAAAACACCCUUCAGUACAAUAUAUCAAAGCAUCGUUCAGAAAAUAGAUGGCAAUAAAGAUUGAAACUUUGCAAAAAAAAAAAAAAAAAAGCUUGGGUUUUGCUAAAAACCCUUAUAAAAAGGUUAAAACUUUAAACUCUAAACUCGGGGACCUAAAGCAAACUACUGCAUUCUACUAGAUUCAAAGAGAGAUACUCAGUGAGAGAGAGAGAAGAAGAAGAACCUCGAGGCCGAGGCCUUUGAUAUGAGUGUGAGUAGCAAUCCGCUGUUUCUGGGCGGUGGACUGUAUUUCUUCAAUCUUUACUUUCUCCAUCUCCCUCAACCCCUUUGCGUGUUCUCCUUCUGAGAUGACUAUUUGAUGUAUUCUCCGACGACGACGACGGCGGAAGAGUUGAGCUCUAUUUUGAUGUUUAAGGCGAAACCUCUCCUUUUCUAUAUGUUACUAAUUUUUGUUGCAACAAUAGCCCUUCUAUUAUACUUUCUUUACGUAAUCACACCCCAACUUUUAAAUUUUUAAGUUGAAGAAAUAACAAUUAGAGCAAACAAUCUUCUGGAUCCCUGUUCUGUUAUCUCACUACUAGUAGCAGUCACCGGUCAUUAAAAAGUAGUAGUGGGAAAGAGAAAGGUGGUAAAAAAAGUCAUACAAAUGCUUACUCUAGAGUAGACUCAAGAUCGUAAAAAAAUAAAUGAAAGAGGCGAAACUAGAAUAUAGUAACGAAUAAUAAAAAAGGGUGUUGUUUUGUAAUUUGUUCAAAGUCGCGUAAGCCUCAGAAUGACAAGUUUGAAUCCUUUGCUGUUUUGGUUUGUUUGUAUACAAAGCAGCAGCUCUGGUUCAAGUGUACAGAGACAAACCAAGAUCUUCAGUUCGUCUUCCCAGACGUCUGUGACCUUCUGAAGUUAAGACGAUUUGUGAAUUUGUUCGGUACAUGAUCUCAGUGGGAAACCAAAACUGGUCUCAUCUGCUAAGACUUAUAGCUGAGCCUGAGGAUGUAGUAUGUUGUACGGAGUUGUCGGCCAAAACGGCAUAUGGUUUCUCAAAACAACAUUGCUUUCUUGUCUUUUACUUCUCCACGUUGUCUCCUUGUACAUAUUUCAAUUUAUGUAUCACAUUCAAGGGAAAAUUCAAGAGCAUAUUUCCUUAUGUCAAUGUACCAAAAACAAGAUUAUUGAACAUGCGAGAGCAAAAAGUUGUGUGUUAGACAUUUUUCAUUCUACACAUUCAAGUCAAAUACAAACGGGAAAUGAACUUUUCACUCUCUCUUCAUAUCACAAGGGCCAAUCCAAUUGAGAAGAACUAGAGAUUUGGUUUGCUAUUGGUAAUAUAUAUGAGCAAAACUUUAGGGCACAAAAAAACGCAAAUCACCCUUUUAAAAUGGUAUUGUCACCUUUCCUUUCUUUCUCUGCACAUCCGAUUGUAUUUUAGAGUUAAUAGUAUUUUUCAAGAGCGUAGACUCCAUCCACGUGCAGCUAAUGCACUCCGUGCUCUCAUAGCUGCCUCUGCUGUGUCACUCAAUGGCGGAUAACUCCAACUCUCCGACAUCUAUAUAAAACCCAUUAGAAUCAAAUCAGAUCAUGAAGACAUGGAGUAAAAUGGGGGGGGAGAAGAUAACUCUACAAAUAUUUAUGAAGAUGUAAAGAGUACUUACGUCUUCGAAACCCGUAAAUGGGCGGACAACUCCUCGCUCCCUCAAAGACUUGUGGAAAUCUGCAAUCUUCCAUUUACAGUGAUCGCCUCCAAUAACGUACACUGGUUUCCUGCAGCAGGGAAAGGAAUAAUCAGAUUAUAGUUUUGAAAUGUAGGAAAAAAAGGGAAAGAAUUAAAAAAAACUGAAAGGGUUUAUCUCAGUAUACUAUAUUACCCGGUGCUGCAGGCUUCGCUUAUGAGACUGACAGAAUCUGCUGUCACUACAAAGGCAUCACCCCAAGCUAGAUGUCCCAUGUAAGGAUUUGGUUCUGAAUUAGCAUUUCAAAAACAAACUUUUGUCAAUUGCAUUGUACUUGUGGACAAAGCUGAAGUAAGUUUUUGUAUGGAACGAACUCCAGUACCUUGGCCAUUCCAGAUGUAGACUUUUGGGUUAUCUCCUAAUUCUUUGAAAAUUACUCUUGAAACCUAAAUGAAUAAUAAAAUACCAGAUGAAUCUCAAGAGCAUCAGCUAAAACUAUCACAGUUAAUAGAAAUAUGUGUUAGGAGACCUUUUCCGGGGUUUUGUAGGAGAGAGCAAUCCUGACACUUCCACAGUUAUCAAGGACACUAAGAAGGGCGUCUGUUAGCUGCUUUGCCAGGUCUGCUCCAUAACGACAGUUACCUGUUCAGGAAAAAAACAAGAAAAACCAUGGUAAUGAGGUCUAAACUCCAGUUUUCAAAAGAAAAAAGGGGCUCAUGUGCUAUAUGCUGGAAGUGUUAGAAAGCUGUCUAGUAACUUAAAGGAGUAACAGAACUUACGUCUGGGCCAGCCAAUGUUAACCACAACUAAGGGCUUUGGAAGAGCAGCAAACUCAUCAUGCCAGGCACUAGCUGAUUUACGGAGUGUGGCGUAAUCGAUCCCGUGUAGAGCUCCAGUAGUCAAGACCUGAAAAUAGGUGUGUCCAUUCAUGGUAUUAAUUACAAAUGAAAUUUCCACUACAAGUUUCAUCUCCAAUUAUAUGAUGGAAAAGAGAAUAGAGCAAAAAACAUGGCACUUACUACAUGAUCCUGAGGUGGCUCACGUGGAGUUAUCCAACUACGCAUAAAUCUAGGAACCUGCUCUUGCGCUUCGGGAGUUAGAGGAUAAUAGUCGUGACGAGGGGUUAUCACCAUGUCGAACCUAUUCAGGUGUGAUCUAGGAUGUUGUAUCUACAAAAAUGAAGACCAUAAUAAUUAAGAGGGUCCAGGAAUAAAACUCUCUCCUUUUUUAGCUGAUUACAUGAUUCAGGAAAAAAAAAAAUCUUCCCUCUAGAUACUUAAUCAAAAUUUUAUCUUGAAGACUGAAACAGUAGUUCAAAGCUAAGUCUAGAGUGUCUUUUGAGUAACAUAACAAACCAUGUAAAAUCUUUUAACAAACCUGAACAACGAAGACGUUUUCAGAAGCAAGACGCCUUAUGGAGCUAGCGAUAGAAACUGUAUCUCUCCCACACGCAAUCACUACCAACGGGCCAUCCCUGUGAAAAGAAAAUAAAAUCGCGUACGUAACAGUGUCCUAACGAACAUAGAAAGCCAAAACAUAACUCUGAAUUUUCAGAAAAGUUACAUACUUUUCAUAGGUCUCACGAGCCAUGGUCACAAUCUCCUUCACGUCAGCCUCGAGAAUAGAAGACAAGCCUACACUGCCACCAUUCUCCGAGGAUAUGUAUUUAGUUUGUUUGGAACUAAGCAUCAAUCUGGAGUAGAGGUAAAGAUGCCUGAGUAUAAACUCCAACUUCUUGUGGAAACCAACAGGGAGCCAGUGUAGCCACUCAUGUAUCCCUCCUUUAGGCCUCGUCACUCGCUUCCAUCAUAAAAAAAAAAAAGAUAGAAAAUCUCAGCGAACCAAACAACCAUUGUUCAUGAACUUCAACGCCAAUUUCAACUUAAGUCAUGUUCGUUUGGUUGCCGCAGUUUUUGGCUUCGGCUUCAAUGAAAAUAGUUAUUGUUUGUUUCGUCGAUGCAGACGCAGUUUUAAUCACAGACGCAGAUUUUUUCAUCGAAUGACGCAGCGUUUAGACGCAAACGCAGUACCGGCAUCAAUGAAACGAACAAAAGUUUAUUAAAAAAAUUGACGCAGCCGCAGGUAGCUGCGUCAACCAAACGAACAGCACUUUAGCAAGCUAUAAACGUAGAAUCGAAGCCAUUGUUGUUAAGGCUAAAUCGGAAACUCACGUAGAGUAGGUGGUUUUCGGCCAAGCCGAGGGCACGAGCGAGACCGAUGGACUGGUUCUCGGAGCCGGGGAAACCGUUUCCGAUGACGACGGCGCGUCUGACGACGUUCUGAGGUCCGCCUUGUUCGAAAAUCUCGGGUACGCCGGUGGAUAGACUGGGUGGAUCCGGCAAUAGGAUUGGCCUCAUGCCGCGGGGUGGUGAUUCUUCUACUGCUUGAUCAGAUCAAAAACCCCACGCCGAGGAGAUUUGGGGAUUGAUUUUGAUCAACUCUGAGCGAAAGAGGAGGAAGGAAGGUCGCGUGCUUCACAACUUGCGAAAGGUAGAAACCAGAGGAAGAAGAUGUGCUAAUCACGCAACAUUGGUAAAUAAAGUGACAAACUUAAACUGUCAUGCAAAAAACAAAUUAAUCGGUAAAUAGAUGUCUCAUUUUGCAAAGUUUCGAGAAGUGAUCAUAUGGGCCGUUUCUAAAGCCCAAUAUGUAGAAUUUAAUUAACCCUAGAGUUUAGCUUGCAAGCUCAUAACCUAAGCAACUAAUCAUGCUUUUAAUUGUUACUGCAGUUGAUGAUGUUGUUAAGCUGCUGGUCUGAUAGGCCAUUAAUAUCAAAAUUUACAACAUGUUUACAGCAUAACUGCCAUGUUUGUAUAUAAAAAGCACUGUUAUUGUUGCAUACUUGCAUCAAUGUCAGUCAAUAAACCAAAGAGAAAAUGAAAAAUAAGUGCCAUUUGAACAAAAUAAAUUACGCAUAUGUGAUGUAUAUUGAAGAUUCAAGAAUCAUAAGAGACAAACGUAAUAAAGUUGUGGAAACACAAUGAACAAAAUCACACGAGUGGCUAAAAAUCUAAGACAAGGUAAAGAGUUUAGUGCAAUGUGAACAUUUACAAGAGCGUUAUAAAAGCGAGGAGGACCAUGGCAUGUAACCUCUCAAAGCUUACUGUCAUUUUUAUGAUAAAUCAAGACUGAAAACUGAAGGAUGCAACUGGGUGAUUUACAAAAACAGUGGUCUGCUUCAAGCUGUACGCUCCGGAAAAGAUCAUCUACCUUCGAUGGAGUCUCUGAGACUAAGAUCUGCAGGAGGGCAAAGUGAUGCCUCCACAGAAAGACGCAAUUAUUAUGUACAGCACAAGAACUAUCACGCACGUCAACAUUACCCUGCCAACACACAGACAAUAAUAGCAUGCUUCAGUUGAAAUUUGUGAAAUCAUUCAAUUCUAAUGUCCAAACAAACAUUAUUUAUCUCUAUUAUAAGAAACAUAUCAGUAAAGCAGUCAAAGGGAAAUCAACAAGUGACAGAGAGGUCCUUACAAGAGCUUAGCGUUUUUCAUCCAAAGAGCUCUGCGUAAGCGCUUGGAUUGUUUCCUGAAGUGAAAGGCAUUAUCUUGCAUAGUUGCAGUUUUAUCAACAAGAAGCUCAAUCCUAUCACCUCUCUCCAUUAUCUUCUCAAUGUUAUCUACCAUCACCGAUCGAAUCUACAAACAACAAAAGUGAAAAAAUGAUGAAACUUCAACUUCAAGAAGCGAAAAAAAGGUUGUGGCUUUUGCAUUAAGUUACCUCACUGACUUCUCCUUGGACACGAUUGAGAGUAUCAACACUAGGAUUACUAGAGAAGAACUCCAUCUGCUGAUGCAAAACCCUCGAGAACUCAUCGUUCAUCGCGUAAGCUGGAGCACUAUGCGCCACUCUCCCGUAGUUCUUCAUGAACCUCAUAUGAAUCUCUUCCAAAUACGAAAACGGUAACCUCCCUAACACAAUUCAAAUCACCAUCACACAAAGCAAAACCAAAGACUCUGAAUCAAUCAGAGAGACUUAAAAAUCACACAAAGCAAAACCAAAAGACUCUGAAUCAAUCAGAGAGACUUAAAAAUCACACAAAAGCAAACCAAAAACUCUGAAUCAGUCAGAGAGACUUCAAAAUCACGAUUCGGAGAAAGUGGGGGCUUACUUCCGAAGGUAUCGUUGGCCAUACAGAGGAAGGUAAGGCCAUCGGAUCUGAGGAUAUGGAAGAUGUAACGGUCUUGGGAGAAACAGAGUCUUUCGUCGGCGGUUUCCGGCGAAAGCUUCUCGAGGAUCCGCCGCACCACGGCGCCUGUGUUCCCCGUGACGGCGCUGAAUUCCGCUAGUACCACCGUCCCCCUCGCCACAACCGCGUAGAUGAUCGCCAUCGGAAACGAGUCAGGAAGUGUGGAUCACGCGCUGAUCCUCCCGGCGACAAUCUUAUUAUGAGCAAACGUUUUGGAAAUGAAGCCCUUGAUUUAUUAUUACGUUGUUAAUAGUGGCCCUACAUAUUUGUUUUCUUACAUUUUAACCCCUAGACAAUUGCACACGUUAAUUGAUUAAUGGAUUUCACUAUCUAAGAUGGAAUCAUAUAAUUUUAUAAAUUCAUCCUGAAGAAAUCGUAACUAGAUAUUCUGCUCUGGUUGAUAUUUAGUUUGUAGUAUCUAAUCUGAUUAUAGAAAAGUGAGGUGGACAAGAGCAAACGAUUAAACCAUGUAUUAAACCAUGGACAUGGACAAGGACAAGAGCAUUAAACGACCACUGAUUGGGUAAAUCAUUGAUUACUAUAUAAACGAAUAUGACUAUUUCAUUUAUCGCAAAUUGGUUUUAAAUUAAGACUCUAUAAUAUAAUGUCUGAAUUUAACAAUUUGCUCAUUCUGAUGUUUUGUUUACAUGAAGCUGCCAACUGGUAUUUGGUAGUGCAUAUAACGGUGUCAUUUAGAUGGAGCAUAUGAAAGUGAAAAUACGUAGAUGGGUUCCUGAAAGAACAUUACGUGCAUAUGGUCCAGUUGAAAAUUGUGAAUGACUAAAUAAUAGAGCAUCUAGAUACAUCUGGAAGAUAGACAAACGUUCACUUUCACCUUACGCAGGAGUAAUGUUUAAUGUUGGUUCUCUUUCUGGAGAUUGUUCGUCCAAAAAAGUCACCAGUAUUAAUGCCCUUGCUAAAAAAAAGUCAUCAGUAUUGCAUAUUAAUGCCCUUGCUAAAAAAAAGUCAUCAGUAUUGCAUAGUCGGUAAGCACGGAUAGGAAACUUGACCUGAGGGCGAACCUAACUCAGUUACCUUUAAGAGUAUAUAUAGUAAAUUUUUACCAAGGUGUAAUAAUUACAGAUUCUAACACUUAUUAAUGUUGGGAUAUUGACAAAUGUUUUGUGUCCAUUACGCGUAUUAACUUCAAAACAGUAUUACUAUUAAUAAACUCAUGAAUGACAAUCCUAACUUUUUAUAAAAGAAAAUCCCCUAUAUAUUAUUUGAGAAGCAUUACAACUUCUAAUAUAUAUAUAUAUAUCGUUUUAAAUUAAACUAUAAACCAUAUAAAAUACAUAAAUAAUUUAGUUUCAAAAUUUACUUUGAACAAUUUUUUUGAUAAAAGUUUUGAACGAACAUUGACAACUUAUUUUUAAAAAAUAUAAAUUACUAAAACUAUUAAUCCCACAAUAAAAGUUUUGUUAUCAGUAAUUUAAUUUUUUUUUAAAAGAUACAAAUGAUCAAAAAAAUAUAUGAGUAGAAAUCAUCAUUUAAUAGACAUUAAUAUUAAAAAUAUACUAAAAUAUACUAUGUAUGUUAGUAUCAUUUAAAUUUAAUUACAUAUCCUAUCAAAUAUAAAAAAAUAUUUUUUGGAUUAAUAAAAUUGAUUUAUAUGUUCACACCAAUUUAAUUAUAUAUCUAAUAGUUACUGACUUUUAAUUAUUCAAUAUAUAUUUAUUAUUUCAUAAUAUGUAAAAAUAUUUAAUACAUAAAAUAAUAUUUAUAUAUAAUGUUCAUCUCGCGCAAUGCGCGGAUCUUAACCUAGUAUUUUUUAUAUGUCCACGCAUAUGCCGUAAAUGUAAACCGCAAAUGUAAGCAGAUAACCUAAUUAAACAGAAAUCAAAUUACCUGACUUUCUUAUCUACUCAAAAUUUGGAUUGUAAAUUUAAAUCAAAUAUUUUGUUAGCCAAUCCUAAUGAAUUAGUUUUCUGAGGUCCUUUAUAUUAUGUAACUAUGAAUGACUCAAAGUAGGUUCUAGGCAUCCAGAUGUAGCGUUCGUCUUGUCUCCCAUAUUUUUAAAGUUAUAAUACAUAAACUGUACGAUUUCCAAAUUGUCAAAAAAAAAAAGUUAUUAAAAUUAAUUUAAAACUGUUUAUGUAUUCUAAAUCUCAAUUCGAUUUUGAAAUUAUUAGAUCAAUACAUAAAAAAGUGUUGUUUUUUUUUUUGCAAAAAUAAAAAAGUGCUGUUGAUUUCAAUCUUGGGUUAUAAGAGGAAUAGUAUUACUAAUCAUAUAACAAUUUUAGUAUGCUGAAUUGCAUAAAUUCUGAGAACUAAAGCUUAGAGAAAGAAGUUGUAAUUUAGGUAUUGGCUUCGGGCAUUGGUCGUGCUCCAAACUAUCGAGUAGCGAAGACUAAAAGAGUUUUUAGUCUUCUCCACUUUAACCUUUAUAGCGAUCACGCAUAUACAUCACUUUCUCUAUAGUACAAAACAAUUAUGUUCUUUUGGCUCUAUUCUCUUAUUUGAAGUUUAUUAUCAUGUCUUUUUGAAAACAUGCUCAACUAUAUUACUUUCUAACUUACUACCUACCAAAACUUAGUUAUAUAAUGUUAUUUUGGACUUUUAAUCCUUGUUUUGUUUUUGUCUCGUUUUUCCUCCCUCUUUGUUGAUUAUUUCGUUUAAUAAUUUAGCAUGGAUGGAUCUGACUUUUGAGUUUCUACACCAAAGAAAACUUAAUAAAAUCAUUUUAUAGUUUCACCUUUUGUCAUUUAUUCUUUCUCAAAUUCUUACGUUACAAGGAAAAACGUAAGGAAUCUUUAUAAUCAUCAUCAACGUAAUUUCAAAAGCUUUAGAUCUAUAGGAUAUAAUGGGCGUAAGACCUGCAACUUCCAUGGUAAUUAAAAAACAAUAACGUAAGAACGUAGUAAACUUUAUUUUGCUUAUGGAUCUCGCUAGAUUCAAGACCAGUUCAGCUGUUCCCAUUCCCACAUUGGUUCAGUUAAACCAUCAACCAUCUCUGUGUUCACAGAGAGAUCAACAUGUUCUCCUCCUGACAUGGAAGUUUCUGGUGAGCUUCCCACACGAAAUGAUGUCUCAGCAACUCCAACAUCACUUGUAAGCAGUUUCUCUGUCUGUAAACUUCCCACUGGGCGUCUAUCAAAAGCUCUUGAGCUUCCUGAUGUUAUGUAGACCCGACAUAAACUGAAUUCAUGUCUCAACUACAUUUAUAAAAAUACACACACAUUAAUGAGUUUUUAUUUAUUUAUUCUAACAACCGUUAUAAGACUUUAUACAUGCAACCUUAGGGAUUGUGGAGAAGUUGACUGUUUCGUCAACGGCUUUGUACUCAUUCAUCUUCCAUUUUGUUUUUCUUCCGGUUGGUGCUUUUCCAGUGUAGAAAACCAUAGUUUUCUUGACUCCAAUCAUUCGGUUAUCUUUGGAAAUGACUGGACCAGGUGAUCCAGUCGCUUUCCAGUACCCUGAAUCAGUGGUUCUGUUUGGUCUGCCUCCUCUUGCUUCGCGUUCUUGUCUUGGCACGAAGAAGAACCAUUGCUCAGCAUCUCCUCGACAUCUCUCCCCCGCAACAUCUGCCAAGAAGAUUUUUUUUUAAACACACAAAAAGAGAGCACACACACACACACUAACAUUACCACAUCUAGUUUGUAUUAUUAAUAUAUAAUAGGAUCUUUAAUUAAAAUGAAUAAAAUGGGUCUGAUCAAAAAACCAAUCUUAGUCUCAAUAUCAAUACAAUUAAUGAUCUGUUAUUUCAUAUAGAUCCCUUUAUAUACCGAGUCCUAAUGACUAAUACCAUUACAAUGAAAAAACAGCCUCUUUGUCCCUUGUUUAUUUUUAAUUCAAUUUUUAUAUUUGAAAAACCAAAGCAGGAAACUAAAACAAAAGGAACCAAACCAAAACUAUGGUUUCUGUGAAAAAUAAAGAUAUAUUAAAAAUGAAACCAAACCAAAGCCGGAUAAACCAAUAUCAAUUGGUUAACUAUAGUAAUUGUUUUCCUAAAACAAGAAAACCGAGUAGCCUGAUCCACAAUCCAGACAUGACAGCAUGGCAGCUAUACAACACUAAAAUGGAAAAAUCUACGUGCUAUAAAACCUAACUUGUACCAUGCUCCUGUGUCUCAAGUCUCAACAAGUAAUAUUAUGAUGAUUUUAACGCCAUAAUGGAGCUAAGUUGAAGCUACAUUUUUGAAUGAGGGUAACAAGUAACAACGUACUUGGAAGAUGACUAGGCUCGACCUCAAAGACGUCUAGGACUGGUAUGACACGGUGCAUUGAGUCAUCAUUCCUUCCUUCGAGCUGGUUUCGUAGGUAGAACGCAAUCAGUUCAUCUUCCGUGGGAUAGAAGCGAAACCCAAUGGUGAGCUCCUCCGCCAUUUUUGUAUGUUGUAAAUUGACUUGCUGCAAAGGGAAACCUCUUAAAGUCUUUAUUGUAUAUAUGUUGUGACAAAUCGAUUUGCUUCUUGAACUUAGAGGUUAUGGUCUCACUGGCAUUAAAUAAGUUGUUGAAGUAGAGAUUGGUUUGUCCGAGUGAAACGAGAAAAGGUCUACGCGUUUUUAGACUUUUAGUAUUAAAUUUUAUUUAUACUGAAAUGGGAAAAGACAAGGAUGUUCUUGUACAUUUAUGUGUGUUUGAUUAAAUAUUACUUUCGUUGUCAUGUGUUUACUGUUUGAGUAAAGCUUUUUUUACGAGGCACGUACGCCAAUUGAACGAGUCAAGCCCUCGUCUUAGCGUCAAAUUUCAGUCUCUUUUCUCUUUGUUUUCUUUCAUAUUUUUUUCUAUUCGGCUUGCCUUUUAUUUUUUUCCUUAAUGGCUUGCCUUUUUUAGAAUAUAAUACUUUAUUUGAAGCAAAUUCAGAUGAAUCAAUUGUUUCUAGGGUUUGUUUUCUAAUCUUAAUUUUGUUAAUUAGGACAGUUUUCUUUGUAAUGAGGUUCGUAAAGAAUAUGCAUUGUAUAUCAAAGAUCAGUUGCAUCACUAAUAUACGUUUAAUCAUGGUUUUAAAAAUCGGUCUAGGCCUAGGCGGUAAAUCGAUCUUAUCCAAAAUGAUUUUUAUAAAAUUUGAUUUAUAUGAUUUAAAUGAAAUCAUUUUAAAUCGGUUUAAUAGGUAUAAAUUGAUCUAAAUUUGUUAAACUAAUCAAUAAUGUUAGUAUAAAUCUAUAACUUAUCUAUUUUCUUUUGUUUUAUUUAUCAAAUUUUAAUAAUUUUUAAAAAAAAAUUUAUAAUUAAAAUCAAAAGCUAAAAUAUUUUAUAAAAUGGUAAAAUAUAUAUAAAAUAAAUCAAUAAUAUGUUAAAGCUUUUGCUUCGGCUUUAGAUAAUUCGCCUAAACUAAUUUUCUAUAAAGCACGUAGUUGUUAUUCUUUAAACAUUGCGUUUAAUUAUGCACAUAAUAAACAGUCUAGCGUUAUCUGACCCGUCAUUAGGAUUUAGGGGUCUAAUCUCUAAUUUAAAACAAAGAUAGAUAAACCAAUACGGAAACUAAGAAAUGGGUCCACCCCCGAGACUCUUUCCUAAACAAAUGAGUGGCUUCUAUUAACUUGAGGUUUAUUAGAAAUGUCAAACUCGACUAAAAAGAAGUCAUUAGUGAACGUUUUGGUAUACUUGUAUAUGUUAAUAAUAGUUUUUUUUAGAACCGGAGGUAUCCGAGCCCGAAGGCUCGACUAAUAUCUUGCGGAUCGGCUUACUUGUGAUAGGCAAAUCCGGUUUUUGUACAUGGAUUCGAUAUCCACGCUAACUCACCACACAAAUAAAUAAAUUUAAAUGAUAAAUUUUGAAUCCAAAGCGUUUAUUAUCUUUUCAAGUCAGCCGUACCAUCCGACUACACCUGCAUGGUUAUGAACUUACGCUACAUAUAGUUUACAAGCAAUUUAGUAUAAUUUACAAGAUGCUAGUAAUUUAUCAGAUUUUAAAGAUGGUCUACGUCUAUCAGUUGUUUUCUUUGAUCAUUAGGAAGUUAUUGAUUAAGAGAAUCAAUAAUGGUAAAAAGAGUAUGAAUUUUCAAAAAUAAUAAAUUAUUAGUGAUUUAUUUAUUUAUUUUUAGUUGUAAAAACAAUUAUACUAUUAAUUAAAUGAUAAUUGUAGUUAUUUUUUUAAUUUUUCAAAAGUUUUUUAAAAACAUUCCAUAUAAAAUACCUUAUAUCAUUCCUUCAACUUUAGUUGUUUUUAUUUU